Molecule: long non-coding RNA, 140799 nt
Filed under: Gossypium raimondii (Peruvian cotton)
Lineage: Eukaryota; Viridiplantae; Streptophyta; Magnoliopsida; Malvales; Malvaceae
Description: long non-coding RNA (GRAI_LNC007873)
Rfam family: MIR7502 microRNA precursor family (bases 79906-80050)
Source: RNAcentral
CCCAUGUACGACAUUGUACUCCCAAUCUUCUCUAGAUCUAUGAUAGCCUUGAAGCUGUUGAUGUAUCUCACUGGUAGGGGUCCAGAAAAAUAAUUACUUGAGAGGUCAAAAAUUUGGAUUUUAGAGAAAAAAGGGCUAGACUUGGAGCUAUUGACACGCAAGGAACCAUGCAUAUGGUUUGACUUCAAUACAAGAACUUGCAAAUAUGGAAGACUUCCCAACCAAUGAGGAAAUGUAUCAUUGAUCUUGUUGUUACCAAGAUCUAGCACUUCUAGACCUCUACAAUUAAGGAUGGAUGGUGUCAAUGGCCCUUCUAACAGAUUUCCAUUUAAGUUGAAAUUAGUCAAUCGGCAUCCCUGUGCAAAAUUUGGAGGAAUCGUCCCAUAGAACUUGUUCUUCUUCAGAUUCAAGAAUUCAAGGCUGUUGCUCAAAUUUCCAAAACAUCGCGGAAUUGUUCCACUCAAGUUAUUGUGGGACAAAUCAAGAACUCGAAGAGAAGUGGCAUUGCAGAUUAAAGAAGAGACCUCUCCAUUCAAACUGUUAUUUGAGAUCAAAAAGAAAUUGAUGGUCGAAGCUGGAAUCGGAAGAUUUCCACUGAUCAAAUUGGAGCUUAAGUCAAGAACUUCAAUAUUCUUCCAUGGAAAGUGCUCAACUUCUGUCAAAGAGUUGUGAGAUACGUUUAAGUAAGUCAAAGAGCCAUUCCCCACCUCUUGCAUCCACUGUGGAAUCUUGCCUUCAAUUUUGUUGCAAGAGAGGUCUAAGCUUUCCAAACUUUUAAGCCCUUUUAAAAAUUGGGGGAAUUCACUAAGAUUGCAAGAUGACAAAAGUAAGUCUGUAACAUUAGGCAAUAUAUGAUUAACACUAGAUGUAGCAUUAGAUGUUAAGGAUAGGCUGUUAUAUGAAAGGUCGAGAUGUUUUAGAUUUGGAACGUUUGAGAACAUGCGAAACUCUAUGACACCACUAAGAUUAUUUGAGGAUAAAAGGAGCCAGGUAAGAUUGAGAAGUUGGAAUAUUGAAGAUGGAAGAGGACCUUGGAGUUUAUUAUUUUCUAGAUCUAAAUAUUCUAGUGAUUUGGUUUGGAAUUCUUUGAUAUGCCCACUGAAUUGAUUUUGAGAGAGAAUUAUACCCUUUAAGGAGGGAGCAGUAUACAACCAUGACGGAAGUGUUCCAUUGAGUACAUUGUCAAAUAAGACUAAAUAUAUUAGAUUCGGAACAGCGGUUACCUCAUCUGGAAGAGAACCUUCUAAAGAAUUUUCAGAUAUUUCCAAGUAUUCCAACUGCGUUAGGUUUAGAAUUGACAAUGGAAUUUGUCCACUCAAUUUAUUUGAUCCCAAGUCUAAAUGAGUGAGUUGCAAGAGGUUUCCAAGUGAUUUUGGAACCGGUCCUGAUAAGUUGGAAUAGGAGAGAUCUAAAAACUUCAAGGACACAAGAUUCCCCAUCGAGUCAGGCAAUCCUCCAAAAAAAUUUGCGCCUCUAAGAAUCAAGUACUCCAAAGAUGAUAAAUUUGUGAUUGAGACAGACAAUCCUUGAAAGAAAGAAUUUCCUGAUAGAUCGAAGUACUUUAAGGCCUGUAGAUUAUCAACCGAAUCAAUGAAUUCUGUAGAGAAGGACAUCCACGACAGAUCCAAAUGUUCGAGAUUGCUGCUCCGAUUCAACUUCAAAGGAUCAAGAUUGAGGUUUUGGUUGCCUCCCAAGUUGAGGAGAUUGAGGUUUGGCAAAUCAAAAAUGUUUUUUGGGAAUUUUCCUUGCAAAUCACAACCAGCAAGACUGAGAGACCUUAGAGAAGAGGAUAGAUUCAUGAAGACAUGAGCAUUAACAGAAGUCAUGUUGAUUCCAUCCAAAAACAGAUGUCUGACCUCGGUUAGGUUGUGAACAAGUCCCUCCAGAGCAUGUUUGUCAAUUGUUAGUACAUUAGCCCAAAAGGAGAGAUCAAGUGAAACCAAUUUUGACAGGUGGGAGACUUGGGAUGGGACUUCUCCUGCAAACCCUGUAUAAGAAAGGUUGAGGUAGAAUAGGCUUGUAAACCGACCGAACUCGGAUGGAAUUUUGGAAAGAUUAAAAUCAUUGUAGGCAAGGUUGAGUUUUUGAAGGUGAGGAAGAAGGAAGAGAGUGGUAUUGGAAGGGAAGUUGCCAUAUAGCCAACUGCAGCUCAAGUCAAGGGCAAUAACAUGAGCAUUUAGGUGGUCACAAGUGACCCCAUCCCAUGAGCAGCAAUCUGUACCCUCCUUCCAUGAAUUUGUCUUGGGAUAAGAUUUAAGGCCAGCAUAAUCAUUGCAAUAAGAAGAAACAUCCUCUGUUAUGGAAAAAGAGUCCUUAAACUGGAUUAGGGAAGAGCAGGAGUGAGAUCCUGAAGAAGAAAAAGAAGCAUAAAGAUGGGGAAAGAAGAGGAAUAGGCAGAGAAAGAGAUAGGGGGCCAUGUUAUGUUUGUAGAGGAAGAAGAAGGAUAGGAAUGGUAUUUGUAGGCAACAAAUAGUACCACAACAUUGGUGUUACAGUAUUUUUUUUUUUUUCUUUUACAUUGAAAAGCUAUGGAUAUUAGAUUUUCAAAAAUUUUGUAUUUUUCACCAUCAUCAACAACCACUUAGUCUUCCUUUUACCAUAUAUUUUUCAUUCUGUUUUUUUUAACAAAAUCUUGUAUUUCAUUUCAGCUUCCAAAACAACUAAAAAAUUUAAAAUUGAUGAAAUUACAAAGUAGAUUGACUUAGUCUUCUUUCCUAUAACAUUUAAAAGAAUGUCUUGUCAACCAAAGUUAAUUAAUGUGAAAAUUCUUUUUCACACAAAAGAACAAAAUUGUGCUCUAUUCACUACGUUAGAGUAAAAAGACUGCUAGAUUUUUUAAUUAUUUUUUCUUUGAAAAAUUUAAAAGUUUUUUACUGCCUUAAGCCAAUAAAAAAAAACAUGUAUUAAUUUUGUUUUUAAAAAUAGUGUGUUUGAUUGUGAAAUGAUUCAUCAUCCUCCACCACAAACUAUCCAUGUUUGCAGUGUGAAAGCAGCUACUUUCAUAAAGAAACUACUAAGGAGAUGGGAUCACCAAUUUUACCUAAACUCGCAUCAACAUUGUUUAGCAAUUUCAAAAUAGACUAAUUAGUCUGGUUCAAAUACCAAGACUACAAUAUCUAUUCACUUCACUUGGUCUUGCUGCCUAUCACUGUCAACCAAACUUGAUCGACUAUCAGUAAGGAAAUUUCAGUCAUUUGCAGCAUAAUGUACAAGAAUUCCACUCCCACAAAAUAAUUUACAAUAUGGACUAACACUCCUUUGUUUCACUAAAAAUAAUUUUUAAAAAAUGAUUUUUAGAAAGUAAUUUUUGAAAAAUGGUUAGAAGAUAAUUUUUGUUUCUGAAAUAGUUAAUUUUUUUUGGUGUUUAGAUAAAUUUUGUUAUGUUUUCAUUGUUUACUUGAGUUUAUUUCAUAAAGCUUAUUUAUAUUUUAAUUAAUCAUGUUUUAGUUUUAAUUAAGCUUAAUUUACUUAAUUAAACUUAAUUGUUAAUUUCGUACAUUAAAAUAUAAAUUUAUGUUUAAUUAAGUUGAAAGUGAUAAAUAUUUAUUUUGAAUAUUAUUUGAAUAAGUUGAAAAAUGAUUUAAUUUGAUAAAAUUGAAGUCAGGGCCAUAGAACUAUGCUUUUUACUGACAAAAUCUUGGAUGCAGAGAUUAUUGAGACUAAAAAAUGAAAGUCAUGAAAGAAUACAUAAAUAGUUGAACCAUACAAAAUGUUACAUUUUGUAAUGCAAUGAAAUAUAGAUGAAUUGUUACAAAAAUAAAGACAGAUGCAUUGCAAUGCAACCUUUCUCCAUAGGAAAAAAAUUUGACAGACUUCAAAACAAGAAAUUAUGAAGAUACAACAUACACACUUGAACAUCAUUUCCACUAACUAGAUCCUUCUUCGUCCAUUGCUGCGACUGCCAUCCUUUGACUUUCUUCUUCGCUUCUUCUCAUGUUGGAUUUCAACCAAAUUCACCAACCAUUUUGGCUUACCAAUUUGGAAAACAACAUAUCUCACGACCAUUCCAAACACUACUCCGCAUCCAUAACCUAUCAACACCAAUUUCCAACCAAAAGAGAUGUUUGAUUUUGAACCAUCUUUUCCAAGCACAUUUGGAGGUGGUGGCUCAAUGAUGUUGCAACCUUUUGAGACCGGAAAUCCACAUAAUCCCUAGUUUCCUUCAUAUGAAUCAUUUCCAUAUGUGUUGAACUGUUUGCCUUGAGGAAUCUGACCAUGGAGUUGAUUUUCAGAAACAUUGAAGGACGAAAGAAAUGCCAGAUCUGCAAAUCUAUUUCGAAUUGUCCCUGACAACCUGUUUGAAUAUAGGUCCAACCAUUCAAGACUCGUCAAAUUCCCUAUUGAAGUGGGGAUACCACCGUUAUAAACACUGUCACAUGGCAUGAAAAACACACCCUCAUAUUCACUUUCACAUUAGUCAUCAUAAGCUUAUAACAUAUGUCAUAGCAAUCUCAUAUAUAUUCAUAAUUUCACAAUUUCACAAGCGUACAUAUAUCACAUUUAAUCAUAUGCGCGAGAAAACUUACUCUCACUUACUCUUGGAAUUUAGAGUAGGAAUUUAGGCUACCACUAAAUUCUCAUCAAUUAAACAAUGAAACAUCUACGAGCAACAAUUUCAAACCACAAUGAAUCGAGAGCUCAAACUAGCUCUUCCUCUAACUCGUAGAAGGCUUUAAUGAAUCCGAGGCUUCACACGUGACAAUCACACAAUACUCACAGUCAAAUGACAGCCAAGGACCCACUUAAACUAACCAAAAUAAAAGCCUAAGCUACCUUCUAAUGUAACCAAACCCUUUAGCAUGACGAACUUAAAAUGCAAAUAUAUCAAUCUACACUUAAACAUUUUCACAUGAAACAAGUUUCAGUCAUCCCCCAUAUUCAUUUAUAGCUAAACUCCAAUCUUUAAACCACACAAAACUACAAGUUUCAAGGUAUAACAUUUUUCGACAAAUUUUGACCAUAAUAAUGAAAAUUCAUUAAAACACGGGAAAUCUAUAAUGAAACUUAGAAGUAAUUUUAAAAAACUUCUAAUUAAGUUAAAACAAGUUGAAAAACACUUUUAAAUCACAUUUUCAUCCACAAUCUCGAAUUCCACCAUUAAUGACCCAAUUUUUAGGUUUAAAUUAAAACAUGCAAUUUCAUAACUAAAAUCUCAAUUUUAAAGUCUAGAUAACAUUAAAAACUAAUGAGAAAGUAAAUGGUUACCUUUGAUGAAAGAUUAAACGAGUUUUGAAGUAUAUUUGAAAAACCCACAAUUGAAGAAGAUGAUGAAAUCUAUGGCGUUUUUGAGUGUUUUUCUUGGAGAUUUAUGAAGGUAAUUGACUUGGGAAUUAUAAGAAAUCAAAGUACUAUGGUUUGGGAAUAAAAAUUAAUUGAAAGAUCAAGGGAAUAGCAAAGGACGGCAAUAGCAAACUUUGGAGAGUAACUAUUGUGAAAUAGAACAGGGAAUGGGGUUUAUUAGGUUCAAUUUAAAGCAUUGGUAAAACUGCAAUCUAAGUGCUCACUAUUUUAACUUUGUUACAAAUUAGUCCUUUUUCUAAAUUUUAGGUAUUUAAAACUCAUUUUCAGAAAUCGGCUCAAUUCCCUAAUAGCCAUUGUCGAAAACAUUAUCGAAUACUAACCUUACGAAAUUUUGAGUACAUAUAGGCUAAAAUUCCUAAAAUACACUCGAAACUCUUAAACCUUAUUUUGGGGUGUUACGCGCAUGGUCAUGAUUCAUGUUGAAUUAAUACAUCAUUCACCGUAAUAAGGCUUAUCGUUGUAAUAAUUAGUUAAAUCACCUAAUAUCUAAAAAAUAAUUAUUAUUUUCAUAAAAUCAUUGAUCAAAUUUUUGUUUUCAAAUUUCAUACAUGAAAUUAACAAAUAAAGAUAGCUCUAAAUAGCAAAACCCAAUAUGUGUAACAAGUAUUUUUAUUAAUCCAUUUGGAACUAGAUUUUGUUUUCUAAUGUUAAGGUUUGCUGCAGCAAAUAAAUUGAUUAAUGCUUAUGAAUAUAAUGUUGGAUUAAAAUCCUUAAUUAUGAGUACAUAUGUAUAAUGUUUGAUAUUACAAUUAUCUUAAUAAUUUUUUUCUGUUUUUGUUGAUUGAUGAUUAUAAAAAUCAUUAUUCUUUUGAAGGCAUACUUUGUUGUCAAUAACAGUACCUGCACCCUAAGAAAUCACCAGGAAGCACAUUGUCAGGAGAUCCUUGCUGGAAAAAACAUUGUGCAAACUUAGGAUUUCAAUUCUCAGCAAGGAACUUGCAAGCCUAUUAUAGUAGAAAUGUUUUAUCCAAAUGAUAAAGAUGUUGAUGCAACAUUUUAGAUUGCAAAUUCCUUCAUCACAUUUGGAAUCCUAACCACAGGGACUUGCAAGCCUAUUAGCUCCAGGAACUUUAGAUUGUACCUGUUCAAUACAUUUUUUCAAAGAAGGAACCAUAGGUGAAAUGCGUACGUCUACUCUGGUUCAUCUCAUUGAAUACAUCAAAUGGAGGAUCAAUACGCUGAAAAAGGGACAAUGGAAACAACUUUAGUCAGCAACUUGAGUUUUAUAACUACUGCUAUGCUAACCAGCAGACCAUAACAGCAUACAUAAAAAAAAAAGAUGCUGACUUACAAUUUCUUUCAUUUCAUCACAACCAAUCAAAUCCCUUGCAAUGUUGUUUGGAUCACAACAGCUCAUCUUUCAAUCCUAGAUGGCUCCGCCAAUUUUUUUAAAGCAUACAUAAACUGUUAAAGAAAUAAAUGGAUAAAACAACUACAGGAUACAUGUCUGGACUGCAUGAGCUAACUUGUAAAAAAAAAAUUAUGAAAAUACAACAGAGAUCAUUGAGACAUUGUUGAAGUUGGCUUGCGUGCACACCAAGAAGCAGACCAAGCUGUCCGAGCCAUGCAAGUUGCGGCUGAAGCUUAUGCUGCUGUUUUGUUACUUUCAAAUAGAUAUUUUAUUACUUAGUUAGAUAUGAACUAAGUUGUUGAUAUGCUUGAUGUAAUUAGGUGCUGAUAGAUUGAUAAAUCAGCUUUACCAAGUGUACAAGCAAUGUUUAUCAAGUUACUAAGCCACUUAUUGGAGUUAGGAAUGUGUUUAGGUAACAUUUUCUUAUUUUUGACCAGCUGAUUGCUUGGUAUAUGUAAUGGCAUUGUGCCUUCAUUCAAAUGUAAUGAAAUCUUUCAGAAAAUUCUUCUUCAUUUGGUCUUUAGUUAAGCAUUUUUAUUCACAAAGAUCUUGCUGCUUUUGUUUUGUUUGUUGAGCAAGAUAUUAAUGCUUUAUGCUUAAGUUUCUGUCAAAAUAUCUCAUUCUUUUUUCUUAGUUCCUACAGACAUUUUGUUCUCCUUUCUCCUUUACUGAGCAGUAGCAAAGAUUAUUGAGACUAAAUUGAAAUCCAUGAAAGAAGACAUAAACAACACCACCAUACAAAAUAUUACACUCAAACAAACCAUUGCAGAUAGUACGAAAUGCAAUGAAAGACAGAGGAAUUGGUACAAUAAUAAAGACAGACACAUACCAAUGCAACCCUUCACCAUAGGCAAAACGGUCUACAAAACAAGAAAUUAUGAAAAUACAACCCUAAUUCUUGAACAUCAUUUGCAGUAAUUAGAUCCUUCUUCGUCUACUGCUGCGAUUGCCUUUCUUUGACUUUCUUCUUUGCCUCUUCUCAGGUUGGUUUUCAACCAAAUUCACCAACCAUUUCGGCUUUCCAGUUUGGAAAACAACAUAUCCCACGAACAUUCCGAACACUACUCCGCAUCCAUAACCUAUCAACACCACUUUCCAACCAAAAGCAAUGUCUGAUUUUGAGCCAUCUUUUUCAAGCACAUUUGGAGGUGCUGGCUCAAUGAUGUUGCAACCUUUCGUGACCGGAAAUCCACAUAGUCCCUUAUUUCCUUCAUAUGAAUCAUUUCCAAAUGUGUUGAAUUGUUUUCCUUGAGGAAUCCGACCAUGGAGUUGAUUUUCAGAAACAUUUAAAGACGAAAGAAAUGGCAGAUCUGCCAAUCUAUUUGGAAUCGUCCCAGACAACCUGUUUGAAGAUAGGUCCAACCAUUCAAGAUUCGUCAAAUUCCCUAUUGAGGUGGGGAUAUCACCAUUAAGGUUAUUAUGAGAAAGGUUGAGCCCUUUCAGUAAGUUAAGCUUCCCAAAAACCUUUGGAAUACCCCCUUCAAACUGAUUGUUUGAUAGAUCAAUGAUCAUCCACAUGGUGAAAAUUUUCACCAAUUCCCUCUCCUGUCCUCUCAUAACAAUUCCAAUGGAAUAGGUAUAGAAGCCACUACCUCUCUGAACAUACACCCCCAUGUACGACAUUGUACUCCCAAUCUUCUCUAGAUUUGUGAUAGCCUUGAAGCUGUUGAUGUAUCUCACUGGUAGGGGUCCAGAAAAAUAAUUGCUUGAGAGGUCAAAAAUUUGGAUUUUAGAGAAAAAAUAGCUAGACUUGGAGCUAUUGACACUCAAGGAACCAUGCAUAUGAUUUGACUUCAAUACAAGAACUUGCAAAAAUGGAAGACUUCCCAACCAAUGAGGAAAUGUAUCAUUGAUCUUGUUGUUACCAAGAUCUAGCACUUCCAGACCACUACAGUUAAGGAUGGAUGGUGUCAAAGGCCCUUCUAACAGAUUUCCAUUUAAGUUGAAAUUACUCAGUUGGCACCUCUCUGCAAAUGUUAGAGGAAUCAUCCCAUAGAACUUGUUCUUCUUCAGAUUCAAGGAUUCAAGGCUGUUGCUCAAAUUUCCAAAACAUUGCGGAAUUGUUCCACUCAAGUAAUUGUGGGACAAAUCAAGAAUUUGAAGAUAAGUGGCAUUGCAUAUUAAAGAAGAGACCUCUCCAUUGAAACUAUUAUUUGAGAUCAGAAAGACAUUGAUGGUCGAAGCUGGAAUUGGAAGAUUUCCAUGGAUCAAAUUGGAGCUUAAGUCAAGAAAUUCAAUAUUCUUCCAUGGAAAGUGCUCAACUUCUGUCAAAGAGUUGUGAGAUACGUUUAAGUAAGUCAAAGAGUCAUUCCCCACAUCUUGCAUCCACUGUGGAAUCUUGCCUUCAAUUUUGUUGCAAGAGAGGUCUAAGCUUUCCAAACUUUUAAGCCCUUUCAAAAAUUGGGGGAAUUCACUAAGAUUGCAAGAUGACAAAAGUACGUCUGUAAGAUUAGGCAAUAUAUGAUUAACAGUAGAAGUAGUAUUAGAUGUUAAGGAUAGGCUGUUAUAUGAAAGGUCAAGAUAUUCGAGAUUUGGAAGGUUUGAGAACAUGCGAGACUCUAUGACACCACUAAGAUUAUUUGAGGAUAAGCUGAGGUGGGUAAGAUUAAGAAGUUGGAAUAUUGAAGAUGGAAGAGGACCUUGGAGUUUAUUAUUCUCUAACGCUAUCAAUUCUAGUGAUUUGGAUUGGAAUUCUUUGAUAUGCCCACUGAAUUGAUUUUGAGAGAGAUAUACUGUCUUUAAGGAAGGAGCAGUAUACAACCAUGACGGAAGUGUUCCAUUGAGUAAAUUGUUAGAUAAUUCUAAAUAUUUUAGAUGAGGAAAAGCGGUUACCUCAUCUGGAAUGGAACCUUCUAAAGAAUUAUAAGAUAUUUUCAAAUGUUCUAGCUGCAUUAGGUUUAGAAUUGACAAUGGAAUUUGUCCACUCAAUUGGUUAUGCCACAAGUAUAAAUCAGUGAGUUGCAAGAGGUUACCCAAUGAUCUUGGAAUUUGUCCACUCAAAUGGUUCGCCGUCAAGUCUAAAUGACUAAGUUGCAAGAGGUUUCCCAGUGAUCUUGGAAGCGGUCCUGAUAAGUUGGAAUGGGAGAGAACUAAAAACUUCAAGGACACAAGAUUCCCCAUCGAGUUAGGCAAUCCUCCAAAAACAUCUGCGCCUAUAAGAAUCAAGUACUCCAAAGAUGAUAAAUUUGUGAGUGAGACAGACAAUCCUUGAAAGAAAGAAUUUCCUGAUAGAUCUAAGUACUUUAAGGCCUGUAGAUUAUCAACUGAAUCAAUGAAUUCUGUAGAGAAGGACACGGACGACAGAUCCAAAUGUUCAAGAUUGCUGCUCCGAUUGAACUUCAAAGGAUCAAGAUUGAGGUUUUGGUUGCCUCCCAAGUUGAGGAGAUUGAGGUUUGGCAAAUCAAAAAUGUUUUUUGGGAAUUUUCCUUGCAAAUCACAACCAGCAAGACUGAGAGACCUUAGAGAAGAGGAUAGAUUCAUGAAGACAUGAGCAUUAACAGAAGUCAUGUUGAUUCCAUCCAAAAACAGAUGUCUGACCUCGGUUAGGUUGUGAACAAGUCCCUCCAGAGCAUGUUUGUCAAUUGUUAGUACAUUAGCCCAAAAGGAGAGAUCAAGUGAAACCAAUUUUGACAGGUGGGAGACUUGGGAUGGGACUUCUCCUGCAAACCCUGUAUAAGAAAGGUUGAGGUAGAAUAGGCUUGUAAACCGACCGAACUCGGAUGGAAUUUUGGAAAGAUUAAAAUCAUUGUAGGCAAGGUUGAGUUUUUGAAGGUGAGGAAGAAGGAAGAGAGUGGUAUUGGAAGGGAAGUUGCCAUAUAGCCAACUGCAGCUCAAAUCAAGGGCAAUAACAUGAGCAUUUAGGUGGUCACAAGUGACCCCAUCCCAUGAGCAGCAAUCUGUACCCUCCUUCCAUGAAUUUGUCAUGGGGUAAGAUUUAAGGCCAGCAAUCCCAUCGCAAUAUAAAGUAGGAAGCAUUGUCUGAGUAAUGGAAAAAGAAUUCUUGAACUGGAUUAGUGAAGCAGCUUCAGGGUGAGAGCAGGAGUGAGAUCCUGAAGAAGCAGCAUAAAGAUGGGGAAAGAAGAGGAAUAGGCAGAGAAAGAGGUAGGAGGCCAUGUUAUGUUUAUAGAGGAAGAUGAAGGAUAGGAAUGGUACUUAUAGGCAACAAAUAAUACCACAACAUUGUAGUCUUCUUUUUACCAUAUAUUUUCCAUUCUUAAAAUUUGAUGUUUUUCUUUUAGCAAAAUAUUGUAUUUCAUUUGAAGUCCUAAACAACUAAAAAAAUUAAGAUUGAUGAGAUUACAAAGUAGAUUGACUUAGUCUUCUUUCCUAUAACACUUAAAGAAUGUCUUGUCAACCAAAGUUAAUUAAUGUGAAAAUUCUUUUUUACACAAAAGAACAAAAUUGUGCUCUAUUCACUACGUUAGAGGAAGAAGACUGCUAGAUUUUUUAAUUAUUUUUUCUUUGAAAAAUUUGAGAGUUUUUUACUGCCAUAAGCCAAUAAAAAAAAACAUGUAUUAAUUUUAUUUUUAAAAAUUGUGUGUUUGAUUGUGAAAUAAUUCAUCGUCCUCCACCACAAACUAUCCAUGUUUGCUGUGUGAAAGCAGGUACUUCCAUAAAGAAAUUACUAAGGAGAUGGGAUUCACCAAUUUUACCUAAACUCGCAUCAACAUUGUUUAGUGCUCCCUCAAUUUCACAUCAAUGCAUUCAAUUUCAAAAUAGGUUACCAAGACUACAAUAUCUAUUCACUUGGUCUUGCUUCCUAUCACUGUCAACCAAACUUGAUCGACUAGCAGUAGGGAAAUUUCAGUCAUUUGCAGUAUAAUGUACAAGAAUUACACUCCCACAAAAUAAUUUACAAUAUGGACUAACACUCCUUUGUUUCACUAAAAAUAAUUUUUAAAAAACGAUUUUUAGAAAGUAAUUUUUGAAAAAUGGUUAAAAGAUAAUUUUUGUUUCUGAAAUAGUUAAUUUUUUUUGGUGUUUAGAUAAAUUUGUGUAAAAUAUUUUUUGAUGUUUAAAAAAAUUCGAGAAAAUAUUUCAUAAAAGUUGUCUUUAAUGAAAUCAACAUAUAUUUGAAAUUUUGUUAUGUUUUCAUUGUUUACUUAAGUUUAUUUCAUAAAGCCUAUUUAUAUUUUAAUUAAUCAUAUUUUAGUUUUAAUUAAUUUUAAUUUACUUAAUUAAGCUUAAUUGUUAAUUUCGUACAUUAGAAUAUAAAUUUAUGUUUAAUUAAGUUGAAAGUGAUAAAUAUUUAUUUUGAAUAUUAUUUGGAUAAGUUGAAAAUGAUUUAAUUUGAUAAAAUUGAAGUCAGGGCCAUAGAACUAUGAUUUUUACUGACAAAAUCUUGGAUGCAGAGAUCAUUGAGACUAAAAAAUGAAAGUCAUGAAAGAAGACAUAAAUAGUUGAACCAUACAAAAUGUUACAUUUAAAACAAACCCUUACAAAUACUACCUAAUGCAAUGAAAUAUAGAUGAAUUGUUACAAUAACAAAGACAGAUGCAUGGCAAUGCAACCUUUCACCAUGGGAAAAAAUUUGACGGACUUCAAAACAAGAAAUUAUGAAGAUACAACGUACACACUUGAACAUCAUUUCCACGAACUAGAUCCUUCUUUGUCCAUUGCUGCGACUGCCAUCCUUUGACUUUCUUCUUCGCUUCUUCUCAUGUUGGAUUUCAACCAAAUUCACCAACCAUUUUGGCUUACCAAUUUGGAAAACAACAUAUCCCAUGACCAUUCCAAACACUACUCCGCAUCCAAAACCUAUCAACACCAAUUUCCAACCAAAAGAGAUGUUUGAUUUUGAACCAUCAUUUUCAAGCACAUUUGGAGGUGGUGGCUCAAUGAUUUGCAUCCUUUUGAGACCGGAAAUCCACAUAAUCCCUAGUUUCCUUCAUAUGAAUCAUUUCCAUAUGUGUUGAACUGUUUGCCUUGAGGAAUCUGACCAUGGAGUUGAUUUUCAGAAACAUUGAAGGACGAAAGAAAUGCCAAAUCUGCAAAUCUAUUUGGAAUUGUCCCAGACAACCUGUUUGAAGAUAGGUCCAACCAUUCAAGACUUGUCAAAUUCAUACCACAAUUAUAAACACUGUCAUAUGACAUGAAUAACAUACCCACAUAUUUACUGUCACAUGGCAUGAAAAACACACCCUCAUAUUCACUUUCACAUCAGUCAUCAUAAGCUUAUAACAUAUGUCAUAGCAAUCUAAUAUAUGUUCAUAAUUUCACAAUUUCACAAGCGUACAUGUAUCACAUUUAAUCAUAUGCACGAGAAAACUUACUCACUUACUCUCGAAAUUUAGUGUAGGGGCUUAGGCUACCAUUAAAUUCUCAAUUACACAAUGAAUCAUCUACGAGCAAUGAUUCCAAAACACUCAUAGAUAUCAACUUUAGCCAAAAAUCGAGAGCUUGAACUAGCUCUUCCUCUAACUCGUAGAAGGCUCUAAUGAAUCCGAGGCUUCACACAUGACAAUCACACAAUACCCACAGUCAAAUGACAGCCAAGCACCCACUUAAACUAACCAAAACACAAGCCUAAGCUACCUUCUCAUGUAACCAAACACUUUAGCAUGACGAACUUAAAAUGCAAAUAUAUCGAUCUACACUUAACAUUUUUGCAUGAAACAAGUUUCAAUCAUCCCCAUAUUUAUCUAUAAUUAAACUCAUACAAAACUGAACGUUUUAAGGUAUCGAUAUUUUUCAACAUGUUUGGCCAUAAUAAUGAAAAUUCAUUAAAAGGCGAGAAAUUGUUAAUGAAACUUGUAAGUAAUUUUAGAAACUUUCUAAUCAAGUUAAAACAAGUUGAAAAACACUUUCAAAUCACAUUUUUAUCCACAAUCUCAAAUUCCACUAUUAAUGAUCCAAUUUUUGAGUUUUAAUUAAAACAUGCAAUUUCAUAACUAAAAAACUCAAUUUUAAAGUCUAAAUAACUUUAAAAAUUAAUGGUAAAGUAAAUGGUUACAUUUGAUGGAAGAUUAAACGAGUUUUGACUAAAUUUGAAAAACCCACUAUUGAAGAUGAUGAUGAAAUCUCUGGAGUUUUUGAGUGUUUUUCCUGGAGAAUUAUGAAGGUAAUUGACUUGGGAAUUAUAAGAAAUCAAAGUAUUAUUGUUUGGGAAUAAAAAAUCAAUUGAAAGAUAAAGGGAAUAGCAAAGGACGGCAAUAGCAAACUUUGGAGAGUAACCAUCGUGAAAUAGAACUGGGAUUGGGGUUUAUUAGGUUCAAUUUUAAAAAUUGGUAAAACUGCAAUAUAAGUGCUCACUAUUUUAACUUUGUUACAAAUUAUUCCCUUUUUUUUUUUUCUAAAAUUUAGGAAUUUAAAACUUAUUUUCAGAAAUUGACUCAAUUCCCUAAUGGCCAUUGUCGAAAACAUUGUCGAAUACCAAGCUUACGAAAUUUUGAGCACAUAUAGGCUAAAAUUCCUAAAAUACACUCGAAAUUCUUCGACCCUAUUUUGGGGUGUUACACACAUGGUCAUGAUUCGUGUUGAAUUAAUCCAUCAUUCACCGUAAUAAGACUUGUCGUUGUAAUAAUUUAUUUUGAUAUGUAUUAUUUUAUGAUGCAUAAACAUCAUAAAUUUUUAUAUUAUGAAAUAAUAUAAUUAGUUAAAUCAUCUAAUAUCUAAAAAAUAAUUAUUAUUUUAAUAAAAUCAUUCAUCAAAUUUUUGUUUUCAAAUUUCAUACAUGAAAUUAACAAAUAAAGAUAGCUCUAAAUAGCAAAACAUGGUAGGAUGGUUUUUUUGUGCAAACUUAGGAUUUCAAUUCUCAUCAAGGAACUUGCAAGCCUAUUAUAGUAGAAAUGUUUUAUCCAAACGAUAAAGAUGUUGAUGCAACAUUUUAGAUUGCAAAUUCCUUGCUCACAUUUGGAAUCCUAACCACAGGGACUUGCAAGCCUAUUAGCUCCAGGAACUUUAGAUUGUACUUGCAAAUUCCUUGCUCACAUUUGGAAUUCUAUUCUGGUUCAUCUCAUUGAAUACAUCAAAUGGAGGAUCAAUACGCUGAAAACGGAUCAAAUCCCUUGCAAUGUUGUUUGGAUCACAACAGCUCAUCUUUCAAUCCUAGAUGGCUCCGCCAAUUUCUUGAAAGCAUACAUAAACUGUUAAAGAAAUAAAUGGAUAAAACAACUACAGGAUAGAAGGCUGAAAAUUUACGAAGGGCAAUGACCUUAAUGUUAAAAUUCCAACGUCCAUUCCUUGGAAAGAUAUCUUCACCAUUGCCCACUCAAGAGAACUCAAAUAGCAGCAAGAUCUAGAAUAAAAUGUAACCCUCAACAACACACAAAUGUUUGUUCUGUCAAGGAACAAUACACAGACAUAUUCACCUACCGUUGGUGCUGGCAGAAUAUGCCCAUUCACUUGGGUGAAAUUAGAGUUGAUAUUAACCCCACAAGAUUUCUGCACCAUAAUUACUGCUAAGUAAAACCUGCACAUAAAUUUUCAUUCUUCACUAGAAACUGAAACUAUUUUUGUAAGUAAAAAUUAGUUGUAUUCAUUCUUCGCAUAAUUGAUCUUUUGUUGUGGAAGUAUUGUAUUUCCGGUAAUCCAUUAAGUAUUCAGUGUUUGAUACAAUAGAUUUGCAUUUUACUAUUGUAUUUUGUGGAAGGAACCUUUACCUAUUUUGUUUUUUGCAUUUCUGAUUAGUUUACAUUUUUCAGUAAUUAAUUUAUGUUGUUUUUGCCAAACUUUGUAGCGUUUCACUUUUGGUAAAAUUUCACCCUUGGUCCCUUUAAACUCCUUCUUGCUUUAAUUUGAUUGCUUUCUAGCGUUGCAAAUUACAUAACAUUCUUCAAAUGUCUUACUAAAUUCUCACUUUUACGAGUGCUAUGAUAAUCAAUUAAAAUUCAAUUCAGUUUUAAGUUCAAUAUAACACUUACAUGGCUACAAAAUGUGUCCUUAACCCCAAACAAUCCAAAUUUGCAGAGAAACCACCCAUUAUAUAUAGGUUUGCCAAUGAGACGGCAAGCAGACUGCUAGCUAGAAAUUCAUGCAUCUUUGAAUCACCAAUUCAAUUAAUAAGCUUAAGUAAAGGAAAUAAGGACUUUACAUCCUCCAAUUAAAGCAACCUAUAUGUACCCUUUUACAGUCUGCAUUGUUCCAUGUUUCAAUUCAUUACAUCAUUCCUUCAACUCUGCUAUAUAUUAUUACCGUCUCCAGAUAACCAAACCUUUUACUGCUAACUUGUAAAAAAAAUUAUGAAAAUACAACAGAGAUCAUUGACACAUUGUUGAAGUUGGCUUGCAGGCAGACCAAGAAGCAGACCAAGCUGUCCGAGCCAUGCAAGCUGCAGCUGAAGCUUAUGCUGCCGUUUUGCUACUUUCAAAUAGAUAUUUUAUUACUUAGUUAGAUAUGAACUAAGUUGUUGAUAUGCCUGAUGUAAUUAGGUGCUGAUAGAUUGAUAAAUCAGCUUUACCAAGUGUACCAAGUUACUAAGCCACAUAGUGGAGUUAGGUAUGUGUUUAGGUAACAUUUUCUUAUUUUUGACCAGCUGAUUGCUUGGUAUAUGUAAUGGCAGUGUGCCUUCAUUCAAACAUAAUGAAAUCUUUCAGAAAAAUCUUCUUCAUUUGGUCUUUACUUAAGCAUUUUUAUUCACAAAGCUCUUGCUGUUUUUGUUUUGUUUGUUGAGCAAGAUAUCAAUGCUUUAUGCUUAAGUUUCUGUCAAAAUUUCUCAUUCUGUUUUCUUAGUUCCUACAGUCAUUUUGUUCUCCUUUCUCCUUUACUGAGCAGUAGCAAAGAUUAUUGAGACUAAAUUGAAAUCCAUGAAAGAAGACAUUAACAACACCACCAUACAAAAUGUCACACUCAAACAAACCAUUACUGAUAGUACGAAAUGCAAUGAAAGACAGAGGAAUUGGUACAAUAAUAAAGACAGACACAUACCAAUGCAACCCUUCACCAUAGGCAAAACGGUCUACAGAACAAGAAAUUAUAAAAAUACAACACUAAUUCUUGAACAUCAUUUGCAGUAAUUAGAUCCUUCUUCGUCUACUGCUGCGAUUGCCUUUCUUUGACUUUCUUCUUCGCCUCUUCUCAUGUUGGUUUUCAACCAAAUUCACCAACCAUUUUGGCUUUCCAGUUUGGAAAACAACAUAUCCCACGAACAUUCCGAACACUACUCCACAUCCAUAACCUAUCAACACCACUUUCCAACCAAAAGCAAUGUUUGAUUUUGAGCCAUCUUUUUCAAGCACAUUUAGAGGUGCUGGCUCAAUGAUGUUGCAACCUUUCGAGACCGGAAAUCCACAUAGUCCCUUAUUUCCUUCAUAUGAUUCAUUUCCAAAUGUGUUGAAUUGUUUUCCUUGAGGAAUCUGACCAUGGAGUUGAUUUUCAGAAAUAUUGAAGGACGAAAGAAAUGGCAGAUCUGCCAAUCUAUUUGGAAUCGUCCCAGACAACCUGUUUGAAGAUAGGUCCAACCAUUCAAGAUUUGUCAAAUUCCCUAUUGAAGUGGGGAUACCACCAUUAAGGUUAUUGUGAGAAAGGUUGAGCCCUUUCAGUAAGUUAAGCUUCCCAAUAACCUUUGGAAUCUCUCCUUCAAACUGAUUGUUUGAUAGAUCAAUGAUCAUCCACAUGGUGAAAAUUUUCACCAAUUCCAUAUAUUUUCCUUUCAUAAUAAUUCCAAUAGAAUAGGCAUAGAAGCCGCUAGUAUAAUCUCCCACACCCAUGUAUGGCCUUGCACUACCUUUUUUCUUGAGAUUUAUGAUAGCCUUGAAGCUGUUGAUGUAUCUCACUGGUAGGGGUCCAGAAAAAUAGUUACUUGAGAGGUCAAAAUUUUGGAUUUUAGAGAAGAAAGGGCUAGACUUGGGGCUAUUGACACGCAAAGAACCAUGCAUAUGAUUAGACUUCAAUACAAGAACUUGCAAAUAUGGAAGACUUCCCAACCAAUGAGGAAAUGUAUCAUUGAUCUUGUUGUUACCAAGAUCUAGCACUUCCAGACCUCUACAAUUAAGGAUGGAUGGUGUCAAUGGCCCUUCUAACAAAUUUCCAUUUAAGUUGAAAUUACUCAAUUGGCAUCCCUCUGCAAAUGUUGGAGGAAUCGUCCCAUAAAACUUGUUCUUCUUCAGAUUUAAGAAUUCAAGGCUGUUGCUCAAAUUUCCAAAACAUUGCGGAAUUGUUCCACUCAAGUUAUUGUGGGACAAAUCAAGAAUAAGAAGAGAAGUGACAUUGCAGAUUAAAGAAGAGACCUCUCCAUUGAAACUAUUAUUUGAGAUCAGAAAGACAUUGAUGGUCGAAGCUGGAAUCGGAAGAUUUCCACGGAUCAAAUUGGAGCUUAAGUCAAGAACUUCAAUAUUCUUCCAUGGAAAGUGCUCAACUUCUGUCAAAGAGUUGUGAGAUACGUUUAAGUAAGCCAAAGAGCCUUUCCCCACCUCUUGCAUCCACUGUGGAAUCUUGCCUUCAAUUUUGUUGCAAGAGAGGUCUAAGCGUUUCAAACUUUUAAGCCCUUCCAAAAAUUGGGGGAAUUCACUAAGAUUGCAAGAUGACAAACGUAAGUCCAUAAGAUUAGGCAAUAUAUGGUUAACACAAGAAGUAGUAUUAGAUGUUAAGGAUAGGCUAUUAUAUGAAAGGUCGAGAAGUUUUAGAGUUGGAAGGUUUGAGAACAUGCGAAACUCUAUGACACCACUAAGAUUAUUUGAGGAUAAAACGAGGCGGGUAAGAUUGAGAAGUUGGAAUAUAGAAGAUGGAAGAGGACCUUGGAGUUUAUUAUCGUUUAACCUUAUGAAUUCUAGUGAUUUGGAUUGGAAUUCUUUGAUAUGCCCACUGAAUUGAUUUUGAGAGAGAGAUAUUGUCUUUAAGGAGGGUGCAGUAUACAACCAUGACGGAAGUGUUCCGUUGAGUAAAUUGUCAAAUAAGUAUAAAUAUAUUAGAUUAGGAAAAGCGGUUACCUCAUCUGGAAUGGAACCUUCUAAAGAAUUAUUAUAUAUUCCCAAGUAUUCCAGCUGCGUUAGGUUUAGAAUUGAGAAUGGAAUUUGUCCACUCAAUUUGUUCCCGGACAAGUCUAAAUAAGUGAGUUGCAAGAGGUUCCCCAAUGAUCUUAGAAUUUGUCCACUCAGUUGGUUCCACGACAAGUCUAAAUGAGUGAGUUGCAAGAGGUUUCCCAAUGAUCUUGGAACCGUUUCUGAUAAGUUGGAAUUGGAGAGAUCUAAAAACUUCAAGGACACAAGAUUCCCCAUCGAGUCAGGCAAUCCUCCAAAAACAUUUGCUACUGAAAUUAUCAAUUGCUCCAAAGAUGAUAAAUUUGUGAUUGAGACAGACAAUCCUUGAAAGAAAGAAUUUUGUGAUAGAUCUAAGUACUUUAAGGCCGGUAGAUUGUCAACUGAAUCAAUGAAUUCUGUAGAGAAGGACAUGAAAGACAGAUCCAAAUGUUCAAGAUUGCUGCUCCGAUUCAACUUCAAAGGAUCAAGAUUGAGGUUUUGGUUGCCUCCCAAGUUGAGGAGAUUGAGGUUUGGCAAGUCAAAAAUGUUUUUUGGGAACUUUCCUUGCAAAUCACAAUAAGCAAGACUGAGAGACCUUAGAGAAGAGGAUAGAUUCAUGAAGACAUGAGCAUUAACAGAAGACAUGUCCAUUCCAUCCAAAAACAGAUGUCUGACCUCGGUUAGGUUGUGAACAAGUCCCUCCAGAGCAUGUUUGUCAAUUGUUUGCUCAUCAUCCCAAGAGGAGAGAUCAAGUGAAACCAAUUUUGACAGGCGGGAGACUUGGGAUGGGACUUCUCCUGCAAACCCUGUAUAAGAAAGGUUGAGGUAGAAUAGGCUUGUAAAGCGACCGAACUCGGAUGGAAUUUUGGAAAGAUUAAAAUCAUUGAAGGCAAGGUUGAGUUUUUGAAGGUGAGGAAGAAGGAAGAGAGUGGUAUUGGAAGGGAAGGUGCAAUAUAGCCAACUGCAGCUCAAGUCAAGGGCAAUAACAUGAGCAUUUAGGUGGUCACAAGUGACCCCAUCCCAUGAGCAGCAAUCUGUACCCUCCUUCCAUGAAUUUGUCUUGGGAUAAGAUUUAAGGCCAGCAAAAUCAUUGCAAUAAGAAGAAGCAUCCUCUAUUAUGGAAAAAGAGUUCUUGAACUGGAUUAAUGAAGAGCAGGAGUGAGAUCCUAAAGAAGAAAAAGAAGCAUAAAGAUGGGGAAAGAAGAGGAAGAGGCAGAGAAAGAGAUAGGAGGCCAUGUUAUGUUGGUAGAGGAAGAUGAAGGAUAGGAAUGGUAUUUAUAGGCAACAAAUAAUACCACAACAUUGGUGUUACAGUCUUUCUUUUCUUUUACAUUGAAAAGCUAUGGAUAUUAGAUUUUCAAAAUUUUUGUAUUUUUCACAAUCAUCAACAACCACUUAGUCCUUUUAUCAUAUAUUUUUCAUUCUUAAAAUUAGAUAUUAGAUUUUCAAAAUAUUUGUAUUUUUCAUUUGAACUCUCUAAACAACUCAAAAAAUUAAGAUUAACUUAGUCUUUUUUCUUAUAACACUUAAAGAAUGUGUGUAAUCUAUUCACAGGUUAACCAAAGCUAAGUAAUGUGGAAAUUCUUUUUCACACGAAAGAACAAAAUUGUGCUCUAUUCACUACGUUUGAGGAAGAAGACUGUUGGAAAUUUUAUUCACCGAUUCCAUAAAUUAAAACGUGUAUACUUAUAUAUAUAUAUUUAUAACCUCAUAAUUCAAAUCUAAAAUCUUAUUUGUUAUAAAUUCUAAUAAAUUUAUUUGGGAAUAGUUAUUUUUCAUUCGUUAAUUAUUUCUCUUUUAAUCAAGUAAAAAAUUAAAACUAAAAAGACAUAAUGAUUACUUUUACCCUUGAAACUUAUAUGGUUCGUUAAAUCACCCAUUGAUGACAUAUUAACCUUUGAGUUAAACUCAAAUUGCUCUUUCCUUUGUUAUAAAUUAAGAGUAUAACUAAUUUUGAUAAGAAUGGUUACUUUUCAUUAACACAGUUUAAAGGACCAUAACACGUAAACUUUGGUCUAUUGCAGAAUUCACAUGCAAUGCAGGACAUUUACAUUAUGCAGAAUUCAACACAUAUAUGGGAAUUUUUGUAUUUCCACAAUCAUCAUGUUUUUAGUGAUCAACAACUACUUCCUUUUUACCAUAUAUUUUUCAUUCAUAAAAUUGAUUACUUCUUUUUACCAAAGAAGUAAAAUAAUUAACAUUCCUGAGAUUACAAAGUCUUCUUCCUUAUAACACGUCAAAUUUGGUCCCAAAUAAAUUUCCACACAAAAUUAAGAAUACACAAAGGCAGGAUGAAUUAUUCCAUGUUUGAACAUCUGCAACAUAAAUGCAUAUGGCAAAAAGGCUCAAACCAUACCUUAAGUUCAUGAAUUCUCAUCAUCACAUGUUUAUAAAUGCAACUCAAACUUGAAUAAUUGAAUCUUUUGUAAUUCUACAUGUAUUUGUUUUUUUUUAUGGUGAGCAGUAUAAUGUUUACUAAAAAUUGAAAUUCAAGAAAGAAGACAUACAUAGUUGCACCAUUCAAGAUAAACUUACCUCGAGUAUUGAUACUCGGGUUGAAGUAUCGAUACCAAAUCUUUUUUAUCAUAUAUUUUUCAUUCACAAAAUUGGAUACAUUUUUUUACCAAAAUUUUGUAUUUCAUUUGAAUUCCCUAAACAACUGAGAAAAUUAAAAUUGAUGAGAUUAUAAAGUAGAUUGACUUAAUCUUCUUCCUUAUAAUACGUAAAGAAUGUGAGUGUCUAUUUACUUAGUAUGUAUGGCUGUCAAGCAAUGUAGAAAUUUGCACACAAAAGAACAAAUUUGUGGACUACUUAAAAAUUCAAAGCAUGUGUGGCCAAUAUUCAUUUAUUUUAUUGCAUAAAAUUCAAGGCAUGUGUGUUGAAUAAUUUUAUCCAAGAAGCAUAUUUUCCACAAAACUUUAAUCGGUUGGCAUUAAAUAUGUCAUUUUCUAUUAACUGCAAGAAAACUAUCCGGUAAACUACAUCUUCUUCUUUUAGAUAAAAUUUUGUAAAAAAAAAUUUGACAUUAUCACUUAUAUAGUUAUAUGGUCCUUCAAUUUUAUUUUUUUUAAAAAAAAAAGUAAUUUUAACUCUCCAUUUAAUAUUUCACCUCUUUGAGUUUUUAAAUUUGUGUUAUUUAUCAAAUCAUCCCAGAAUGUAUGAAAAAGUUAACAUUUGUUAACUUUAUUGACGGAACAUACAUAUCGAUAUCAUAUAAACAAUUAAUUGAUUUUUAAAUUUUAAAAAUUUUAAAAAUAAAACAUAUAUUAAAAUUUCUAAGAAAUGAGAAAAUUUGGAAGCAUUGCAAAAGAAUGUGCAAUAAUUCCAAACAAAUUAACGCAACAUUUUAGUUACCACUUAUAUAGUCCUUCAAUUUUAUUUAAAAAAAAUUAUUUUAACUCUGCAUUUAAUUUUUCGCCUCUUUAAACUUUUAAUUUGUGUUAUUUAUCAAAUCUUCCAAACAAAUUAACGCCGUAAUAACCCAUUUUUCCCGGCCCAUAAUUAACCAAAUUAAAAAAAACGAAAUAUAAAAUUUUAAUAACAGUCCACUACAAACACAAUAAGUAGCAGGCCCAAAACCCAAAUGCACUACCUAAUUACAAACCCAACUAAACCCUAACCCAAUACAAACCCCAAAAGCCCAGCUUGCAGCCCACAACACUAAAAACAAUAGAAACCCUAGCAACAGUUUCAGCCGCCGCAACAGUGGCCCCAGCGCUGCAGACUGUCCUCCGCGCGUGUCAAGCCUCCGCGCGCGUGCGCCUCCAAGCUAGCAUGUACCUGCAACGAACAAUAAACAGCAAGCAGCAAGAGAGGCAAAAUAACAGAUUGAUAGCUAAAAAAUAAAGAGUUUUUUUGUAUUUUUUCUUUUUUUCAUUUUUCGGUUAUAUAAAGCCACUUGUGAUACUGUAAAAGGGAUUACGCAUUCGAAAGAAAAAAAAAAGAAUCAAAUAGCAGCAUAAUUUUAAGGUGGUUUCCGAUUUCUACUUCUUUUUUUUUCUUUUUCCUUUGAUUUGUUUUUAUUUGUUGAUUAAAAGAUAAAAAAAAGGGAAGUUCUUACCUACAUAUUGCGCCGCCAGGAGCCUUCGUCCCUUCUGUUUCAAAUCGAAAUGGGGUGGGCAAUGGUCGAAUCAAAAGCGGCGCACAUAGGAUAGAUUUUAGGGUUGGUUAGAUUUUUUUUUUUUAGAAAUGGAGUGUCUGCUAAUGUUAACUUAUAUAUAGCGUAUGAAACGACGACAUUUGAUGCCAUUUUAGUGGUUUCAAAAUGGCGUCGUAUAGGGCCGAGAUCCGUGCGGUGACCCGACCCGGGGAGGAUCCGCGUGUUUUCACUUUGGUGGGAUAUUUGUGCGCUAGGUUCUCUACCUUUGCACUUUGUUUUAAUUCGGUUUAUUUUGAUUCUUCAAAUUGGGCUGCAUAAUUUCCUGCUGACUACAUUUUAGUCCAUUUGCAGCGGUGCGUUUUGGUGGGCAAGGAAUAUUUCCUAUUUUAGUCCCCAUGUUAUUCGCGGUUUGUAAUUUGGUCCUUUCCUUUUAUAUAUAUAAUAAUUUUAUAUAAUACUAUUUUAUAUAUAUAUAAUUUGUAUUAAGUUUUUUAUAUAUCAUCGAUUUCAUAUUUACGUAUUUUUCUACUUAUUUCAUAUAUAAUCUGUUUCAUUUAAAACUUUACUUUAUUAUAUACUUGAUUUAUAUCAACCUUUUAUACAUACUAUUAUACGUAUACGUAUAUUGUUUAUUUUAAAUUAAUAUGUAUAUAUUAUUUCAUGUAUUUCGGUUUUCUUCAUAUACAAUAUUCACUUUAAAAUUCAUUUUAAUAUUAUUUUUUUCGUAGUAUUUAUUUUUUAUCUUCAUUUUUGACUUAUUUCAAACUCAUAUAUGUAUAUCUAUUAUCUUUGCUAAUGUGCAUACAUAUGCAACUUCAUUUAAAUAUAAAAAAUCUAAAAAUAAUUAAAUAUGUAUAAAUCUAAAAAUAUCUUAAAAUUAAAACUAAAAAAUUUUAAACUAAUGCAAAUUUUUAUUAUUUAAAAAAUCUUAAAAUUUUCAAAUUAAAUUCCAUUUGUUUUCCACCGUUGAAGAACACCUUCAAUCACAUUAACAACUUCAUGCUAUUUUGCCUAGAAAUUAUUUUGCAAAUUUAUUUUGUUUUAUUUAUUUCUAAAUCCAUAUUUCUUUUCUGUAACUCCAAUUAUUAGAUUGUUUAGGGUUUUGAGUAACUUUCGAUUUUGGAAUUUUAGAUUUUUAAAUUUAAAUACGAAGUGCUCUUCUUCUUCUCCAAACCCACAAAUUUUCUACCAAAUUUCAACUCAAGGUUUUACUUUCAGCUAUAAAUAAAACAUAUAUUAUAUUUAUAAUGACCUAAGAAUAGUAGAGUCGACGCCGAUCUACAUGAAAAAGGAGGGAAAAAAACAGGCAAAGAAAGAUGAUAUGAAGAGAGCAUAAAUCAAUAAAGCAAAUGAAAAACGAGUAGAAUUAAAGUAAAUGGGUAUUUAAUAUUUUUUUGUGAAAGUUCAAAGACUAAUUAUGUAUGAGCUUGGAUGUGGAAAAAUUAGUUGGAAAUUUUUUUUCUUGCACCAAUUGAUUUUUUUUAUAUAGAAUUUGUAUUUAUUUUUUAAGAUUUUUAAAUUUUGUUACAAUUAUUUUUAUGAAAAUUUGAAAAUAUAAAAAUACUUUUUGAACUAUAAUUCAAGGAUUAAAUUAGCUAUUAAUCAUUUGAAUAAAUAAAACAUAUACAUGAAUUAAGUAAUUAAUCCACAAGCAAUGUUGGACAUUUUCAUAAUGCCAAAUUUCACUUCAGAUUUAGUUACCCAUAAUCAUAUUUAAACAAACAAAAACAUAACAAUCACACAAAAUAGGCAUAACUAGAAAACAUGAGAAAAAUGAGAAAAGCUUGAAAACAAUUACAAUGGUAGCAAAGGAAAUGUAAAAAAAAAAACUUAAAAAUCAGAUUUUUAAUGAUGAAGGGAAUUGAUCAUUUAUAUUAAAACCAAGGAUUAAACUGAAAAUACAAAGAGUUGAAGGUACUAAACUAGCAAACAAACCCUAGCUGCAAUGUUAAUUAACUUAACUAACUACUAUUGGAACCAAGAAAAACUAAAAGAAAACAUGAAUUACACCCUAGAGUUAUGGAGAAGAAAACAAAAACUCUAAAAAUAAAGAGGAAAUUUGAAAACCAUGAAAUGUUAAGUGUGCCUUUUGUUCAGCCAAUUUUUUGCCCUUUCUAGAAUUACAGAUCCAAAAAUAGUGGCCAAAUUGUCCUUGAUCGUUUAAUUUUGGUUAGGGGACAUGUUGGAAACGGAUUACCCAUACGGUUAUAUUUUGUCUCCUCUCAUCAAUGAUAUUGCCAUACCCAAAGUUUGGUAUCGCGAUAUCCACAACAAUCUUGGGGAUCCUUAGGAGUUUUGAGUAUCGCGAUACCUUAUGACUGGUAUCAUGAUAGCACUGUUGAUGGCUCAAUCUUCCUUGUUUUUAACAUUGUUAUGGGUGUUACGACUUUCAAUCUUCCUUAUUUUUAACAUUGUUAUGCAAUACCCUCUUUCUAGGUGACAUUUUCGCUCCUUCCGGGUCACCAUGGGCUCUCUGCAUCACUCACCAAUCACAUUAGAUUCCCCGGGUGCCAUUUGACCAUCUCAGGUCUCAAAAUAGCAUCAAAAUGCACACUAAUCAUUUAUUAAUAUAAAUAACUAAAACUAAAUAAAAACACAACAAAGAUAUCUAAAUUGCUCGAAAAUAAGCUUUUAAGUGUGAUGGAGAGCCUAAUUUGACAUAUCAAUUUACAGCAUGUCAUAAAUAUAAUUUGCGGAACCUUGUUAAAAUUUUGGGUUUCUUUAUUAGUUUUCUUUCAAUAUUCUGUAUGGUACAUUUGUAUUAAUAUAUUGUGCAGAUCAUAGACUAAAUUGCUUUAUUAGUUUUCUAUUGUUAAUCUCACUUUUUAUUAAUUAAGGAAUACGAAUUAGAAUUAAUAUGAAAUUACUAUUUCAACAUUUCAUAAGAAAAAGCUAAAAUAAUAUUUGUCAUAUCCCAUAUGCUCAUAUAUAGCUUGUCGAAACCAUUUUCUUGUAAAAGGGGGGUUGACUUUGGUUUUAAAACGAAAAUUGGAGUCGUCACCGAUUAUUUUUAUGAGGUGUAAUCGGGUCACCUCGUAACGGUUUAAUUUAUAACAAUUUUGGUCUACGAAAUUUAGAAGAAAAAAAGGGGUUCGGGAGUCGGUUACGUACGAGGAAGGAUUAGCACCCUCAUAAUGUCCAAAAUUGGUACCUAAUUGAUUACUUAAUGUCUUAAUGUCGAAAAUUAAAAAUUCGAAAAGAAUUUAAAAUAAGAUCCCUGUUUAUUAAUGUUAUUUAUUUUAAAAGAAUUUGCUUGAAUAAGUUGCAAUGAAUGUCAAAGACCCUCCCGUCUCGAGAUAACUAGUGUCACGUCCCGUAAGUGAGGAUACGACGCUUGGAAACCUAGAGAAUAAGCCUGGCUUUAACUCUUACUGAGAUUUCGUGUGUUUUGAAAUUUAAAAGGAUAUUUUGUUAUUUAGGUUUAACGAGAAAAUCGAAACCUCGUAAGUUAGGGUACGAUUUUUCUCGAAUUUUCAAAACGCAAAAUUUUUUUUUUGAAUUUAAGUAAAAACUAAUGUAAUAUGUAAUAAGAUAUGUGUUUAAUUUAUUCAAACAUCGCCUGAAAGUGAACAAAUAAUUUUAAAAAAAAUGAUGUAUAAUGCAACAUAUUAACUACUACAACGAAAGUGAAAUGCAAUGAAAGUCAUGAAAUCGAAAGAUUAUCGAGACUAAAUUGAAAGUCAUGAAAGAAGACAUAAACAACACCACCAUACAAAAUGUUACACUCAAACAAACCAUUACAGAUAGUACGAAAUGAAAUGGAAAGACACAGGAAUUGGCACAAUAAUAAAGACAGACACAUACAAAUGCAAACCAUAGGCAAAACGGUCUACAGAACAAGAAAUUGUGAAAAUACAACACUAAUUCUUGAACAGCAUUUGCAGUAAUUAGAUCCUUCUUCGCCUAUUGCUUCGAUUGCCUUUAUUUGACUUUCUUCUUCGCCUCUUCUCUUGUUGGUUUUCAACCAAAUUCACCAACCAUUUUGGCUUUCCAGUUUGGAAAACAACAAAUCCCACGGACAUUCCGAACACCACUCCGCAUCCAUAGCCUAUCAACCCCACUUUCCAACCAAAAGCAAUGUUUGAUUUUGAGCCAUCUUUUUCAAGCACAUUUGGAGGUGCUGGCUUAAUGAUGUUGCAACCUUUAGAGACCGGAAAUCCACAUAGUCCCUUAUUUCCUUCAUAUGAAUCAUUUCCAAAUGUGUUGAACUGUUUGCCUUGAGGAAUCUGACCAUGGAGUUGAUUUUCAGAAACAUUGAAGGACGAAAGAAAUGGCAGAUCUACCAAUCUAUUUGGAAUCCUCCCAGACAAACUGUUUGAAGAUAGGUCCAACCAUUCAAGACUUGUCAAAUUCCCUAUUGAGGUGGGGAUACCACCAUUAAGGUUAUUAUGAGAAAGGUUGAGCCCUUUCAGUAAGUUAAGCUUCCCAAAAACCUCUGGAAUACACCCUUCAAACUGAUUGUUUGAUAGAUCAAUGAUCAUCCACAUGGUGAAAAUUUUCACCAAUUCCAUAUAUUGUCCUUUCAUAACAAUUCCGAUGGAAUAGGUAUAGAAGCCGCGACCUCCAGGAUCAUUCACCCCCAUGUACGACUCUAUAAUACCAAUCUUCUCUAGAUUUAUGAUAGCCUUGAAGCUGUUGAUGUAUCUCACUGGUAGGGGUCCAGAAAAAUAAUUACUUGAGAGGUCAAAAAUUUGGACUUUAGAGAAAAAAGGGCUAGACUUGGAGCUAUUGACACAUAAGGAACCACGCAUAUGAUUUGACUUCAAUACAAGAACUUGUAGCUGUGGAAGACUUCCCAACCAAUGAGGAAAUGUAUCAUUGAUCUUGUUGUUACCAAGAUCUAGCACUUCCAGACCAUUACAAUUAAGGAUGGAUGGUGUCAAAGGCCCUUCUAACAGAUUUCCAUUUAAGUUGAAAUUACUCAAUCGGCAUCCCUUUGCAAAUGUUGGAGGAAUCGUCCCAUAGAACUUGUUCUUCUUCAAAUUCAAGAAUUCGAGGCUGUUGCUCAAAUUUCCAAAACAUUGCGGAAUUGUUCCACUCAAGUUAUUGUGGGACAAAUCAAGAAUUCGAAGAGAAGUGACAUUGCAGAUUACAGAAGAGACCUCUCCAUUGAAACUAUUAUUUGAGAUCAGAAAGACAUCGAUCGUGGAAGCUGGAAUCGGAAGAUUUCCACGGAUCAAAUUGGAGCUUAAGUCAAGAACUGCAAUAUUCUUCCACGGGAAGUGCUCAACUUCUGUCAAAGAGUUGUGAGAUACAUUUAAGUAAGUCAAAGAGCCAUUCCCCACCUCUUGCAUCCACUGUGGAAUCUUGCCUUCAAUUUUGUUGCAAGAGAGGUCUAAGCUUUCCAAACUUUUAAGCCCUUUCAAAAAUUGGGGGAAUUCACUAAGAUUGCAAGAUGACAAAAAUAACCUUGUAAGAUUAAUAGUAGAAGUAGUGUUAGAUGUUAAGGAUAGGCUGUUAUAUGAAAGGUCGAGAUAUUUGAGAUUUGGAAGGUUUGAGAACAUGCUAAACUCUAUGACACCACUAAGAGUAUUUGAGGAUAAGCUGAGGCCGGUAAGAUUGAGAAGUUGGGAUAUUGAAGAUGGAAGAGGACCUUGGAGUUUAUUAUUCUCUAAGCGUAUCAAUUCUAGUGAUUUGGAUUGAAAUUCUUUGAUAUGCCCACUGAAUUGAUUUUGAGAGAGAUCUAUUGUCUUUAAGGAGGGAGCAGCAUAUAACCAUGACGGAAGUGUUCCAUUGAGUAAAUUGUCAGAUAAGGCUAAAGAUAUUAGAUUAGGAAAAGCGGUUACGUCAUCUGGAAUGGAACCUUCUAAACAAUUAUUAGAUAUUUCCAAGUAUUCCAGCUGCGUUAGGUUUAGAAUUGACAAUGGAAUUUGUCCACUCAAUUUGUUCCCUGACAAGUCUAAAUAAGUGAGUUGCAAGAGGUUCCCCAAUGAUAUUGGAACCGGUCCUGAUAAGUCGGAAAAGGAGAGAUCUAAAAACUUCAAGGACACAAGAUUCCCCAUCAAGUCAGGCAAUCCUCCAAAAUCAUUUGCGCCUGAAAUUAUCAAUUGCUCCAAAGAUGAUAAAUUUGUGAUUGAGACAGACAAUCCUUGAAAGAAAAAAUUUCCUGAUAGAUCUAAGUACUUUAAGGCCUGUAGAUUAUCAACUGAAUCAAUGAAUUCUGUAGUGGGGGACAUCCACGACAGAUCCAAAUGUUCAAGAUUGUUGCUCCGAUUCAACUUCAAAGGAUCAAGAUUGAGGACUGGGUUGCCUCCCAAGUUGAGGAGAUUGAGGUUUGGCAAUUCAAAAAUGUUUUUUGGGAAUUUUCCUUGCAAAUCACAAUAAGCAAGACUGAGAGACCUUAGAGAAGAGGAUAGAUUCAUGAAGACAUGAGCAUUAACAGAAGACAUGUCCAUUCCAUCCAAAAACAGAUGUCUGACCUCGGAUAGGUUGUGAACAAGUCCCUUCAGAUCAUGUUUGUCAAUUGUAAAUUGCUCAUGGACAUAAAUCAAAGCGGAGAGAUCAAGUGAAACCAAUUUUGACAGGCGGGAGACUUGGGAUGGGACUUCUCCUGCAAACCCUGUACGAGAAAGGUUGAGGUAUAAUAGGCUUGUAAACCGACCGAACUCGGAUGGAAUUCUGGAAAGAUUAAAAUCAUUGUAGGCAAGGUUGAGUUUUUGAAGGUGAGGAAGAAGAAAGAGAGUGGUAUUGGAAGGGAAGUUGCCAUAUAGCCAACUGCAGCUCAAGUCAAGGGCAAUAACAUGAGCAUUUAGGUGGUCACAAGUGACCCCAUCCCAUGAGCAGCAAUCUGUACCCUCCUUCCAUGAAUUUGUCUUGGGAUAAGAUUUAAGGCCAGCAAUCUCAUCGCAAUAGAAAAAAGCAUCCUCUGUCUGAGUGAUGGAAAAAGAAUUCUUGAACUGGAUUAGUGAAGCAGCUUCAGGGUGAGAGCAGGAGUGAGAUCCUGAAGAAGAAGCAUAAAGAUGGGGAAAGAAAAGGAAUAGGCAGAGAAAGAGAUAGGAGGCCAUGUUAUGUCUGUAAAGGAAGAAGAAGGAUAGGAAUGGUAUUUAUAGGCAACAAAUAAUACCACAACAUUGGUGUUACAGUCUUUUUUUUCUUUUACAUUGAAAAGCUAUGGAGAUUAGAUUAUCAAAAUUUUUGCAUUUUUCACAAUCAUCAACAACCACUUAGUCUUCUUUUUACCAUAUAUUUUUCAUUCUUAAAAUUAGAUGCUUGUUUUUUAGCAAAAUCUUGUAUUUCAUUUGAACUCCCUAAACAACUAAAAAAAUUAAGAUUGAUGAGAUUACAAAGUAGAUUGACUUAGUCUUCUUUCCUAUAACACUUAAAGAAUGUCUUGUCAACCAAAAGAAAUGUUUAAUUUUGAGCCAUCUUUUUCAAGCACAUUUGGAGGUGCUGGCUCACUGAUGUUGCAACCUUUCGAGACCGGAAAUCCACAUAGUCCCUUAUUUCCUUCAUACGAAUCAUUUCCAAAUGUGUUGAAUUGUUUGCCUUGAGGAAUCUGACCAUGGAAUUGAUUUUCUGAAACAUUUAAGGACGAAAGGAAUGGCAGAUCUGCCAAUCUUUUUGGAAUCGUCCCAGACAACCUGUUUGAAGAUAGGUCCGACCAUUCAAGACUUGUCAAAUCCCCUACUGAGGUAGGGAUACCACCAUUAAGGUUAUUAUGAGAAAGGUUGAGCCCUUUCAGUAAGUUAAGCUUCCCAAUAACCUUUGGAACUCCCCUUCAAACUGAUUGCUUGAUAGAUCAAUGAUCAUCCACAUAGUGAAAAUUUUCACCAAUUCCAUAUCUUGUCCUUUCAUAACAAUUCCAAUGGAAUAGGCAUAAAAGCCACGACCUCCAAGAUCAUUCACCCCCAUGUACGACACUGUACUACCAACCUUCUCUAGAUUUAUGAUAGCCUUGAAGCUGUUGAUGUAUCUCACUGGUAGGGGUCCAGAAAAAUAAUUACUUGAGAGGUCAAAAAUUUGGAUUUUAGAGAAAAAAGGGCUAGACUUGGAGUUAUUGACACACAAGGAACUAUGCAUUUGAUUUGACUUUAGUACAAGAACUUGUAGCUGUAGAAGACUUCCCAACCAAUGCGGAAAUGUAUCAUUGAUCUUGUUGUUACCAAGAUCUAGCACUUCCAGACCUUUACAUUUAAGGAUGGAUGGUGUCAAAGGCCCUUCUAACAGAUUUCUAUUUAAGUUGAAAUUACUCAAUUGGCAUCCCUUUGCAAAUGUUGGAGGAAUCGUCCCAUAAAACUUGUUCUUCUUCAGAUUCAAGAAUUGAAGGCUGUCGCUCAAACUUCCAAAACAUUGCGGAAUUGUUCCACUCAAGUUAUUGUGGGACAAAUCAAGAAUUUGAAGAGAAGUGACAUUGCAGAUUAAAGAAGAGACCUCUCCAUUGAAACUAUUAUUUGAGAUCAGAAACACUUUGAUCGUCGAAGCUGGAAUCGGAAGAUUUCCACGGAUCAAAUUGGAGCUUAAGUCAAGAAUUGCAAUAUUCUUCCAUGGAAAUCGCUCAACUUCUGUCAAAGAGUUAUGUGAUACAUUUAAGUAACUCAAAGAGUCAUUCCCCACCUCUUGCAUCCACUGUGGAAUCUUGCCUUCAAUUCCGUUGUAAGAGAGGUCUAAACUUUCCAAACUUCUAAGCCCUUUUAAAAAUUGGGGGAACUCACUAAGAUUGCAAGAUGACAAAAAUAAGCUUGUAAGAUUAGCAGUAGAAGUAGUACUAGAUGUUAAGGAUAGGCUGUUAUAUGAAAGGCCGAGAUGUUUGAGAUUUGGAAGGUUUGAGAACAUGCUAAACUCUAUGACACCACUAAGAUCAUUUGAGGAUAAGCUGAGGUAGGUAAGAUUGAGAAGUUGGAAUAUUGAAGACGGAAGAGGACCUUGGAGUUUAUUAUUUUUUAGAUAUAAAUAUUCUAAGGAGGGAGCAGUAUACAACCAUGACGGGAGUGUUCCAUUGAGUAAAUUGUUAGAUAAGUAUAAAUAUUUUAGAUUAGGAAAAGCGGUUACCUCAUCUGGAAUGGAACCUUCUAAUAAAUUUUCUGUUAUAUCCAAGAAUUCAAGCUGGGUUAGGUUUAGAAUUGACAAUGAAAUUUGUCCACUCAAUUGGUUCUGCGACAAGUCUAAAUGAGUGAGUUGCAAGAGGUUCCCCAAUGAUCUUGGAAUUGGUCCACUCAAUUGGUUCUGCGACAAGUCUAAAUUAGUGAGUUGCGAGAGUUUCCCCAAUGAUCUUGGAAUUUGUCCACUCAAUUGGUUCUGUGACAAGUCUAAAUGAGUGAGUUGCAAGGAGUUCCCCAAUGAUCUUGGAAUUUGUCCACUCAAUUGGUUCUGCGACAAGUCCAAAUGAGUGAGUUGCAAAAGGUUCCCCAAUGAUCUUGGAAUUUGUUCACUCAAUUGGUUCUGUGACAAGUCUAAAUGAGUGAGUUGCAAGAGGUUUCCCAGUGAUCUUGGAACCGGCCCUAAUAAGUUGGAAUAGUAUAGAACUAAAAACUUCAAGGACACAAGAUUCCCCAUCGAGUCAGGCAAUCCUCCAAAAAUAUCUGCGCCACUAAUAACCAAGUACUCCAAAGAUGAUAAAUUUGUGAUUGAGACAGACAUUCCUUGAAAGAAAGAAUUUCCUGAUAGAUCUAAGUACUUUAAGGCCCGUAGAUUAUUAACUGAAUCAAUGAAUUCUGUAGAGAAGGACAUGGACGACAGAUCCAAAUGUUCAAGAUUGCUGCUCCGAUUGAACUUCAAAGGAGCAAGAUUGAGGUUUGGCAAAUCAAAAAUGUUUUUUGGGAAUUUUCCUUGCAAAUCACAAUCAGCUAGACUGAGAGACCUUAGAGAAGAGGAUAGAUUCAUGAAAACAUAAGCAUUAACAGAAGACAUGUUGAUUCCAUGCAAAAACAGAUGUCUGACCUCGGUUAGGUUGUGAAUAAGUCCCUCCACAGCAUGUUUGUCAAUUGUAAAUUGCUCAUAGUCAUAAAUCCAACAGGAGAGAUCAAGUGAAACCAAUUUUGACAUGUGGGAGACUUGGGAUGGGACCUCUCCUACAAAUCUGGUAUGAGAAAGGUUGAGAUAUACUAGACUUUCAAACCGACCAAACUCAGAUGGAAUUUUGGAAAGAUUAAAAUCAUUGUAGGCAAGGUUGAGUUUUUGAAGGUGAGGAAGAAGGAAAAGAGUGCUAUUGGAAGGGAAGUUGCCAUAUAGCCAACUGCAGCUCAAGUCAAGGGCAAUAACAUGAGCAUUUAGGUGGUCACAAGUGACCCCAUCCCAUGAGCAGCAAUCUGUACCCUCUUUCCAUGAAUUUGUCUUGGGAUAAGAUUUAAGGCCUGUAAUAUGAUCGCAAGACAAAGAAGCAUCCUUUGUUAUGGAAAAAGAGUUCUUGAACUGGAUUAGUGAAGAGCAGGAGUACUGAGAUCCUGAAGAAGCAUAAAGAUGGGGAAAGAAAAGGAGUAGGCAGAGAAAGAGAUUGAAGGCCAUGUUAUGUUUGUAGAGGAAGAUAAAGGAUAGGAGUGGUAUUUAUAGGCGACAAAAAAAGGGUUACAGUCUUUUUUUAUUUGACAUUGAAAAGCUAUGGAUAUUAGAUUUUUAAAAUUUUUGUAUUUGUCCCAAUCAUCAACAACCACUUCCUUUUUACCAUAUAUUUUUCAUUCUUAAAAUUGGCUGCUUUUUUUAGUAAAAUCAUGUAUUUCAUUUGAACUCCCUAAACAACUAAAAAAUUAAGAUUGAUGAGAUUACAAAAUAGAUUGACUUAGUCUUUUUCCUUAUAACAUGUAAAUAAUGUGAGUGUCUAUUCACUUGCUUGUCAACCAAAGCUAAUUAAUAUGGAAAUUUUUUUGUACACAAAAGAAUAAAAUUGUGCUCUAUUCACUACGUUUAGGGAAGAAGACUGUUGGAAAUUUAAUACACCGAUUUCAUAAAAAAGUGUUUACUUAUAUCUAUAUAUAUAUAUAACCUCAUAAUUCAAAUCUAAAAUCUAAUUUGUUAUAAAUUCUAAUAAAUUUAUUUGGGGCUAGUUAUUUUUUAAUCAAGUAAAAAAUUAAAAUCGAAAACCUCAUUAUUUGUUGACGUGUUUACUUUUAUAUAUAUAUAUAUAUAUAUUUCUCUUUUAAAAAAUUAAAACUAAAAAUAUAUAAUGAUUUAUUUGGCAUUUUUUAACUUUACAAACAAAAAGUCAUUUUAGUUUUUCCCUUUUUUUUUUGUGUGUCUCUUUUAGCCUUGAAACUUGUAUAGUUUGUUAAAUCACCUAAAAAAAUGAUGAAAAAGUUAACAUCUGUAUACUAACAAAACUAGCACUUACGUGGCUGAUGUUGACUGUUAGUAGUUAAUGGCAACACCUAAGUGGCUAUUAACAGAUACCACACCAUUGUUUGUUGACGUGACGAUGCCACAUUAUUAAUAAUCGCUGACAUGGUAGUGCCACGCCAUCGCCCAUCGGUGACAUAUUAACCUUUGAGUUCAAUUCAAAUUUCUCUUUCCUUUGUUAUAAAUUAAGAAUAUAACUAAUUUUGAUGGGAAUGGUAACUUAUCAUUAACUCGGUUUAAAAGACUAUAACAGGUAAAGUUUAGUCCUAUUACUGUCCGUGCCACAUUAAUGUGAGACAUUUACAUUACGCAGAAUUCAAAGCAUAUAUGGAAAUUUUGCAGUAUUGACUAUUGAAUAUGCUCUACUCCACAAAAAAGACUAAGACUGUCAGUUGUCUAUUGACUUCACUUGAUGUUACUUCCUAUCACUCUCACCCAAACUUAAUUUACAAGGAACGUGGAGAUUUCAAACAUUUGCAGCACAAAAUACAAUAAUUCAACACAAUUUGCAGUAUUGACUAAAAGCCAUUAAACAUUCAUUAUUGAUUGCAAUUAUAAUUAUAACAUCAUUAAAAGAAACAUAUUAUUUUAAUUUAUUGCUUAAAAAUUCAAAGCGAACGUGGAAAUAUUUCAUGGGUUGGCACUAAAUGUGUGUCAUUUUCUAUUAAUUGCAAGAAAACUACUCGGGAAACUGCAUUUUUAUGGAAAAUUUUUUACUAUAAUGACUUAUUUUGUCCUCUAACUUUAUUUAAGAGAUUAUUUUAGUCCUCUAUUUAAUUUCGAAUAGUUGCAGAACAAAGUCCAAUAACUCCAUACAAAAUAACAACAAUUUGCAAUAUCGACUACGUUUACUCGAGAGGUAGAUAGAUGUGCAGAGGGAAAAAAAAAGACAUGGUUGCUGGAAAUUCUACCUUGUUUGUACAGUCGACUAAAGGCCAUUAAGGACAUCAAUUCCUCUAAUUAGAUAAUACCAAAUGGGAGACCAAUUAGGUUUACUCUUUAAACUUUUAGUCUCAUAACACCAUCAUUGAUUAGUGUCAAAAGUAACAUAUUUUAACCUCAUUCUUAGUACAUUGUUAAGUGAUUAUGUGACAUUAAUUGUGAAUUAUAUGCUUCUAAUCCUUUAUAAGAAUGGAAGCAAGAAGCUACAAGAGGAGAGCACAAAAUUACUUUGAGAACACCAUUGAAGCCUAUUUCCAAGUAAUUUUUCAUCAAGAUUUAAGAGUCUAAGUUGAUUUUAAAGAGAGUUAUCAUGGAUUUUUUUUUUAUUGUAGUGGUUAUAUUGUAUUUUUUUUGUGUUUACUCUUACCAUUAUGAACUGAUUCUCUUAAUACUUAGGGGAGAUGAACCUUAGAAUGAAUUCUAUUAUUUGAUUUAUAUUUUUAUGCAAUAAAAUCUUAGUCUCUUUGUUUUCAAUUAUGAAUGUUCUGUUAUUCUUGGGUUAAUAAUUCUAGAGUGUUAAUUCAUGUUUGAUGAGCAUAAGUCUGGGGUUGAAUAAACCCUUCUUGUGAUUAGAUCUUGCAUAAUUGAAUUGAGUUGCAUGCAAUUCUAUAAAUAAAACGACAUAAAUCUAUCAGAUUAAAGUCAAAUCUAAUUAGUGUAAUUGGAAAGUCAAAUGAUGUAUAUCACAAACGAGAAAUUCUAAUUAGUGUAAUUGGUAUUAUCAAAUGAUGACUUCAAAUGUUGAUCAUCCUCGACCACAAACUAUCUAAGUUUGCAGUGUGAAAGCAGCUACUUCCAUUACAGAAACCUUUCACUGUAUAUUGACUUGGUCUUAUUUCCUAUAACACCUCAUGUUUGGUCAUAGAUGGUGGAAGAUAGUAGAGACUCGAUACAACACACCAUUUGCACCUGCAAUUAAGCUUCUUUAAAAGGAAAUGGGAUCCACCAAUUUUACCUAAACUCACAUCAACAUUGUUAUGGGGCUUUUCAUUUCGUGAAGCACCUAAUAUUUGUCUCAACGUGUUUACUGGUUCCUCAAUUUCACAUCAAUGCAUUCAAUUUCAAAAUAGAUUAAGUUGUUUGGUUCAAAUACCAAGACUGCCAACAUCUAUUGACUUCACUUGGUCCGGCUUCCUCUCACUGUCAACCAAACUUAAUCGAGAAGUACUAAGGAAAUUUCAGUCAUUUGCAGCGUAAUGUACAGGAACUCCACGCCCACAAAAUAAUUUAUAAUAUUUUGGAUGGAUGUUGCGUUUACUUACGACUAGUGUAAAAAUAAUGGUAGCGGUGAGAUUAGGUAUUGUAGCAUGAGACCAAAAGUAAAUUAAACACACCACACCGCACUCAAUCGCCUAUCCGAAUUCACCCUAAGUUUGAUGUGCUGAGAAAAAAAAAGCAUGAAUGAUGAAGAAUUAAAGCCAAUACUUGGUAAGUACCCUAAUUAGUUUACAAGUAAAUAUUCUUGUACUAAUUAUUCAGGCAAACCUUAGCCAAUAAUAAAAAAUAUAUAAUGAUCUAUUAGGUCCUCCAACUUUAUAAAAAAGAAUCAUUUUAACUCAGGGGCAUAAUUAGGGGUUGACAAGGGCCUGCCUGAAAUUACAAUUUGGCCCUCCCUAAAAUUGAUAAAAAUUUGAUUUAAUUAUUUAAAAAAUAUAAAGAUAUAGAGUAUUAAAAUGGUAAAAUUGCAUUUUUACUGUCAUAAAUAUUUAUAAUUUAAUUUCGGCCCCCUAAAAAAUUUUCUGGCUUCUCCCAUGUUUUAGCCCUUCAUUUAAUUUUUCAUCUUUUUUAGCCCUUUAAUUUGUAUUAUUUGACAAUUCACCUCAAAAAAGAUAGAAAAGUUAAUAUUUAUUAACUUUGUUGACGUGACAUCCACAUGACAGUACAUGUGUAUGUAACGUCAACAAUCAAUUAAUUUUUUAAAACUUAAAAAUAUUUUUUAAUAAUUUUUGAAUUUUAAAAAUUAAUUAAUUAUUAAUGUGGCAUUCAUAUGACAAUCCACAAAAAUUAAUUAAUAAUUGAAAGUUGCGUUACAUUAAAAUUAGUUUGUUAGAAUGGAAUUCUAAUAAAUUUAUUUGGGAAUGAUUACUUUUCGUUAAAGUGGAGUCAAUAUUACUUGGUUAACUAUUUCUCUUUUAGCCAACUACAAAAUUCAAGUCCAUUACAAAAUUGUAGAGGGACUAAAUCCCUAAAAAUAAAAUGUAUAGAGAUUAAACUUUAAAUUUACAAAGAGUACAAGAAAUUUGAAUAUAUUACAACUAUUAAAUUUUCCCUCUAUAAUUUAGUUAAAAAUAAAUAAAUAAUUCCCUCAACGCCAAACGUGGAUAAUAAACAUACUAGUUUAAUGUAUAUAUUUGGUACACUUUUUUUUUAGUAAGAGCAUAUCACCACCAUGUCAGCAAUUUUAAGAUGAUGUGGUAGUGCCACAUAUUACUAUUUCUCUUUUGGCUAACUAGAAAAUUAAAAUAGAAAAAAAGAUGAUCUCAUUUCGAAAGACUAUAAGACGUAAAAGUUUGGUCCAACACUGUUAGCGUCUAUUGACUUCAACUGCUUUUACUGUUUGUGUCAACCAAAUUAGAUAACCUGCAAGCAGUGUAGGACAUCUGCAUAAUGCAAAAUUUUACACAAAUAAUAUGAAAUUUUUGCAAUAUUUGACUGUAUACAUUUACUCGAGAAAACUGCGAUUAGGUGAGAAAUUUUCACAUUCAUGCAUUGAAGUUCGAGAUACCUUUAGAAUUUAUUGAAAAAUGGUAAUUUUUAGAAAAUUUGAGGCAUAUUUGUGAUUGGUAAAUGUGGAGAGUUGAAUCAUAAAAUUAUGAGACCUUUAUAAUGGUAAUCUUCUUGUGAAUUGUGUUGAGAAAAAUGAGAAGCAUUAGUCUCAUGCUGGUUGAGAAUUAAGUGUGGGACUUAUAUAUAUAUAUAUAUGUAUGUAAAUCAACUUAGUAGCUAUUUAAUGACUAAAGCUUGAAACUCUGUCUCAUGCGCAAUUGGGGUGCAAAUCUAAACCCAUCGGGGUUGGGGCAUACCCGCACGACAUGGGUGACGCGAAAUGUCCGGACCAAUAGGGCCCAAGAAUGGCAUGCAGAUAUUUUAGCCCAAUACAAAAGAUAUUAUACAGAAUUUGUUUAAAAGGACAAAUAUAUCAAUUUGAUUUUAUUUGAUUCAAAUUGAUUUAAAGGCUCCUCAAAUUUUAUUCAAAUUUAUCUCAGGAUACACAACGAAUUUUCAAACAUUUCGGUGAUAGAAUAAGGCAAUGUUUGUUCGUUGAUCACUACAUAGGUACUACUGCUGCGAUUAUUUUGUUGUUGUAUCCUGAGAGACAGAUGACUAACGCUUCUCCAAUUGUCAUAAGAACGACCAAAUCUAUCUUAAGAAAACUAUGAAAGCAGGUCUCAACAUCUAAUAAAACUCAAUUCCCUUAUUUUAUUUUUGAUUUUUUAAAAUCUUGUUUAUUUAAUUAUUUUUAGAUCUAAUGUUUUAAAUAAAUAUUUAUUUAAUUUGUUUUAUUUAGAUCUAGUAUUUUUACAUAAAUAUAAAUAUUUGUUUAUAUUAUUUGUUCAGAUCGUGCAUUUAAUAUUUAUAUUUAUUCGGUAACGUAUUUUCUCCAACAAAUUUAUCUUUAUAGUGGAUCCACUUUUUGAAUUAUAUUAACACUGCAAAUUAUUCUGAUGAAUCUUAUUGAAAAUUGUUCUUUUGAUGAAAUUGUGGGUCAAUGUUGUUUCGUAAUUUCUCUUUUAACCCAUAUAUAUAUAUAUAUAUAUAUAUAUAUAUAUAUAUCUAUGCAAUGCUAUUGUAUAUAUUAUUGUUACUCAAAUAUGAUGAUAGAUCUAUCGGUUUGGGACAUCCUAUUAUUUUACCUAGAAAUUUUUAAAUUAAAAAAAAAAUAGUUACAUGGAUGGAUUGAAGUUAAAAAUGAGUGACAUCCUCAAUUAAUAUCAAGACUAGAGCAUAAAAAUUAAAAGAUUAUAUCGUCCCUAAGUGUGUAUAAAUUAAUAACACUUUAAAAAUUUUGAGCAAAUACCAGGCCCAAACUGUUAACCUAUUACCUAAACUGUAACAUCUUGAUUUUGUGUCUAGUAGGAACAGUAGUCGAGAGACCACAAAUCCGACAUCAAAAUAUUUUUUUAUUAUUUUUAUGUCUAUAGUAUGAUACUAAAGUUGUGUGAAAUUUUCAUAAAGAAAUUUCUUCGUUUGAGUACUCAAUUUGAUAAAAAGAACUAAAUCGCGUAAGGUGCAAAACUUGAGGUCUAAUUGAUAAAGGCACUAAAUAGUUAUAGAAUUGAAAAGUAUGGGCACUUGCAUGGAAAUUAUACCAAUAAAAAAGUGAGGAGACAAAGAUGGACAUGUAGUAGAUGGAUUUGGUGAAGUUACUAAAAGUUAAAUUGGUAAAUAAGUUAAUAGGAUAAUAAGACAAAAUAGCAAAAGCUAUCAUCUUUAUUUUUCUUCUUCUUCAACCGUAAUAGAAAAAAAUGGAGGGUUUCAUUUGGCCAAGCUUUGGAGCUUAUGUGAGUGGUUUUUGCCCCGUUUUUAAUGAUUUCUAUGUUUUUGGAGUUGUGGUAACUCGAUUUAGCUAUCUCGUACCUUCAUUUUCAAAACUGUUAAAGUUUGUAAAUUUUGCCAUGGUUGAUAAAGUGUGUAUUUUGAUAAUUGAUGAUAGAAAAUACAUCCUUGUUGUUAGAUAAACAACAUUUGUAAAGACCACAGGCAGUGGAAACAACAAGAAGGCCAUAGCCAACCAACAAAACACGAGAACGACCCAGAUGCUAAAAAAAAAAAACACAUGAAUUCCAACAAUUGCAUAACCCCAAUUUCAACACCAAUUAGUUUUACUCAACUCUAAUCUGUAAUUACACUCAUUGUUGAAAUACCAUUACAAUAGAUAAAGACAUAUAACUAAAUUGGUCGAGGCAAAACAUUACACACACUUAAAAAUUAGAUAUAUGCUUGAACAUGGUGAAAAUUCCAAUAACCUUUGGAAUCUCUCAUUCAAACUUAAUAUUUGAGAGAUCAAUGAUGGUCCACAUGGUGAAAAUUUUCAUGAAUUCCCUAUCUUAUAUAUCCUUUAAUAACAAUUCCAAUUGUUGAGAUUUAUGAUAGCCCUAAAAUUGUUGAUGCAUCUCACUGGUAGUGGUCCAGUAAAAUAAUUACUUCGAAAGUUUGGUCCAAGACUGUUAGCGUCUAUUGACUUCAACUGCUCUUGCUUCCUCUUACUGUUAGUUUUCAACCUAAGAAUCUACAAGCAACCAUGCAGAAUUCCACACAAAUAAUAUGAAAAUUUUGCAGUAUUGACUAUAUACAUUUACUCGAGAAAAGCUGAGAUUAUAGGCUUGGAGAUCCUAAUUUUUACUAUUUAAAAUAUUUGUUACCUGAUCUAUUUAAAAACAAAAAUUCUUUUUCAUAUCACUGUGAAAUUUGUGAAUUGGCUAAACAACACCGGUCAUUCUUCCCACCUCAAAAAUAUAAAGCUUCCAAACCUUUUUCGUUAAUUCAUAGUGAUGUUUACGGACCUUCAAGAGUCUCAAUUUUUUUAGGAAAACGUUGGUUUGUCACAUUUAUUGAUGAUCAUACUCGCAUUUGUUGGGUGUUUCAAGAGUCUCAACUUUUUCAAGAAAACGUUGGUUUGUCACAUUUAUUGAUGAUCAUACUCGCAUUUGUUGGGCGUUUUUAUUAAAAGAUAAGUCUGAAGUUAAAAAUGUGUUUCAGUCUUUUUAUGCUAUGGUGAAAACACAAUUUUGUGUGAAAAUAGAAGUACUUCGAAGUGACAAUGGUGGGGAAUUUUUUAGUAACCAAUUAGGUGUCUUCUUAACCAAACAUGGUAUAGUCCACCAAAGCUCUUGUACAAAUACACCACAACAAAAUGGGUUUGCAGAAAGAAAAACCGACAUAUUUUGGAAGUAACUAGAGCCUUGAUGUUCACUAGUCAGAUACCACAUUAUCUUUGGGGUGAACCCGUGUUAACUGCUACAUAUCUUAUUAAUAGAAUGCCUAGUAAAACUCUAAACUAUAGAACUCCUUUCAGUCUCUUUACAGAUAACUUUCCUAACUCUAAAUUGACCACAGAUUUAUCCCUCCGAGUUUUUGGGUGUAGUGUUUUUGUCCAUCUUCACAAUCAAGGUAAACUAGAUCCUAGAGCAAAAAAUGCUUUUUUGUUGGCUAUGCUUCUAGUAAAAAGAGUUACAAAUGUUACAAUCCAAUUGAUUGGAAGAUUAUUGUUACCAUACCUUAUGUUCAUGAAUUCUCAUCAUCACAUGUUUAUAAAUGCAACUCAAACUUGAAUAAUUGAAUAUUUUGUAAUUCUACAUGUAUUUUUUUUAUGGUGAGCAGUAUAAUGUUCACUAAAAAUUGAAAUUCAAGAAAGAAGACAUACAUAGUUGCACCAUACAAGAUGUUACACUCGAACUAAACCCUUACAAAUAGUACAAAUUGCAAUGAAAUACAGAGGAAUUGGUACAAUCAUAAAGACAGACACAUACCAAUGCAACUUUUCACCAUAGGAAAAACUUUCUGACAGACUACUAAACAAGAAAUUAUGAAGACACAGCAGAAAGGCUUUAACUUCAUUUGCACCAACUAGAUCCUUCUUCAUCCAUUGAUGCGAUUGCUAUAUUUUGGUUUUCUUCUUCGCCUCUUCUCAUGUUGGUCUUCAACCAAAUUCACAAACCUUUUCGCCUUACCGGUUUGGAAAACAACACAUCCCAUGGCCAUUCCAAACACUACCCCGCAUCCAUAACCUAUCAACACCACUUUCCAAUCAAAAGCAAUGUAUCGAAAUGGGGUGGGCAAUGGUCGACUCAAAAGCGGCACACAGAGGGUAGAUUUUAGGGUUGGUUAGAUUUUUUUUUAGAAAUGGAGUGUCUGCUAAUAUUUAGGGUUUAUGUUGAGUUAUUUAUGGCGUAUGAAACGACGACGUUUGACGCCAUUUCAGUGGUUUCAAAACGGCGUCGUAUACGGCCGAGAUUCGUGCGGUGACUCGACCCGGGGAGGAUCCGUGUGUUUUCACAUUGGUGGGAUAUCUGUGCUCUAGGUCCUCAAUAUUUGCACUUUGUUUUAAUUCGGUUUCUUUUGAUUCUUCAAAUUGGGCUUCAUAAUUUCUUGCUGACUUCAUUUUAGUCCACUUGCAGCGCUGCGUUUUGGUGGGCAAGGAAUAUUUCCUAUUUUAGUCCCCCAUGUUAUUCAUGAUUUGUAAUUUGGGUCCUUUCCUUUUAUUUAUUUUAGAUUUUUCCCCUGAAUUACUGCUUUAAUGCCAAUUUAGUUCUUUGUUUGUUAUUAUUGCUAUAGAAUUAUUUAGUUUGUUAUUAUUGGUGUUACUAUUAUUAGUUUAUAUAUUUACUUAUUUUUAUGCAUGUACAUUAUUUUAUUAUGUAGUCUUAUUUUAAUUAUUUUUUUAUCUAAUGCAUUAGUAUAUAUUUUUAUGUUAAUUCAAUAUUAUCUAUACAUUUUUAAUGAGUUUAUUUUUAUAAUACAUUUUUCUUAAAAUGUUUAUUUAUAUAUACUUUUGUGCUUUAAAAAUCAAUAAUAUUUUUAUAUAAUACUAUUUUAUAUAUAUAUAUAAUUUGUAUUAAGUUUUUUUAUUAUACAUAUAUAUACCUAAUAUAUCAUCGAUUUCAUAUUUACGUAUUUUUUUACUUAUUUCAUCAUUUAAAACUUUACUUUAUUAUAAACUUGAUUUAUAUCAACCUUUUAUACAUACAAUUAUACAUAUAUUAUUAUAAGAAAUUUUACAAUCCAUAUGUAAUAUUUAUUUAAAUUAAUAUGUAUAUAUUAUUUCAUGUAUUUCGGUUUUCUUCAUAUACAAUACUCACUUUAAAAUUUAUUUUAAUAUUAUUUUUUUCAUAGUAUUUAUAUUUUAUCUUCAUUUUUGACUUAUUUCAAACUCAUAUAUGUAUAUUGUUUAUUUUAAAAUUUUACACAUAGAACUCAUUUUUUGUAUUGAUAAUUUUAAAUUUCCUUGUGUAUGUUUUUUUAUUUAUUCUAAAACUUGUUACAUUUUAUUUGUGUUAAUCUGCUUGUUUCUUAGUUUUUUUAUUAGCUUUUAAAUAUUAAUGUUGAUAUUUACGUGUGAUGUAAGAUUAUUGCCCUAAUGUGUAUUGUAUUGCUUAUUUGUAUUCAUUAGUAUACAUUUUGGCUUAUGAAUUAUCAUUUCACGUUACAUUAUCAUUCCAUCAUUUUUUUUAAAAAGGGGAUUACGUUUAAUUUAAGCACUAAAAUCGAUUUAUCCAUAAGAUAACGCAAUACUCGGCAUUUGAGAUCUUCGAGCAGAUUGAGUCCUAACGUAUUGGGUUCCAAUUUUCCUUGUUGAAUCUAAAUAAUCAAGAAUAUUCUUUAAUCAAAACACAUAAAUAAAAAGCUCAUUCUCGGGAAUUUGAUACGUUGUGUCCUAACGCAUUGGAUAUGGCAUAUUGUUUUCUCGAGAUGAGGAUUUUUUUCUAAAAAAUAAUAAAGGCAAUAUUCAAUGUUUGGAAUUUUGAGAAAUUGUGCCCUAACGUAUUUGGUUUCGAUAUUUCAUCUGACUUAAACAAUUGAAUAUCCUUUUUAAACUUCACUGCAUGAGUUUUAAAAAAAAAUCAAAAGACAAGCUCAUUUUUGAGGAUGCGAAACAUCACAUCCUAACUCAUUGGAUGUGACAUUCUAUCUCCCAAAAUGAAGGGGGUCUUAGCACGCAUUUUGAUUACAUUUGAGCUCCCUAAACAACUAAGAAAAUUAAGAUUGAUGAGAUUACAAAGUAGAUUGACUUAGCCUUCUUCCUUAUAAUACGUAAAGAACGUGAGUGUCUAUUCACUUAGUAUGUAUGGCCGUCAAGCAAUGUAGAAAUUCGCACACAAAAGAACGAAAUUGUGCACUACUUAAAAAUUCAAAGCAUGUGUGACCUAUAUUCAUUUAUUUUAUUGCAUAAAAUUCAAGGCAUGUAUGUUGAAUAAUUUUAUCCAAGAAGCAUAUUUUCCACAAAACUUUAAUUUGUUGCCAUUAAAUAUGUCAUUUUCUAUUAACGGCAAAAAAACUAUCCGGUAAACCGCAUCUUUUUCUUUAGAUGAAAUUUUGUAAAAAAAAUUUGACAUUAUCACUAAUAUGGUCCUUCAAUUUUAUUUUUUUUAAAAUCAUUUUAACUCUCGAUUUAAUAUUUCGCCUCUUUGAGCUUUUAAAUUUGCGUUAUUUAUCAAAUUAUCUCAAAAUGGAUGAAAAAGUUAACAUUUGUUAAUUUUAUUGACGAGACAUACAUAUCGAUAUCAUAUAAACAGUUAAUUGAUUUUUUUAAAAAUUUUUAAAAAUAAAGCAUAUAUUAAAAUUUUCUAAGAAAUAAUGACCAAACUUGGAACAAUCGCAGAAGAAUGUCCAAUAAUUCCAAACAAAUUAACGCAACAUUUUAGUUAUUGUCUACUGUCCAAUAACGCCAUGUGUAUUAGUACAAACAUUCAUUAAACCUAAUUUAAUUUUAGCCCUUAAUUUAAUUUUUCAUCUUUUUUUAGCCCUUAAUCCACAUUGUUUAUCAAAUAACCCUUAAACUUACAUUGUUAUCAGAUGAAAAAAUUAAUAUAUAUCUAUUAACUUUGCUAGCGUGCAUAUAUAUGCAACUUCAUUUAAAUCUAAAAAAUAUAAAAAUUUAUUAAAUAUGUAUAAAUCUAAAAAUUUCUUAAAAUUAAAACUAAAUUUUUUUAAACUAAUGCAAAUUUUUAGUAUUUAAAAAAUCUUAAAAUUUUUAAAUUAAAUUCCUUUUCUUUUCCAGCGUUGAAGAACACCUUCAAUCACAUCAACAACUUCAUGCUGUUUUGCCUAGAAAUUGUUUUGCAAAUUUAUUUUGUUUUAUUUAUUUCUAAACCCAUAUUUCUUUUCUAUAACUCUAAUUAUUAGAUUGUUUAGGGUUUUGAGUAACUUUCGAUUUUGGAAUUUUAGAUUUUUUAAAUUUAAAUACGAAGUGCUUUUCUUCUUCUCCAAACCCAUAAUUUUUUCUGCCAAAUUUCAACUCAAGGUUUCACUUUUAGCUAUAAAUAAAACAUAUAUUAUAUUUAUAAUGACCUAAGAAUAGUAAAGUUGACGCCGAUCUACAUGAAAAAGGAGGAAAAAAAAAACAGGCAAAGAAAGAUAAUAUGAAGAGAGCAUAAAUCAAUAAAGCAAAUGAAAAACAAGUAGAAUUAAAGUGAAUGAGUAUUUAAUAAUUUUUUUGUGAAAAACGAGUAGAAUUAAAGUGAAUGGGUAUUUAAUUUUUUUUUUUGUGAAAGUUCAAAGACUGAAUAUUUAUGAGCUUGGAUGUGGAAAAAUUAGUUGGAAUUUUUUUUUUCUUGCACCAAUUGAUUUUUUAUAUAAAAUUUGUAUUUAUUUUUUAAGAUUUUUAAAUUUUGUUACAAUUAUUUUUAUGAAAAUUUGAAAAUAUAAAAAUACUUUUUGAACUAUAAUUCAAGGAUUAAAUUAGCUAUUAAUCAUUUGAAUAAAUAAAACAUAUACAUGAAUUAAGUAAUUAAUCCACAAGCAAUGUUGGACAUUUUCAUAAUGCCAAAUUUCACUUCAGAUUUAGUUACCCAUAAUCAUAUUUAAACAAACAAAAACACAACAAUCACACAAAAUAGGCAUAACUAGAAAACAUGAGAAAAAUGAGAAAAGCUUGAAAACAAUUACAAUGGUAGCAAAGGAAAUGUAAAAAAAAAAAAAAAACACUUAAAAAUCAGAUUUUUAAUGAUGAAGGGAAUUGAUUUAUACUAAAACCAAGAAUUAAACUAAAAAUACAAAGAGUUACAGGUACUAAACAAGCAAAUAAAUCCUAGCUACAAUGAUAAUUAACUUAAUUAACUACUAUUGGAACCAAGAAAAACUAAAAGAAAACAUGAAUUACACCCUAGAGUUAUGGAGAAGAAAACAAAAACUCUAAAAAUAAAGAGGAAAUUUGAAAACCAUGAAAUGUUAAGUGUGCCUUUUGUUCAGCCAAUUUUUUGCCCUUUCUAGAAUUACAGAUCCAAAAAUAGUGACCAAAUUGUCCUUGAUCGUCGAAUUUUGGUUAGGGGACAUGUUGGAAAAGGAUUAGCCCUACGGUUAUAUUUUGUCUUCUCUCAUCAAUGAUAUUGCGAUACCCAAAUUUGGUAUCGCGAUAUCCACAACAGUCUUGGGGAUCCUUGGGAGUUUUGGGUAUCGCGAUACCUUACGACCGGUAUCAAGAUAACACUAUUGAUGGCUCAAUCUUCCUUGUUUUUAACAUUGUUAUGGGUAUUACGACUUUCAUGCUUUGAUAUGCGAUACCCUCUUUCUAGGUGACAUUUUUGCUCCUUUCGGGCCAUGAUGGGCUCUCUGCAUCACUCACCAACCUCAUUAGAUUCCCCAGGUGCCAUUUGGCCAUCUCAGGUCUCAAAAUAGCAUCAAAAUGCACACUAACCAUUUAUUAAUAUAAAGAACUAAAACUAAAUAAAAACACAACAAAGAUAUCUAAAUUGCUCGAAACUAAGCUUUUAAGUGUGAUGGAGAGCCUAAUUUGACAUAUCAAUUUACAGCAGAUCAUAAACAUAAUUUGCGGAACCUUGUUAAAAUUUCGGAUUUCUUUAUUAGUUUUUCUUUCAAUAUUUUAAACGGUACAUUUGUAGUAAUAUAUUGUGCAGAUCAUAGACUAAAAUGCUUUAUUAGUUUUCUAUUGUUAAUCUCUUUUUUUUCUUAUUAUUAACACCACUUCCUUUUUACCAUAUAAUUUUUAUUCAUAAGAAAGAAGUGAAAUAAUUAGAAUGAAUGAGAUUACAAAGUAUAUUGACUUGGACUUGCUUCCUUUAUAUGUAUGAAUGUGGAAAUUGGCAUAAUGCCAACUUAUUUUCCACGCAGAAGAAGAAAAUGGUGCUCUAUUCACUCAGUUUCUAACAACACCAUAAUAACAACACCAAUUUGAACUCCCUAAAGAAAGAAGAAGUGAUGAGAUUAGAAAGUAUAUUGACUUGGUCUUGCUUCCUUUAUAUGUAUGAAUGUGGAAUUUGGCAUAAUGCCAACUUAUUUUCAACGCAGAAGAAGAAAAUGGUGCUCUAUUCCCUCCCUUUAACUUAGCAACUAAGGUCUAGCAAACAAGGCCACAUAUGACUUAGAUAUAUAUAUAUAUAUAUAUAUAUAUGGUCCCUAAGUGUGUAUAUAUUAAUAUAUUUUAAAGUAGACAAACUUAUGCCUUAAAAGUUGAAUAAUAGUAUCUAAGAAACAAAUUUUCCACCAGACUGAAAAUUUUGUAUUGCUUGGAAUUAAUUGACUGUCAUUUUCUAUUACUUGCUAGAAAUAUAUUGUAUUGCUUUAAAUUCAAACAAGAAAUAGGGGAAAUUUCACAUCAAUGCAUUCACUUCACUUGGUCAACUUGAUCGACUAGCAGGAAGGAAAUUUCAGUCAUUUGCAGCAUCAGAAUUCCACACCCUCAAAAUAAUUUGCAAUUUCAAAAAUAGAUGAAUUAGUGUGGUUCAAAUACCAAGACUACAAUAUCUAUUCACUUCACUUCGUCUUUAUUACUCACACAGAAUUUAUCAUCAUCAUCAUCAUCAUUAUAUUACUCUUUUAUUGUUAUUUUUUAUUUUUUUCUUGUUACUUUUAUUUGUUAUUAUUAUUAUUUUUAUACUUUCAUGUUUUCUUUUUCAUAUAUUCCACCUUUUAUUUGUUUAUUUAAUUCUUUUACUUAAUUAAUAUUAGAUUUUAUUAGUUGAUGUUAUUACUUAUUUAUUGUUUUUGAUAUAUCAUCGCUUCGUUAAUAUGCACCAUCAUUUUAUUAUUGUUACAAUUACGUCACGAGCCGUUUUAAAUGUAUUCAUGCUUUUCUAAUAUGCCCCGAAUAAAUUAAAUACCUACCGUUUUAAAUAUUACAUUAACUUUUAUGCGAUACCUAAAAAACGAAUUUUUUUUUUACCAAGACAAAUGUUUGUUAUUUCAAAUUUAGAAAAAUCAUGUUCUAACUUACGGAAUAUGGUUUCCUUCUAAAAUUGAGAUAAUUGAAUAUAUUUUAAAAUAAAUAUUAUUUUUUUUGCAUUUGUUCUCGUUUUCGGGAUUUAAGGCAUGGUGUCCUAACUUACGGAACGUUAUCCUUUUUCCCAAUUAAUUUGAAAUAAAUCCAUUUUUGUGAAAACAAAAUUAAGUAAUAUUGUAACGAAGGAUCGUAUUUUAAAAUCUCUUCAAAUUCUCAAUUUUUGACACUAAGACAUUAAUUAAUUAAUCAAUUAGGUACUAAUUUUGGGCGGUACGAGGGUGCUAAUCCUUCCUCGUACGUAACCGACUCUCGACCCAUUUCCUGGAUUUUUGUAGACCAAAAAUUGUUGCUUCAGUAAAUCAAAUCUUUUAUUAAAACGAUUAAAUUGGAAAGUGAUCCGAUCACACCUAAUAAAAAGGAUUGGUGGCGACUCCCAUUUUCGUUUUCAAAAUAAAAGUCGACCCUUUUCAAAAAUAGUUUCGACAAUGUGUAACAAGUAUUUUUAUUAAUCCAUUUGGAACAAGAUUUUGUUGUCUAAUGUUAAGGUUUGCUGGAGCAAAUAAAUUGAUUAAUGCUUUGAACUUUCCCAAACACUUUUUAUAGUUUUGUUAUAUGCAUUUUGUAUAAUUAGUAUAUUUGAAUAUAUUAGAUACAUUGUCUAAAACAAUGUCAAUUGUAAUUUUUUAUAUUUUAUUGAUCAUAAGCUUAUUAUAUAAAUAAUAUUUUUUUAAAAAGAUGGAGUGAUACAUUUACGUAGUGCUUAUGAAUAUAAUGUUGGAUUAAAAUCCUUAAUUCUGAGUACAUAUGUAUAAUGCUUGAAAUUACAAUUAUCUUAAUAAUUUUGUUUCUGUUUUUGUUGAUUGAUGAUUAUAAAAAUCAUUAUUCUUCUGAAGGCAUGCUUUGUUGUCAAUGACAGUACCUGCACCCUAGAAAAAUCACCAGCUUUAACAACUGUAAGAGUUGUCCUGCCUGACAUUUACUAAAAAAUCACCAGGAAGCACAUUGUCAGGAGAUCCUUGCUGGAAAAAACUUGGUAGGAUGGUUUCUUUUUCUGCAAACUUAGGAUUUCAAUUGAUGUUGAUGCAACAUUUUAGAUCAAGGAACUUGCAAGCCUAUUAUGGUAGAAAUGUUUUAUCCAAAUGAUAAAGAUGUUGAUGCAACAUUUUAGAUUGCAAAUUCCUUGAUCACAUUUGGAAUCCUAAUCACAGGGACUUGCAAGCCUAUUAGCUCCAGGAACUUUAGAUUGUACCUGUUCAAAACAUUUUUUCAAAGAAGGAACCAUAGGUGAAAGGCGUCUAUUCUGGUUCAUCUCAUUGAAUACAUCAAAUGAAGGAUCAAUACGCUGAAAAAGGGACAAUGGAAAGAACUUUAGCCAACAACUUGAAUUUUAUAACUACUCCUAUGCCAACCAGCAAACCAUAACAGCGUGUACAUAAAAAAGAGGAUGCUGACUUACAAUUCCUUUCAUUUCACCACAACCAAUCAAAUCCCUUGCAAUGCUGUUUGGAUCACAGCAGCUCAUCUUUCAAUCCUAGAUGGCUCCGCCAAUUUUUUGAAAGCAUACAUAAACUGUUAAAGAAAUAAAUGGAUAAAACACCUACAGGAUAGAAGGCUGAAAAAUUACAAAGGGCAAUGACCUUAUUGUUAAAAUUCCAACGUCCAUUCCUUGGAAAGAUAUCUUACACCAUUGCCCACUCAAGAGAACUCAAAUAGCAGCAAGAUCUAGUAUAAAAUGUAACUCUCAACAACAUACACAAAUGUUUGUUCUAUCAAGGAACAACAUACACAGACAUAUUCACCUACCCUUGGUGCUGGCAGAAUAUGCCCAUUCACUUGGGUGAAAUUAGAGUUGAUAUUAACCCCACAAGAUUUCAGCACCAUAAUUACUGCUAAGUAAAACCUGCACAUAAAUUUUCAGCGCUAUGUAUACAUUGUGUCACUUGCAUCCAAAUCAAAUAUUUCGGGCUACAGAGUUUCAUAGAUAUGACGAAGGUAUUAUCGGGGGAUUGUACCAUGUAUACCUGACACGAAGGACCUACGACUAUGGGAGAUCUCAAGCACUUCGUUUUCCAUGCGCACAUGCAAUUGCUGCAUGUGCCUCAACAUGUCUGGACUGCAUGAGCUAUGUUGACGAUGUGUACAAACCAAAAUGCAUAUAUAAAGUAUGAAAAUUUGAAUUCCCACCAGACCCAAAAAGCCUACUGGAUUUUGGUCGGAUACGCAACAAUAUGAAUAUUUGGGAGAAGAUUGACCAACCAAGGUUAUACAAUUAUUGUAGGAACGGCCUGGGCAUAGUAAGUCAAGAUGUCCACAAUUGGGGGCAACAUUGAGGAGAAGAACAAAUUAAAACAUUCGAUCGUUUUUUUUUGAAUAAGCAUACAAGAAAAAACAAAUAAAUUUUUUCAUUUUUUCAUUGCUUCUCAGCUUUUGGUAAAUUGUAAAUAAGUAUAUAUAAUUAAUGUAAAAUACAAUACAAUACAAAACAAUAUAAAUACUUUUUUUCCUUUUUUUUAGAUUGUAAAUAAGCUUAUUAUUGAAAAGGCAUACAAUAGAAUACAAUAGAAAUAAUUUUUUAAUUUUUUCGUAGAUUGUAAAUAAGUAUACAUUAUUGAUGUAAAAUAUAGUUGAAAAUACUUUUUUGAUAAAAUUGGAAUAAACACAUUAUGGAUGGAAAUUUUUAAUACAAUACAAAUUGAUCAUUAACAAACUAAAUGACGAUUUACAUAAGAAAAAUUUAAAAUAAAAAAAUCAUCAGCUUUGUUGGCCCGAAUGUGUGCCACAACCCGGUGAGUGUCAGUUAUGAGUAGGAUUUCAUCGUAGUUGGGGUUCUAGCUCUUCCUUAUCUUCACCUCCACCUCCAACUUGAUCUUCACCUUCAUCUUGUUCCUCUGUGCUUGUAUGCAUUAAAUUCUUGCAAUACAGGGGAGAGAAACCUAGUUUUCCCGUAAGCUUAUUAUCAAAAAAGUUGAGCAGUUUCAGGUUCCAGCAAAUGGAAAGGGGCUCAGCGAUCUUACUCAGCCAAUAGUGAGCUAAGAAAUCUUUAAUGACAAUAUGGGUGCGGGUUUUCGAGGAAUACAAAUAACCUCUGGGUUUUUUUUCCAAAUUUGACAAGCAUCUAGAAUAACUAGUGAAUUACAAUUCUAUUGUACCACAAUAGGUGCAUUGGUCUUUGCGGACUUGAUGUUUUUUGCCUGUUGGUUCUAUUAUCACAAAGCAAACCCAAAAUUGGCUUGGUUCCGAGAUGUAGAAUCUAUAUUGAAUCACCAUUUAGCAAGGCUACUGGGGCUUGGUUACCUUUCUUGGGCGGGGCAUCAAGUACAUGUCUCUUUACCAAUAAACCAAUUUCUAAAUGCUUUAGUAGACUCUAAAGAGAUCCCACUUCCCCAUGAAUUUAUAUUGAAUCAUGAUCUUUUGGCUCAACUUUAUCCCAGUUCUGUCGAGGGAACAACCCCAUUUUUACCUUGAAUUGGUCAAAAUAUGCGAAAUUUCUUACUAUUCGUGGAUGAUUAAAUCCAGUGAUUGGGGGUCCAUGGUUGACUGGCAUUGCACACCAUCAUUUAGCUAUUACAAUUCUUUUCCUAAUAGUAGGUCACAUGUAUAGGACCAAUUGAGAUAUUGGACAUAGCCUAAAAGAUAUUCUAGAGGCUGUUAACCACCAGGUCGGAGGUUCAAGCCCACUUUGUAGCGUUUCACUUUUGGUAAAAUUUCAUCCUUGGUCCCUUUAAAUUCCUUUUUGCUUUAAUUUGAUUGCUUUCUAGACCAAGAAGCAGACCAAGCUGUAAGAGCCAUGCAAGCUGCACCUGAAGCUUAUGUUGCUGUUUUGUUACUUUCAAAUAGAUAUUUUAUUACUUACUUAGAUAUGAACUAAGUUGUUGAUAUGCUUGAACUAAUUAGGUGCUGAUAGAUUGAUAAAUCAGCUUUACCAAGUGUACAAGCAAUGUUUAUCAAGUUACUAAGCCACUUAGUGGAGUUAGGUAUGUGUUUAGGUAACAUUUUCUUAUUUUUGACCAGCUGAUUGCUUAGUAUAUGUAAUGGCAUUGUGCCUUCAUUCAAAUGUAAUGAAAUCUUUCAGAAAAUUCUUCUUCAUUUGGUCUUUACUUAAAACAUUUUUAUUCACAAAGCUCUUGCUGUUUUUGUUUUGUUUGUUGAGCUAGAUAUCAAUGCUUUAUGCUUAAGUUUCUGUCAAAAUUUCUAAUUUUGUUUUCUUAGUUCCUACAGACAUUUUGUUCUCCUUUCUCCUUGACUGAGCAGUAGCAAAGAUUAUUGAGACUAAAUUGAAAUCCAUGAAAGAAGACAUAAACAACACCACCAUACAAAAUGUUACACUCAAACAAACCAUUACAGAUAGUACGAAAUGCAAUGAAAGACAGAGGAAUUGGUACAAUAAUAAAGACAGACAGAUCCCAAUGCAACCCUUCACCAUAGGCAAAACGGUCUACAAAACAAGAAAUUAUGAAAAUACAACACUAAUUCUUGAACAUCAUUUGCAGUAAUUAGAUCCUUCUUCGUCUACUGCUACGAUUGCCUUUCUUUGACUUUCUUCUUCGCCUCUUCUCUUGUUGGUUUUCAACCAAAUUCACCAACCAUUUCGGCUUACCAGUUUGGAAAACAACAUAUCCCACGGACAUUCCGAACACCACUCCGCAUCCAUAACCUAUCAACACCACUUUCCAACCAAAAGCAAUGUUUGAUUUUGAGCCAUCUUUUUCAAGCACAUUUGGAGGUGCUGGCUCAAUGAUGUUGCAACCUUUCGAGACCGGAAAUCCACAUAGUCCCUUAUUCCCUUCAUAUGAAUCAUUUCCAAAUGUGUUGAAUAGUUUGCCUUGAGGAAUCUGACCAUGGAGUUGAUUUUCAGAAACAUUUAAGGACGAAAGAAAUGGCAGAUCUGCCAAUCUAUUUGGAAUCAUCCCAGACAACCUGUUUGAAGAUAGGUCCAACCAUUCAAGACUUGUCAAAUUCCCUAUUGAGGUGGGGAUAUCACCAUUAAGGUUAUUAUGAGAAAGGUUGAGCCCUUUCAGUAAGUUAAGCUUCCCAAUAACCUUUGGAAUACCCCCUUCAAACUGAUUGUUUGAUAGAUCAAUGAUCAUCCACAUGGUGAAAAUUUUCACCAAUUCCAUAUCUCUCCCUUUCAUAACAAUUCCAAUGGAAUAGGUAUAGAAGUCACCUCCAUCAUCAUUCACCCCCAUGUACGACACUGUACUACCAAUCUUCUCUACAUUUAUGAUAGCCUUGAAGCUGUUGAUGUAUCUCACUGGUAGGGGUCCAGAAAAAUAGUUACUUGAGAGGUCAAAAAUUUGGAUUUUAGAGAAAAAAGGGCUAGACUUAGAGCUAUUGACACAUAAGGAACCAUGCAUAUGAUUUGACUUCAAUACAAGAACUUGCAAAAAUGGAAGACUUCCCAACCAAUGAGGAAAUGUAUCAUUGAUCUUGUUGUUACCAAGAUCUAGCACUUCCAGACCAUUACAAUUAAGGAUGGAUGGUGUCAAAAGCCCUUCUAACAGAUUUCCAUUUAAGUUGAAAUUACUCAAUUGGCAUCCCUCUGCAAAUGUUGGAGGAAUCGUCCCAUAAAACUUGUUCUUCUUCAGAUUCAAGAAUUCAAGGCCGUAGCUCAAAUUUCCAAAACAUUGCGGAAUUGUUCCACUCAAGUUAUUGUGGGACAAAUCAAGAAUUCGAAGAGAAGUGACAUUGCAGAUUAAAGAAGAGACCUCUCCAUUGAAACUAUUAUUUGAGAUCAGAAAGACAUUGAUGGUCGAAGCUGGAAUCGGAAGAUUUCCACGGAUCAAAUUGGAGCUUAAGUCAAGAAAUUCAAUAUUCUUCCAUGGAAAGUGCUCAACUUCUGUCAAAGAGUUGUGAGAUACAUUUAAGUAAGUCAAAGAGUCAUUCCCCACCUCUUGCAUCCACUGUGGAAUCUUGCCUUCAAUUUUGUUGCAAGAGAGGUCUAAGCUUUCCAAACUUUUAAGCCCUUUUAAAAAUUGGGGGAAUUCACUAAGAUUAUUUGAGGAUAAAAGGAGGUGGGUAAGAUUGAGAAAUUGGGAUAUUGAAGAUGGAAGAGGACCCUGGAGUUUAUUAUUGUCUAGAUAUAAAUAUUCUAGUGAUUUGGAUUGGAAUUCUUUGAUACGCCCACUGAAUUGAUUUUGAGAGAGAGAUAUUGCCUUUAAGGAGGGAGCAGUAUACAGCCAUGACGGAAGUGUUCCAUUGAGUAAAUUGUUCGUUAAGUCUAAGGCUAUGAGAUUAGGAAGAGCGGUUACCUCAUCUGGAAUGGAACCUUCUAAAGAAUUUUCAGAUAUUUCCAAGUAUUCCAGCUGCGUUAGGUUUAGAAUUGACAAUGGAAUUUGUCCACUCAAUUGGUUCUGCGAGAAGUCUAAAUGAGUGAGUUGCAAGAGGUUCCCCAAUGAUCUUGGAAUUUGUCCACUCAAUUGGUUCUGUGAGAAGUCUAAGUGAGUGAGUUGCAAGAGGUUCCCCAAUGAUCUUGGAAUUUGUCCACUCAAUUGGUUUUGUGACAAGUCUAAAUAAGUGAGUUGCAAGAGGUUGCCCAAUGAUCUUGAAAUUUGUCCACUCAAUUGGUUCUGCCACAAGUCUAAAUGAGUGAGUUGCAAGAGGUUCCCCAAUGAUCUUAGAAUUUGUCCACUCAAUUGGUUCUGCGAGAAGUCUAAAUGAGUGAGUUGCAAGUGGUUCCCCAAUGAUCUUGGAAUUUGUCCACUCAAUUGAUUCCCCGACAAGUCUAAAUGAGUGAGUUGCAAGAGGUUCCCCAAUGAUCUUGGAAUUUGUCCACUCAAUUGGUUCCCCGAUAAGUCUAAAUGAGUGAAUUGCAAGAGAUUCCCCAAUGAUCUUGGAAUUUGUCCACUCAAUUGGUUGUCUCCCAAGUUGAGGAGAUUGAGGCUUGGAAAAUCAAAAAUGUUUUUUGGGAAUUUUCCUUGCAAAUCACAACCAGCAAGACUGAGAGACCUUAGAGAAGAGGAUAGAUUCAUAAAGACAUGAGCAUUAACAGAAGACAUGUUGAUUCCAUCCAAAAACAGAUGCCUGACCUCGGUUAGGUUGUGAACAAGUCCCUCCAGAGCAUGUUUGUCAAUUGUUCUUUCAUAAGCCGGACCGGAGAGAUCAAGUGAAACCAAUUUUGACAGGUGAAGACUUGGGAUGGGACUUCUCCUGCAAAUUCUGUAUAAGAAAGGUUGAGGUAGAAUAGGCUUGUAAACCGACUGAACUCGGAUGGAAUUUUGGAAAGAUUAAAGUCAUUGUAGGCAAGGUUGAGUUUUUGAAGGUGAGGAAGAAGAAAGAGAGUGGUAUUGGAAGGGAAGUUGCCAUAUAGCCAACUGCAGCUCAAGUCAAGGGCAAUAACAUGAGCAUUUAGGUGGUCACAAGUGACCCCAUCCCAUGAGCAGCAAUCUGUACCCUCCUUCCAUGAAUUUGUCUUGGGAUAAGAUUGAAGGCCAGCAAUCUCAUCGCAAUAAGAAGAAGCAUCCUCUGUUAUGGAAAAAGAGUCCUUAAACUGGAUUAGCGAAGAGCAGGAGUGAGAUCCUGAAGAAGAAAAAGAAGCAUAAAGAUGGGGAAAGAAGAGGCAUAGGCAGAGAAAGAGAUAGGAGGCCAUGUUCUGUUUGUAGAGGAAGAUGGAGGAUAGGGAUGGUAUUUAUAGGCAACAAAUAAUACCACAACAUUGGUGUUACAGUCUUUUUUUUUACAUUGAAAAGCUAUGGAUAUUAGAUUUUCAAAAAUUUUAUAAUAUAUGGAUUAUGACAUAUAAAUUAAUGAAAUCAUAUAAUUUUUUGUUAAUAUAUGAAUAUUAUGUUUGAAUGUAAAAUAUAAUUCUCAAGUUAUUUAUUACUUCUAAUAUCUAAUAUUUCAUUGUAGAAUAAUUAAAUUAUUUGUUUCACUAAUGAUAUUUUAGCACAUUAAAUAUGUAUUGCAGUUUAAAAAUAAUAAUGUAGAUUAUAUAUUAUUUUUAUAGUAUUAUAUAUUAUGAUUUUAGUAAAUUCAUAUAGUAGUAAUUUUAUUAAGAAUUUUAUUAAAUUAUAUAUCAUUUUAUUAAAUUAUAUUUAAUAAUAAUUAUGUUAAAAUAUGGUUAAAUUAUUUAUUAUUUUUAUUAAUAAUCUUAUUAAAAUUUAAUAACAAUAACAAUAAUCAUCUACUUAAAAAAAUUUUUGCUAAGGGUAUUUUAGUCAUUUUAGUUUUUUUCCUUAUGCUAUUACAACAUUAUUCCAUUCAACCAAACAGAAGAAUACUAUUACGGUUCUAUUUCAUUCCAUUCAACCAAACAAUUAAAUUAUAGAUUAUAGCUUUAUUCCAUUACAGCUCUAUUAAAUUACAACUCUAUUCCAUUAUAGUGAACCAAACGUACCCUAAGUAUGUAGGGCUGUCAAGCAAUGUAGAAAUUUGCACAGAAAAGAACAAAAUUGUGCACUACAUAAAAAUUCAAAGCAUGUGUGGCCUAUAUUCAUUUAUUAUAUUGCAUAAAAUUCAAGGCAUUUGUGUUGAAUAAUUUUAAAGCAUAUUUUCCACAAAACUUUAAUUGGUUGCCAUUAAAUAUGACAUAUAUUUUCUAUUAACUGCAAGAAAACUAUCCGGUAAACUGCAUCUUCUAUGGUCCUUCAAUUUUAUUUUUUUUUAAAGUCAUUUUAACUCUCCAUUUAAUAUUUUGCCUUUUUGAGCUUUUAAAUUUGCAUUGUUUAUCAAAUCAUCCCAAAAUGGAUGAAAAAGUUAACAUUUGUUAACUUUAUUGACAAGACAUACAUAUCGAUAUCAUAUAAACAAUUAAUUGAUUUUUAAAUUUUAUAUUAAAAUUUUCUAAGAAAUGAGGAAAUUUGGAAGCAUUGCAGAAGAAUGUCCAAUAAUUCCACACAGAUUAACAACUCUAUUGACUACACUACAGAUUAAUAAAAUUUUAUUUGCUGAGCUCAAAAAAAGAAAAAAGAAAAAAUAGUUGCAAUUAAUGUGUUUUUGGUGGUGAGUAGGGGAUUGAAGAAGAAAAUAGAUGGAAAAUUAAAUUAAGUAAAACAAAAGGCAAGUCUAGUUGUCCACUACAACUUUUUCAUUCUAAAGAAAUAAUAUUUUACCAGCAUCGUUGAAAAAUUAACACAAAAAGUAAGUCUAGUGUGGAAAAUUGAAAAAUUACAUUGUAAAGCUGAAGUGGAAUUUAGAACAAAAGCAAAACACAGGCCUUAAUUAGUGGUUAUUGUCAAAAAGUAAUUGGACACAACAAUUGCAACUGCAAGGUAUUUUCUGAUUCAUAUUAUUGAAGAAUUCAAGGCCCACUGUUCCUUCGCUUCAUGUGGAACUGAAGAAGAAAAUUGUGGGUAAAUUCAACAGAAAGCAAGUCUAAGUCAUGAAUUAAAGGUUGAGUAGGACUAACAAAUUCAGACAUUAUUCACAUUUGAGUCGUAAAGUCAUUAAUCUCUCAUUAGUGCUACCAAUAACAAUGUCUUUUCCAUAUAAGUAUAGGGUACAACGAUAAGAUUAAAUCAAAAUUAAAACAAAAGCAAAACAGGCUUAUUACUUACUCCUUAAUUAGUGCUUAUAGUCCAAAAGUAAUUGGACACACAUCAAUUAGAAUUGCAAGGUAUUUUCUGAUUCAUAUUAUUGAAUAAUUCAAGACCCAUAUCUCAUUUAAAUGUCCAAUAAAAAUGUCGUCACCCGUAAGUUAGGAUGCAACAUUUAAAUUCCCGAGCAUAAUCUAGCCUUUAAAAACCUUUAUUGAAACUUUAUGUAUUUGAAAACUAAAAAUGUUUGACCACCUUGGUUUAGUGAGGAAAUCGAAACCCCGUAACUUAGGGCACAAUUCUUCGAAGUUCCAAAGACGAUAUAUAAGUUUGCCUUUAUUUUAAAAAAACCUUGUCUCGAGAUAUCGAAAGGUCAUAUCCAAUGAGUUAGGACACAACGUUUCGAAUUCCCGAGAUAAGCUUUGAUUUGAAAUUUUUACAUUUUAAUUAAAGAAGGAUACUCGGUUACUUAAAUUCAACGAGGAAAAUUGGAGCCCAGUAAGUUAGAGCAUAAUCUUCUCGAAAAUCUUGGAUACCGAGUAUUACGUUAUUUUGAAAACCUUUGAAUAAAACGAUUGCAACACUUUGAUUAAACGCAACCUUUUAAACGAAUAAAAUGCGAUGGAACAAUAAUGUACAGCGCAAAGUGAUAAUUCGUAAACUAAAAUAUAUGCUAAUGAUCGACAAGGAAUCAAUGAAUACGGGUAAGCAAUACAAUACAUCAUAUAAGAGCAACAAUCUCAUAUCCCACAUUGUGCAAAUACUAACAAUAUAAAAUAAAAACUUAAUAUAGACAAUAAUGUAUACAAAUAAUAUAUAUAUAUAUAUAUAAAUGUUGAAAUAAACAAAGCGUAUAAUUAAAUAGGACCUAAAAAUAUAAACUAUGUAUACAAUAAUAGGUUUUUUUCUAAAAUAUAUGAACACAUUUAAAAGAGAACUUAACGUUAAUAAUUAUAAUAAUAUGAAAUUAAUAAUAUAUAUAUAGAAUAAAAAUAAUUUAAUAUAAAUUAUAUGUAUAUAUAUAAAAUAGUAUUAUAUAAAAAUAUUUUCAUAUAAAUCUUUAAUACAUAGAAAUAUAUAAAAAGUGAAUUUUAAAAAUAUAUUAUAACAUAAAAAACAUCAAAGAAUAUUCGCGCGUUAGAUAUGCUUUACACAAAAUAAUAGAAAAAUAUGAUAAAUUUAAGUAAUGAAACAUAAUAAAUUUUAAAUAAUAAUACAUAAUGAAUUUUAAAGUAAUAAUACAUAAUAAAUCUAAAAUGUAAUACAUGAUAAAUUUAUAUAAUAUUAAUGAUAAAUUUAAAAUAAUAAUAUCUUGUAAAAAAUUAAAAAAAAAUACAUGAAACUUGAAAUAUCAAUUCAUGAAAGAUUUAAAAUAAUAAUACAUAUAAAACUUAAAAUAAUAAUAAGAUAAAAAUAUUAAACUCAUUCACUAAAUUAGAUUUAAAGUUAAAUAUAUUAAAAAUGAAAUAAUAUACAUUUAAAUAAAUAAAAAAAACAUUAAAAUGAACUAAAGGAUUAAAAUAGAUUUAAAACAUAAAUAAAGGGUCAAAGUAUGACGUGCGAAUAACAUGGGAGCCGAAUGGGAAAUAUUCCAUUUCCUCAAAACGCAGCGUCUUUGCGUGAACCAAAUUAGAUUGAAACAUAAAAUGCGUGACCAAAUUUGACAACUGAAAUAAAAGGAUCAAUUCGAAUGAGUUAUAAAAAAGGGGACCAUUUGCGCAAAUUCACAUUGCGCUAUAAAACACGCGGAUCUGGAACCUGGUUCGGGUCGGGUCAUCGGGCAUGGCCAGUACGGUGCCGUUUUAGAGCCGUUGAAGUUGGUUUAUACGGCGCCAUUGCACGAUUAAUAUAAAACUCAAAUUAACACCAAUAUUAGGCCAUUUUAAACAGCCGAAAACCCUAGCCGCUCAAUCGCUCUAUUCCAUUACAGAUUAUAGUUUUAUUCCAUUACAGCUUUAUUCAAUUACAUAGCUCUAUUUCAUUACAGUAAAUCAAACGUACCCUUAGUAUGAAUGGUUGUCAAGCAAUGUAGAAAUUUGCACACAAAAGAACAAAAUUGUGCACUACUUAAAAAUUCAAAGCAUGUGUGGCCUAUGUUCAUUUAUUUUAUUGCAUAAAAUUCAAGGCAUGUAUGUUGAAUAAUUUUAUCCAAGAAGCAUAUUUUCCACAAAACUUUAAUUUGUUGCCAUUAAAUAUGUCAUUUUCUAUUAACUGCAAGAAAACUAUCCGGUAAACUACAUCUUCUUCUUUAGAUCAAAUUUUAUAAAAAAUAUUUGACAUUAUCACUUAUAUGGUCCUUCAAUUUUAUUUUUAAAAAAAUAAUUUUAAAUUUGCAUUUAAUUUUUCGCCUCUUUGAGCUUUUAAAUUUGUAUUAUUUAUCAAAUCAUCUUAAAAUGGAUAAAAAAUUAACAUUUAUUAACUUUAUUGACGAGACAUACAUAUCGAUAUCAUAUAAACAAUUAAUUGAUUUUUAAAUUUUAAAAAUUUUAAAAAUAAAACAUAUAUUAAAAUUUUCUAAGCAUUGCAGAAGAAUUUCCAAUAAUUCCACACAAAUUAACAACAAUAUAAACGCAAUGAUUUUCACUUUUUUUUCAUUUUCCCAAAAACUCAUUUCACACUUAGCUUUAUAAAAAAAAAUUUAUUUUAACCCUUAAUUUAAUUUUUCAUAUUUUUUAGCCCUUAAACCUAUGUUGUUUAUCAAUAACCUUAAACUUACAUUGUUUAUCAGAUGAAAAAAUUAAUAUCUAUUAAUUUUCCUAACGUGCAUAAAUAUGCAACUUCGUUUAAAUCUAAAAACUAUAAAAUAUCUUACAAUUAAAACUAAAAUUUUUUAAACUAAUGCAAACUUUUAUUAUUUGAUUGCUUUCUAGCGUUGCAAAUUACAUAACACUCUUCAAAUGUCUUAUUAAAUUCUCACUUUUACGAGUGCUAUGUUAAUCAAAUAAAAUUCAAUUCAAUUAAUAAGCUUAACUAGAGGAAAUAAGGACUUUACAUCCACCAAUUAAAGCUACCUAUAUGUACCCUUUUACAGUCUGCAUUGUUCCAUGUUUCCAUUCAUUACAUCAUUCCUUCAACUCUGCUAUAUAUUAUUACCGUCUCCAGGUAACCAAACCUUUUACUGCAAAAUUGUAAAAGAAAUUAUGAAAAAUUGAGACAUUGUUGAAGUUGGCUUGCAUGCAGACCAAGAAGCAGACCAAGCUGUCCGAGCCAUGCAAGUUGCAGCUGAAGCUUAUGCUGCUGUUUUGUUACUUUCAAAUAGAUAUUUUAUUACUUAGUUAGAUAUGAACUAAGUUGUUGAUAUGCUUGAUGUAAUUAGGUGCUGAUAGAUUGAUAAAUCAGCUUUACCAAGUGUACAAGCAAUGUUUAUCAAGUUAGUAAGCCACUUAGUGGAGUUAGGUAUGUGUUUAGGUAACAUUUUCUUAUUUUUGACCAGCUGAUUGCUUGGUAUAUGUAAUGCAAUUGUGCCUUCAUUCAAAUGUAAAGAAAUCUUUCAGAAAAUUCUUCUUCAUUUGGUCUUUACCUAAGCAUUUCUAUUCACGAAGCUCUUGCUGUUUUUGUUUUGUUUGUUGAGCAAGAUAACAAUGCUUUAUGCUUAAGUUUCUGUCAAAAUUUCUCAUUCUGUUUUCUUUGUUCCUACAGACAUGUUGAGCAAGAUAACAAUACAAGUUCAAAAGUUAAAAGUGAAGAAAAUUAAAUAAGUAAUUUUUUUAUAAAUUAAAAAGUUAAAUGAGUCAUUAUGGUAUAUAUAUUUAUAAUGGAUUGUAGAAGAAUCCAAUUAAUUAAUGCAUGCCAAUAUAUAUAAUAUCAAUCAUGGAAGUAAUAUAAAUAAAUGAAGUUAAGGUUGGGAUUCAAAUGAUGCAUUUGAAUGUUUGUAAGCACUAUAAGCUAAGGAUAUGCCCAUUUUUUUUUUUGUCUAAAUGCACUUAGCCACACUAUUAACAGUGAUUUUAUGAGUCAGGGGGUGUGUGGUGGUGGUGAUAAGGUCCCCCAAAAUCAAUUUUAGUAAUAAUUAUAUAUUGUAAAGAAACAGUCGCAUUAUGGGUCAAGUCCAAAUUCUUCCAUCCUAAUAAUUGCAUGCAUCCUAUGCUAAAUUACUUUUAGAUUAAAAAUAGAAAAGCAUAACCCCACUAGUCUAGGUUUUAUAUUUUAGAUGCUUACUAUCUAAGUGGAUGAGAAAUUGAUUAUGGUAUCAGUUUAGAAUAAAAGAUUAGAUUGGUUAAUUUAUGAACGGGUUGAAUCGGCCGAUCAAAUAAAUUGAAAUGAUUAUUGAAACUAAAUUGAAAUCCAUUAAAGAAGACAUAAACAACACCACCAUACAAAAUGUCACAUUCAAACAAACCAUUACAGAUAGUACGAAAUGCAAUGAAAGACAGAGGAAUUGGUACAAUAAUAAAGACAGACACAUACUAAUGCAACCCUUCACCAUAGGCAAAACGGUCUACAAACAAGAAAUUAUGAAAAUACAGCACUAAUUCUUGAACAUCAUUUGCAGUAAUUAGAUCCUUCUUCAUCUACUGCUGCGAUUGCCUUCCUUUGACUUUCUUCUUCGCCUCCUCUCAUGUUGGUUUUCAACCAAAUUCACCAACCAUUUCGGCUUUCCAGUUUGGAAAACAACAUAUCCCACGAACAUUCCGAACACUACUCCGCAUCCAUAACCUAUCAACACCACUUUCCAACCAAAAGCAAUGUUUGAUUUAGAGCCAUCUUUUUCAAGCACAUUUGGAGGUGGUGGGUUAAUGUUGUUGCAACCUUUCGAGACUGGAAACCCACACAGUCCCUUAUUUCCUUCAUAUGAAUCAUUUCCAAAUGUGUUGAAUUGUUUGCCUUGAGGAAUCUGACCAUGGAGUUGAUUUUCAGAAACAUUUAAGGAGGAAAGAAAUGGCAGAUCUGCCAAUCUAUUUGGAAUCGUCCCAGACAACCUGUUUGAACAUAGGUCCAACCAUUCAAGACUUGUCAAAUCCCCUAUUGAGGUGGGGAUAUUACCAUUAAGGUUAUUAUGAGAAAUGUUGAGCCCUUUCAGUAAGUUAAGCUUCCCAAUAACCUUUGGAAUUCCCCCUUCAAACUGAUUGUUUGAUAGAUCAAUGAUCAUCCACAUGGUGAAAAUUUUCACCAAUUCCCUAUCUUGUCCUUUCAUAACAAUUCCAAUGGAAUAGGUAUAGAAGUCACCUCCAUCAUCAUUCACCCCCAUGUACGACACUGUACUACCAAUCUUCUCUAGAUUUAUGAUAGCCUUGAAGCUGUUGAUGUAUCUCACUGGUAGGGGUCCAGAAAAAUAAUUACUUGAGAGAUCAAAAAUUUGGAUUUUUGAGAAAAAAGGGAUAGACUUGGAGCUAUUGACACAUAAGGAACCAUUCAAUUGAUUUGACUUCAAAACAAGAACUUGUAGCUGUGGAAGACUUCCCAACCAAUGAGGAAAUGUAUCAUUGAUCUUGUUGUUACCCAGAUCUAGCACUUCCAGACCAUUACAAUUAAGGACGGAUGGUGUCAAAGGCCCUUCUAACAGAUUUCCAUUUAAGUUGAAAUUACUCAAUUGGCAUCCCAUUGCAAAUGUUGGAGGAAUCGUCCCAUAGAACUUGUUCUUCUUCAGAUUCAAGAAUAGAAGGCUGUUGCUCAAAUUUCCAAAACAUUGUGGAAUUGUUCCACUCAAGUUAUUGUGGGACAAAUCAAGAAUUUCAAGAAAAGCGGCAUUGCAUAUUAAAGAAGAGACCUCUCCAUUGAAGCUAUUAUUAGAGAUCAAAAAGACAUUGAUGGUCGAAGCUGGAAUCGGAAGAUUUCCACUGAUCAAAUUGGAGCUUAAGUCAAGAACUUCAAUAUUCUUCCAUGGAAAGUGCUCAACUUCUGUCAAAGAGUUGUGAGAUACGUUUAAGUAAGUCAAAGAGUCAUUCCCCACCUCUUGCAUCCACCGUGGAAUCUUGCCUUCAAUUCUGUUGUAAGAGAGGUCCAAGCUUUUCAAACUUUUAAGCCCUUUUAAAAAUUGGGGGAAUUCACUAAGAUUGCAAGAUGACAAAAAUAAGCUUGUAAGAUUAACAGAAGAAGUAGUAUUAGAUGUUAAGGAUAGGCUGUUAUAUGAAAGGUCAAGAUAUUCGAGAUUUGGAAGGUUUGAGAACAUGCUAAACGCUAUGACACCAGUAAGAUUAUUUGAGGAUAAAUUGAGCUUGGUAAGAUUGAGAAAUUGGAAUAUUGAAGAUGGAAGAGGACCUUGGAGUUUAUUAUUCUCUAACUCUAUCAAUUCUAGUGAUUUGGAUUGGAAGUCCUUGAUAUGCCCACUGAAUUGAUUUUGAGAGAGUUUCAUAUCCUUUAAGGAGGGAGAAGUAUACAACCAUGAUGGAAGUGCUCCACUGAGUAAAUUGUUAGUUAAGUCUAAAGAUAUUAGAUUAGGAAAAGCGGUUACCUCAUCUGGAAUAGAACCUUUUAAUGCAUUUCCAGCUAUUCUCAAGUAUUCCAGCUGCGUUAGGUUUAGAAUUGACAAUGGAAUUUGUCCAUUCAAUUGGUUCUGCCACAAGCCUAAAUAAGUGAGUUGCAAGAGGUUCCCCAAUGAUCUUGGAAUUUGUCCACUCAAUUGGUUUUGCCACAAGCCUAAAUAAGUGAGUUGCAAGAGGUUCCCCAAUGAUCUUGGAAUUUGUCCACUCAACUGGUUCCCGGAUAAGUCUAAAUGAGUGAGUUGCAAGAGAUUCCCCAGUGAUUUUGGAACCGGUCCUGAUAAGUUGGAAUAGGAGAGAUCUAAAAACUUCAAGGACACAAGAUUACCCACCGAGUCUGGCAAUCCUCCAAAAAAAUUUGCGCCUGAAAUUAUCAAUUGCUCCAAACAUGAUAAAUUUGUGAUUGAGACAGACAAUCCUUGAAAGAAAGAAUUUCCUGAUUGAUCUAAGUACUUUAAGGCCUGUAGAUUAUCAACUCAAUCAAUGAAUUCUGUAGAGAAGGACGUCCAUGACAGAUCCAAAUGUUCAAGAUUGCUGCUCCGAUUCAACUUCAAAGGAUCAAGAUUGAGGUUUUGGUUGUCUCCCAAGUUGAGGAGAUUGAGGUUUGGCAAAUCAAAAAUGUUUUUUGGGAAUUUUCCUUGCAAAUCACAACCAGCAAGACUGAGAGACCUUAGAGAAGAGGAUAGAUUCAUGAAGACAUGAGCAUUAACAGAAGCCAUCUCCAUUCCAUCCAAAAACAGAUGUCUGACCUCGGUUAGGUUUUGAACAAGUCCCUCCAGAGCAUGUUUGUCUCCUACAAACCCUGUACUGGAAAGGUCGAGGUAGAGUAGGCUUGUAAACCGACCUAACUCGGAUGGAAUUUCGGAAAGAUUAAACUCAUUGUAGGCAAGGUUGAGUUUUUGAAGUUGAGGAAGAAGGAAGAGAGUGGAAUUGGAAGGGAAGUUGCCAUAUAGCCAACUGCAGCUCAAGUCAAGGGCAAUAACAUGAGCAUUUAGGUGGUCACAAGUGACCCCAUCCCAUGAGCAGCAAUCUGUACCCUCCUUCCAUGAAUUUGUCUUGGGAUAAGAUUUAAGGCCAGCAAUCCCAUUGCAAUAAGAAGAAGCAUCCUCUGUUAUGGAAAAAGAGUCCUCAAACUGGAUUAGUGAAGAGCAGGAGUGAGAUCCAGAAGAAGAAAAAGAAGCAUAAAGAUGGGGAAAGAAGAGGAAUAGGCAGAGGAAGAGAUAGGGGGCCAUGUUAUGUCUGUAGAGGAAGAUGAAGGAUAGGAAUGGUAUUUAUAGGCAACAAAUAAUACCGCAGUGUUACAGUCUUUUUUUCUUUUACAUUGAGAAGCUAUGGAUAUUAGAUUUUCAAAAUUUUUGUACUUUUCACAAUCAUCAACAACCACUUAGUCUUCUUUUUACCAUAUAUUUUUCAUUCUUAAAAUUGGAUGCUUUCUUUUCGCAAAAUCUUGUAUAUAAUUUGGUCUCCCUAAACAACUAAAAAAUUUAAGAUUAAUGAGAUUACAAAGUAGAUUAAUUUAGCGUUCUUCUCUAUAACACGUAAAGAAUGUGUGUAUGUAUUCACUUGCCUAUCAACCAAAGCUAAUUAAUGUGGAAAUUCUUUUCCACCCAAAAGAACAAAAUUGUGCUCUAUUCAUUAAGUUUGAGGAAGAAGAUUGCUGGGAAAUUUAAUCCACUGAUUCCAUAAAAAAUGUGUAUACUUAUAUAACCUCAUAAUUCAAAUCUAAAAUCUCAUUUGUUAUAAAUUCUGAUAAAUUUCUUUGGAAUUGCUAUUUUUCAUUCGCUAAUUAUUUCUCUUUUAAUCGAGUAAAAAAUUAAAACUAAAAAGACAUAAUGAUUUAUUUGUCAUUUUUUAACUUUACAAACAAAAAGUCAUUUUAACUUUUCAUUUUUUUUUAUCUCUUUUAAAUCACCCAAAAAAAAUGAUGAAAAAGACUAACACUGUUUGUUGACGUGACAAUGCCAUAUGAUCAAUAAUCACCGACAUGGUAGUGCCACGCUAUCGCCCAUUGGUGACAUAUUAACCUUUGAGUUAAACUCAAAUUACUCUUUCCUUUGUUAUAAAUUAAGAGUAUAACUAAUUUUGAUAAGAAAGAUUACUUUUCAUUAACUCAGUUUAAAGGGUUACAACAAGUAAAGUUUGGUCUAUUGCAGAAUUCACAUGCAAUGCGGGACAUUUACAUUAUGCAGAAUUCGACACAUAUAUUGGAAUUUUUGUAUUUCCACAAUCAUCAUGUUGUUCGUGAUCAACAACUACUUCUUUUUACCAUAUAUUUUUCAUUCAUAAAAUUGAUUACUUUUUUUUUUACCAAAGACGUAAAAUUAUUAACAUUCAUGAGAUUACAAAGUUAUUUAUCACUUCUAAUAUCUAAUAUUUCAUUGUAGAAUAAUUAAAUUAUUUGUUUCACUAAUGAUAUUUUAACACAUUAACUAUGUAUUGCAGUUUAAAAAUAAUAAUGUAGAUUAUAUAUUAUUUUUAUAGUAUUAUAUAAUAUGAUUUUAGUAAAUUCAUAUAAUAGUAAUUAUGUUAAGAAUUUUAUUAAAUUAUAUUUAAUAAUAAUUAUUUUCAAAUAUGGUUAAAUUAUUUAUUAUUUUUAUUAAAUUAUUUUUAAUAAUAAUCUUAUUAGAAUUUAAUAACAAUAAUCAUCUACCUAAAAAAAAUCUGCUAAAAGUAUUCUAGUCAUUUUAGUUUUUUUCCUUAUGCUGUUACAACAUCAUUCCAUUCAACCAAACACAAGAAUACUAUUACAGUUCUAUUCCGUUCCAUUCAAACAAACAAUUGAAUUACUGAUUACAACUCUAUUCUAUUACAGUGAACCAAAUGUACCCUUAAUAUGAAUGGCUGUCAAGCAAUGUAGAAAUUUGCACACAAAAGAACAAAAUUGUGCACUACUUAAAAAUUCAAAGCAUGUGUGGCCUAUAUUCAUUUGUUUUAUUGCAUAAAAUUGAAGGCACGUAUGUUGAAUAAUUUUCCCAAAAACUCAUUUCACUCUUAGCUUUAUAAUGAAAAAAAAGUUAUUUUAGCCCUUAAUUUAAUUUUUCAUCUUUUUUAGCCCUUAAACCUACAUUAUUUAUCAAAUAACCCUUAAACUUACAUUGUUUAUCAGAUGAAAAAAUUAAUAUCAAUUAACUUUGCUAAUGUGCAUACAUAUGCAACUUCAUUUAAAUCUAAAAAAUAUAAAAAUAAUUAAAUAUGUAUAAAUCUAAAGAUAUCCUAAAAUUAAAACUAAAAUUUUUUAAACUAAUGCAAAUUUUUAUUAUUUAAAAAAAUCUUAAAAAUUUUCAAAAUAAAUUCCAUUUGUUUUCAAAUAAAGAGAAAAAUUGAAAACCAUGAAAUGUUAAGUGUGCCUUUUGUUCAGCCAUUUUUUUCCCCUUUCUAGCAAAUUACAGAUCUGAAAAUAGUGAUCAAAUUGUCCUUGAUCGUCUAAUUUUGGUUAGGGGACAUGUUGGAAAAGGAUUAACCCUACAGUUAUAUUUUGUCUCCUCUCAUCAAUGGUAUUGUGAUACCCAAAGUUUGGUAUCAUGAUAUCUACAACAGUCUUGGGGAUCUUUGGGAGUUUUGGGUAUCGCGAUACCUUAUAACCAGUAUCACGAUAACACUGUUGAUGGCUCAAUUUUCCUUGUUUUUAACAUUGUUAUGGGUAUUACGACUUUCAUGCUUUGAUAUGCGAUAUCCUCUUUCUAGGUGACAUUUUCGCUCCUUCUGAGCCACCAUGGGCUCUCUGCAUCACUCACGAGCCUCAUCAGAUUCCCCGGGUGCCCUUUGGCCAUCUCAGGUCUCAAAAUAGUAUCAAAAUGCACACUAAUCAUUUAUUAAUAUAAAGAACAAAAACUAAAUAAAAAAACAACAAAGAUAUCUAAAUUCCUUGAAAAUAAGCUUUUAAGUGUGAUGGAGAGCCUAAUUUAACAUAUCAAUUUACAGCAGAUCAUAAACAUAAUUUGCGGAACAUUGUUUAAAUUUCGAACUUCUUUAUUAGUUUUCUUUCAAUAUUCUGUACGGUACAUUUGUAGUAAUAUAUUGUGCAGAUCAUAGACUACAUUGCUUUAUUAGUGUUCUAUUGUUAAUCUUUUAUUAUUAUUAUUAACACCACUUCCUUUUUACCAUAUAAUUUUUAUCCAUAAAAAUGAAGAGUUGAUUUACCAAAAAUUAGUAUUUCAUUUGAACUCCCUAAAGAAAGAAGAAGAAUUGAUGAGAUUACAAAGUAUAUUGACUUGCUCUUGCUUCCUUUAUAUGUAUGAAUGUGGAAUUUGGCAUAAUGCCAACUUAUUUUCCACGCAGAAGAAAACGGCGCUCUAUUCACUCCCUUUAACUUGACAAAAUACAGGACAUGUGAUCCACCAAUUAAUGUUUGACUAUCUCCAUCUCACUUUUUAUUAAUCAAGGAAUAUAAGCUUACUAUUUCAACAUUUCACAAGCAACAGCUAAAAUAAUAUUGGUCACAUUAUAAGACAAAAGUUAAAACAGCCUUCAGUACUUCAUCUACAUUCCACGUCAAAUCUGCAAGCAUCAAAUAUUGACCUUUGAACUCCAUAGUCCAUAAUAACAACACCAAUUUCUAACAAUUGCAGAAGAAUGUCCAGUAAUUCCACACAAAUCAACAACAAUUUGCAGCAUCCACUACAUUCAUAUGAAUUCCACACAAAUUAAGACUGCAAAUUCUAACUUGUUUAUACCCUCAAUGAAGCUACCUAAAAGAUAUGAAUUUUAUAAUAUUCUAAAGUUAAGUGACCAGAACAUAAAUUUUCUAAUAGAUUAGUACUUGAGGUGUAGUUUACCUUAUAAUAAAUAACUAAAAUAAAUUUGUGAAUCAAUUGCAUAAUUAAAUUAAGAUUUUCAAGCCUUUUACCAAACCAAACUUGAAAGGAGAAAAAGAUUCAUGAAAGAAUCCACUUUUAAAAGACUUUCACUUUUCCCAAGUCCAAUACACAAAUUCACAAGAUCCCACACUUUCAUUUAUCCUCUUCAGAAAGCAAGGUCCACAACAAGAGAUUAAUUUAGAUAUUAAUUAUUUUAUUUUAAUUAAGUGAGUUUAAAUUAAUGAUAUUUGUUAUAAUAAUUAAGUUAUACUUUCGGGAAGGUUGAUAAUAAUGUUCACACCAUAGAUGUUGUGAAGAGCCACUAAAAGUGAUAAUUUAUCUAUGCUGAAAAGGUGUUUGAAUAGAGUAUUGGACAAUGUCCUACCUAAAGACCCAAAAGGGAUGCCAAUUUAAGAUCCAAGGAAGCCUUCGACUUAUCUCACUUGUGUAAGGAGCAGCAGUUAUCUCUUUACUAUUAACAACAUAAUCAUAUUCUAUAAUUCACCUUUAAGGUGUCUUAUUCACUUGUUUAGGUCAACUAUACCAAAUUCAGCAUUUUAUUUCGCCAAACCAAAAUUGUUAUUUGCCAUAUAGGGAUCGCCAAGCCUAUAAAAGCCAAAAUCAUUUCAAAGAUUUGCCUCGUUUAGCUCGAUUCUUCAAUUUAUCUUCUCAAUCUCAAUUAUUAACGUUUGUCUCUCCAACUUGCCUCCUCAAAUUUAAUCAUUAAAACUAAAUGCAUUACGUGCUCACCAUACUACAAGAACAUAAACUUAUUUAUUUCAAGAGGAUCACUUUAUAAAUUUCCAUCAAUUAGGGAAAAAUUAUUAUACCUCUAUAAGUAUAUUUUAAAAUAUGGCGAUAUUUCAAGAUACCACCUAUCACAUUUCAAUAAAACUCAUUAUAUAUCUACCACCAUCAUAAUUAAGUAAUAGAGGCAUCAUUCUAUAUGGACACACAUCAAGCUCAUUUCCUUUUAUGUAAAGUCCUCUCCAUAACCUCUCAUAAUAAAUUUUGAAAAUAAUUAAUGUUAAUUAUUCACGUAAUUCUAAUUUUCAAUUAUUUCCUUAAAAAUUAAAAAUAACUACUCUGUUAAUGCCAUGUAGCUAUCUUGAUUAAUGAUUUCAUUUAAUUUGUUUUCCUCCUGACUGGGAAAUGUGGACUUGACAACAAAAUGAAAUUUGAGCAUGACACCUUAAUUUUGUGGUUGGUUUGACGAAUACUGAAGGUUGGUCAUCUUGAAACAUAUAUAAAAUUAAAUGAUUGAAUUAUUUGAAAUCAUGAAAUAAAAUAAUUAUGAAAUUAGAAUUUAAGAUUAGAGGUUAUUUUUAGAAAUUUAACUUUUUAAUUAAUUAAUUUAGCACAAAUUUUAUACAAGUCAUGAACUUAAUUUCAUCAAAUUAUAUUAUCCAACUUUUACUGUUAAUAAAUUAAGCGGUAAAAAAACACAUGUCUUGAUAUAAAUAUCAAAAUUGAUUAUAUUUAAGGUGGUACAAAUAAUUGCAAGAAAUUGUAAUUAUUAGGUAGUGAUUAUAACCUCUCAUAGUAAAUUUUGAAAAUAAUUAAUGUUAAUUAUUCACGUAAUUCUUCUAAUUUUCAAUUAUUUCCUUAAAAAUUAAAAAGUGUAAACUCUUAAUUAACAAAAAUAUAUAAAUUAUAAUGGUUAAGCAAAUAUGUCAUAAAUAUGUAAUUACAUCAAAAUUUAAUUACUAUUGAUUUCUAAACACCCCUAAAAUUUCAAUGAAGCUACCUAAAAGAUAUGAAUUCCACUGCAAAUUUUGUAUUGCUUGGAAUGAAUUGACUGUCAUUUUCUAUUACUUGCCACAAAAUUUUGUAUUGCUUUAAAUUCAGACAAGAAAUAGGAGAAAAAACUACAUGGAAAGAAAUUUUGCUAAUUCAAUUUCCCAAGUCUUUACACAAAGUUGGCUCUAAAUUAAAUUUAGUAAAAGAAAAGAAAACAUGUCUUAAUUUCUGUAUAUUAUAUAAAUCAGUUUUGUUACCUUGGAAUUCUGAUAAGUUCAAUUUGGAAUAUGAUUAAUUUUGGUUAAAUUGGAGUGAAUAUUACUAUUUCCAUUUUAGCAAUUAAAGCAACCUAUAUGUACCCUUUUACACUCUGCAUUGUUCCAUGUUUCAAUUCAUUAUAUCAUUCCUUCAACUCUGCUAUAUAUUAUUACUUUCUCCAUAUAACCAAACCUUUUACUGCUAACUUGUAAAAAAAUUAUGAAAAUACAACACAGAUCAUUGAACCAUUUUGUUCUCCUUUCUCCUUUACUGUGCAGUAGCAAUGAUUAUCGAGACUAAAUUGAAAGUCAUGAAAGAAGACAUAAACAACACCACCAUACAAAAUGUUACACUCAAACAAACCAUUACAGAUAGUACGAAAUGCAAUCAAAGACAGAGGAAUUGGUACAAUAAUAAAGACAGAGACAUACCGAUGCAACCCGUCACCAUAGGCAAAACGGUCUACAGAACAAGAAAUUAUGAAAAUACAACACUAAUUCUUGAACAUCAUUUGCAGUAAUUAGAUCCUUCUUCGUCUAUUGCUUCGAUUGCCUUUCUUUGACUUUCUUCUUCCCCUCGCCUCUUGUUGGUUUUCAACCAAAUUCACCAACCAUUUCGGCUUACCAGUUUGGAAAACAACAUAUCCCAUGGACAUUCCGAACACCACUCCGCAUCCAUAACCUAUCAACACCACUUUCCAACCAAAAGCAAUGUUUGAUUUUGAGCCAUCUUUUUCAAGCACAUUUGGAGGUGCUGGCUCAAUGAUGUUGCAACCUUUCGAGACCGGAAACCCACACAGUCCCUUAUUCCCUUCAUAUGAAUCAUUUCCAAAUGUGUUGAAUUGUUUGCCUUGAGGAAUCUGACCAUGGAGUUGAUUUUCAGAAACAUUUAAGGACGAAAGAAAUGGCAGAUCUGCCAGUCUAUUUGGAAUCGUCCCAGACAACCUGUUUGAAGAUAGGUCCAACCAUUCAAGACUUGUCAAAUUCCCUAUUGAGGUGGGGAUACCACCAUUAAGGUUAUUAUGAGAAAGGUUGAGCCCUUUCAGUAAGUUAAGUUUCCCAAUAACCUUUGGAAUACCCCCUUCAAACUGAUUGUUUGAUAGAUCAAGGAUCAUCCACAUGGUGAAAAUUUUCACCAAUUCCCUAUCUUGUCCUUUCAUAACAAUUCCAAUGGAAUAGGUAUAGAAGCCACUAGCUCUCUCAGCAUAUACCCCCAUGUACGACAUUGUACUCCCAAUCUUCUCUGGAUUUAUGAUAGCCUUGAAGCUGUUGAUGUAUCUCACUGGUAGGGGCCCAGAAAAACAAUUACUUGAGAGAUCAAAAAUUUGGAUUUUAGAGAAAAAAGGGCUAGACUUGGAGCUAUUGACACAUAAGGAACCAUGCAUAUGAUUUGACUUCAAUACAAGAACUUGUAGCUGUGGAAGGCUUCCCAACCAAUGAGGAAAUGUAUCAUUGAUCUUGUUGUUACCAAGAUCUAGCACUUCCAGACCUCUACAAUUAAGGAUGGAUGGUGUCAAAGGCCCUUCUAACAAAUUUCCAUUUAAGUUGAGAUUACUCAGUUGGCAUCCCUUUGCAAAUGUUGGAGGAAUCGUCCCAUAAAACUUGUUCUUCUUCAGAUUCAAGAAUUCAAGGCUGUUGCUCAAAUUUCCAAAACAUUGCGGAAUUGUUCCACUCAAGUAAUUGUGGGACAAAUCAAGAAUUUGCAGAUAAGUGGCAUUGCAUAUUAAAGAAGAGACCACUCCAUUCAAACUAUUAUUUGAGAUCAAAAAGACAUUGAUGGUCGAAGCUGGAAUCGGAAGAUUUCCACGGAUCAAAUUGGAGCUUAAGUCAAGAACUUCAAUAUACUUCCAUGGAAAGUGCUCAACUUCUGUCAAAGAGUUGUGAGAUACAUUUAAGUAAGUUAAAGAGCCAUUCCCCACCUCUUGCAUCCACUGUGGAAUCUUGCCUUCAAUUUUGUUGCAAGAGAGGUCUAACCAUUCCAAACUUUUAAGCCCUUUUAAAAAUUGGGGGAAUUCACUAAGAUUGCAAGAUGACAAAAAUAAGCUAUUAGAUGUUAAGGAUAGGCUGUUAUAUGAAAGGUCGAGAUGAUAUAGAUUUGGAAGGUUUGAGAACAUGCGAAACUCUAUGACACCACUAAGAUUAUUUGAGGAUAAAUCGAGCCAGCUAAGAUUGAGAAGUUGGAAUUUUGAAGAUGGAAGAGGACCUUGGAGUUUAUUAUUUCCUAGAUAUAAAUAUUCUAGUGAUUUGGAUUGGAAUUCUUUGAUAUGCCCACUGAAUUGAUUUUGAGAGAGAUCCAUACCCUCUAAGGAGGGAGCAGUAUACAACCAUGACGGAAGUGUUCCAUUGAGUAAAUUGUCAGAUAAGUCUAAAUGUAUUAGAUUAGGAAAAGCGGUUACCUCAUCUGGAAUGGAACCUUCUAAUGAAUUAUUAGAUAUUUCCAAGAAUUCCAGCUGCGUUAGGUUUAGAAUUGACAAUGGAAUUUGUCCACUCAGUUGGUUCUGCGAGAAGUCUAAAGAAGUGAGUUGCAGGAGGUUCCCCAAUGACAAUGGAAUUUGUCCACUCAAUUGGUUCUGCGACAAGCGUAAAUGAGUGAGUUGCAAGAGGUUUCCCAAUGAUCUUGGAAUUUGUCCACUCAAUUGGUUCCACGACAAGUCUAAACGAGUGAGUUGCAAGAGGUUCCCCAGUGAUUUUGGAAUCAGUCCUGAUAAGUUGGACUUGGAGAUACCUAAAAACUUCAAGGACACAAGAUUCCCCACCGAGUCAGGCAAUCCUCCAAAAAAAUUUGCGCCUAAAAUUAUCAAUUGCUCCAAAGAUGAUAAAUUUGUGAUUGAGACAGACAAUCCUUGAAUGAAAGAAUUUCCUGAUAGACGUAAGUACUUUAAGGCCUGUAGAUUAUCAACUGAAUCAAUGAAUUCUGUAGAGAAGGACAUCCACGACAGAUCCAAAUGUUCAAGAUUGCUGCUCCGAUUGAACUUCAAAGGAUCAAGAUUGAGGUUUUGGUUGUUUCGCAAGUUGAGGAGAUUGAGGUUUGGCAAAUCAAAAAUGUUUUUUGGGAAUUUUCCUUGCAAAUCACAACCACCAAGACUGAGAGACCUUAGAGAAGAGGAUAGAUUCAUGAAGACAUGAGCAUUAACAGAAGACAUGUUGAUUUCAUCCAAAAACAGAUGUCUGACCUCGGUUAGGUUGUGAACAAGUCCCUCCAGAGCAUAUUUGUCAAUUGUUAAUUGUUCCUCAAUCCCAGAAAGAUCAAGUGAAACCAAUUUUGACAGGUGGGAGACUUGGGAUGGGACUUCUCCUGCAAACCCUGUAUGGGAAAGGUUGAAGUAGAAUAGGCUUGUAAACUGACCGAACUCGGAUGGAAUUUUGGAAAGAUUAAAAUCAUUGUAGGCAAGGUUGAGUUUUUGAAGGUGAGGAAGAAGGAAGAGAGUGGUAUUGGAAGGGAAGUUGCCAUAUAGCCAACUGCAGCUCAAGUCAAGGGCAAUAACAUGAGCAUUUAGGUGGUCACAAGUGACCCCAUCCCAUGAGCAGCAAUCUGUACCCUCCUUCCAUGAAUCUGUCUUGGGAUAAGAUUGAUCAUCGCAAUCAAAAGAAGCAGCAUCUGUCUGAGUGAUGGAAAAAGAAUUCUUGAACUGGAUUAGCGAAGAGCAGGAGUGAGAUCCUGAAGAAGAAAAAGAAGCAUAAAGAUGGGGAAAGAAGACUAAUAGGCAGAGAAAGAGAUAGGAGGCCAUGUUAUGUUUGUAGAGGAAGAUGAAGGAUAGGAAUGGUAUUUAUAGGCAACAAAUAAUACCACAACAUUGGUGUUACAGUCUUUCUUUUCUUUUACGCUGAAAAGCUAUGGAUAUUAGAUUUUCAAAAUUUUUGUAUUUUUCACCAGCAUCAACAACCACUUAAGUCUUCUUUUUUCCAUAUAUUUUUCAUUCGUAAAACUGAAUUCUUUUCUUUUAGCAAAAUCUUGUAUUUCAUUUGAACAUGUAAAGAAUGUGUGUGUCUAUUCACUUGCCUGUCAACCAAAGCUAAUUAAUGUGGAUAUUCUUUUCCACACAAAAGAGCAAAAUUGUGCUCUAUUCAGCUACGUUUGAGGAAGAAAAUUGUUGGAAAUUUAAUCCACUGAUUCCGUAAAAACAUGUAUACUUAUAUAUAUAUAUAUAUAUAUAAUUUCAUAACUCAAACCUAAAAUCUCAUUUGUUAUAAAUUAUGAUAAAUUUAUUUGGGAAUAGUUAUUUUUCAUUCGUUAAUUAUUUCUCUUUUAAUCAAGUAUAAAAUUAAAAUUAAAAAGACGUAAUGAUUUAUUUGGUAUUUUUUAAUUUUACAAACAAAAAGUUAUUUUAACUUUUCCUUUUUUUAUCUCUUUUAGUCUUGAAAUUUAUAUGGUUUGUUAAAUCAUCCAAAAAUAAUAAUGAAAAAUACUAACAAAACUAGCACCUACGUGGCUGAUGUUGACCCUUAGUAGCUAAUGACAACACCUACGUAGUUGUUAACAGAUACUACACCAACAUUGUUUGUUGACAUGACAAUGCCACAUGACCAAUAAUUGUUGACAUGGUAGCGCCACCCCAUCGCCCAUUGAUGACAUAUUAACCUUUGAGUUAAACUCAAAUUACUAUUUCCUUUGUUAUAAAUUAAGAGUAUAACUAAUUUUGAUAAGAAUGGUUACUUUUCAUUAACUCAAUUUAAAGGACUAUAACACGUAAAGUUUGGUCUAUUGCAGAAUUCACAUGCAAUACGGAACAUUUACAUUAUGCAGAAUUCAACACAUAUAUGAGAAUUUUUGUAUUUCCACAAUCAUCAUGUUGUUAGUGAUCAACAACUACUUCUUCCUUAUAACACGUCAAGUUUGGUCCCAAAUUAUUUUUCCCACAAAAGAAUAAAGAGGAAGAAGACUACUACAGAUUUAACUAUCAAUUGUCUAUUGACUAUACUUUAACUCCACAAAAAAAGACUAAGACGAAGACUAUCAAUUGUCUAUUGACUAUACUUUUAACUCUACAAACAAAGACUAAGACUAUCACUUGUCUAUUGACUACACUUUAACUCGACAAAAAAAGACUUAAGACUAGGACUAUCCAUUGCCUAUUGACUAUACUUUUUAACUCCACAAACAAAGACUAAGACCAUCAGUUGUCUAUUGACUACACUUUAACUCGACAAAAAAAAGACCAAGACUAAGACUAUCAAUUGUCUAUUGACUUCACACUUGCUGUUGCUUCCUCCUAUCUCUCUCUCCCAAACUUAAUUUACAAGCAAUGUGGAAAUUUUGGACAUUUGCGCCACAAAUAAAAAAUACUUCCACACCAUUUGCAGUAUUGACUACGUUUACUUGAGGGAAAACAAAAACAUGAAUGCUGGGGAAAUUGCAUUAUAGAAAACAUGUGUAUCCUAUAUAUGUUGAACAAUACUAUCUAACAAACAUAUUUUCCGCAAGACUAGAAAAUUUGUAUGUCAUUUUCUAUUACUUGCAAGAAAACUACCGGGGAAAUUGCAUUUCUAAUUCAUCCAUAGGCUUUAAAUUCAAACAAGAAAAGGAAAAUAAUAUAUAUAUCAACAGGAAACUUCUAGGAGAGAGAUUUUGUUACAUCAAUUUUCCAGUUAUUUAAUCUUUACCCAAAGUUGGUUCUAGAUUAAAUUUGGAAAAAAUUAAAAAAGAGGACAUGUAUUUUUUAUUUUUGAAAAGUAAAGGAUUAUAACUCAGCCAAAUAAAAAAGUCACAAUGCAAAGCCAAGAGCCAAAGCCAAGCCAAGCACACACUCAACAAGCAGAAAAACCAACAACAUUGAAAACAAAAGCGAACCGAAUUGCAUCAUUAUAGUGUUAUCUAUACAAUCAAGUGAUGAUAUCCAUAUUAUUUUCCCACUAAUUAAUUCAGUUCAAUAAACAUAAUUUGAAUUAAUGGCCUAAAUUUUAAACUUUGAAGAAACAUAAGGCAACUGAAUGAAAAUUAAUAACCUCCAUCACCAGAUCUGCCCGCGCUUGUCUUCCUACGUGUCCUCCAAGUAAGUAAGAUAGUGAUUCUCUCCUUUAGAGAUCAUGAAGAUAAAAGAUUGAACCUAAACAUCAGGAAAAUAUGUCAGUGGACAUUACAGUCAGAAAAAACAGAUGAUGAAGUACAGCAUCCAAAAUCCAUACCAUCAUUCUUUUUCUUAGAUGUCAAUGCUUACUGCUACUGUGGUCCCAUUGAGGCAAAAUUCUGGGAAAUGUUUGAGCCUUUUACCACAUGUCCAUGCAGUGCCUGCUCACACAAUAUCGGAACUUUGUUCAGUCAAGUUCCUCAAAAGAUAGCCCUGUAAUAUGCAACAUAUAAAUCAGUGUCAGAAAAGGCCAAAGAAAGAGUAAGGAACUGAACUAGUAGAAAAUCAAGAUAACAUACCAUAUUAUCCAGUGCUUGAGCUUUCAGAGCACUAAUCUCGAUCAUUGCACAAUCAGGAAACGCAAAGCUAGCAGCAUGCCAUGUUUCAGUGACUCUGUCACUGAGUUUUAUUUAAAAAAAUGUAAAUUUCAGAAGGAAACAUGAAUUCCAAAGAUCAACGACUCCACUGAGUUUGUCGCUUCAAUAAAAAAUGGUAAGAACAACAAGACCAGUUAACAAUAAUCAAUAAUAACAUUUUCUACAACACUAAAAAUGACUCGUAGGGAUUAUAAAUUUGAGGGGGAAAUGUAUGAACAAUGGGAUCAAUUACACCUUACAAGCAUGUGAUAACUAGCAGACAUAACUCAUACAAGACCUAGAUGUAUUAUUGAACUCUUAUAUAAAAGACAACUGAAGAUGCAAAGCUUAAUUGUUAAGCUUUUCUGAUCCUUGAUAAGCAUAGUUUUAGUUCAGUUCCGAAAUCUAAACUGCUUUGCUAUGGGAUUAUUUUUAUAAGUACAUUGAGAUCCAUGCAUGCUAUUGCGAUUUAUUAUCUUUGAUUCCAUGGAAAUGACGGAAUUCAAACACCAAAAGGUUCAAUUACAUACUAGAUCAUGGAUGUAAGCCAAUCUACAACCUCCUCCCUCCUCGACCUCCAUUUGAAACCAGCAUGAUUUGAAUUCUCAGCCGCAUAUACCCUCACAAACUCCUCAGCAACAACAUAAAACAUAUACCUAACACUCCUUUGAGAACCGAUAACUGCACAGACAGAUUCACUGGUGGAAUCCUUCAAGAAAUAUUGAACCACACAAUUACCACACUCCUGUGAAAUAAACUCCUCCUGCCACUCGAAACAAUGACCAUUUCCAGACAUUUUGAUAGACAAUACACAAUUUGCUUCACUACUUACUCACAUAGCUAAAAGAUGUCCAAUGAAACUGGCAAAGGGUUCUUCCGAAAUGGUACAUUAGCUGCCAAAAAGACAACCACCAUACAUUCAUUCAUUCAGUAAACAGCUUCAAUAUGGCAAUAAGCUAUUAUCUUAAAAAUGCUUUUCUACCACAGAAGAAUAAGAACUAGGCAUCUCAGAAAAUUUGCUAAAUUAAUGACUUUGCUCCCUUCAAAAUAAACAAAUGAUUAACUGCAUUAACCCCAAAGAGGUCACCAUCAACCUCCAGUUGAACUUUCAAGGAAUAAUAAUAAACAAUAGAAGGAAAUAAGGCGGGAAAAAACUAACCAGAACUCAGUAAAAGCUAAGCCUUGAAGAUCUGCAGGUAGUAAGAGAAAAACCCCAUGACGACUAAAGUCCAAGCUUGAAAGGACCAAAAGGGAGCAACAUACGGCUAUGACUCACUGGACCAAGAGAAUCACCAAUGAAUAAAGGAAAAUGGGUACUUUCCUUUAUACCUAAGCAUACAAUAUUUAGCCUCAAAACAAGAUCCUCUUUGGGAAAAAUUCAGGUUUUCACAAAGGGUUUAAGAAAGAGGGUGAAAGUUAAAGAACUUGUCUUUGUUUUGAUGUGUGGUACACGAGAUAGUGAAGGAAAAUAGAGGCGAGGAAAUAAGAUGGAGUAAGUGGUGAAAAAGGAGAGCCUAAAAGAGACAUUUUUGAAGGGUAGUUUAGAAGCUGCAGAGGCUUUGGCAUACAGCAGCUGAUAAUGAGAGAAGACAAACCAGAAACGUAAGUACGACGACGACAAAAAUAAAGUUAAAAAAAUUUUAAGAAUUGAUAAAAUAACAUUUUGUAGCUUAGCGAAUUGGGACGAAGUCCACCAGUCUGAUGCCCAUAGAUCCACACCUGGGAUUUUCUAUUUAGGCUAACCUUCUAACUUCUCCCACCAGUCUUGAAACUUUGCAGAUUUUUUCAAUUUGAUCUGAAUUGUAUGAUAACAUAUCACUUUGAGAUUGGAAAAAAUAAAUAAUUUUUUUUUAAAUUAAAGAAAAAAUAAAGAAACUAAAUUUCAAGCAUGAAAAGUACAAAAGAAAGAACUGUAUUUAUAAAAGAUGAGUUACUUCACCCAGAUUGGAGUACCCUUAAACAAAUUUAUUCUUGUAGAGAAAGAAACUGAAUUUUGAUUUCAUUUGCUGUGGCAAAAUUUUUAAUUUUUAAUUGUGAAAGAAACAGUAUAACAUAUUGAAAGCCUGCCUACGUCUCGGCAGAAAAUUUUACAAAUUCUUUCAUCAGACAAUUUAAAUGAUGCAAUGCAAAGAUUCAUCAAUGUAUGAUCUUUUUACCAUAAAAUGGCUGUUUUACUGGAAAACUUGAUAUGUAUUGUCUUUCACAUUCUUCUGUGCUGAAUGGUCUCCGAAAACUGCAAUCAUCAACUCUAGAUAACCCUUUCCUCAGCGCUGCCAGAGCCGACCUUGUUGUUUCUGUUCUUGAACUCGCCUGUGUCAUCAAAGGCAGUGAGCAUUUAUCAAUGUUAUAAAAAUGGCAUAUCGAAGUCAGAUUUUACUUGACAAUACACAAAUAUAAGAAGAUAAUUCACCUUUGAUACUCUUUAGAAUGCUCGAGAAACUCUUUCGCGAUGUCUUUUCUUUCAUAUGAUUGCAAUACUUGUCUGAUAUCAGCCGGACUAUUGCGCGCUACAUCUGUGAACAAAUCAAAACAAAUGGUACUAUAAUUAACAAAUGAAUAUAGGAAACAUAAAAUUUGAACAAAGGCGAUGUGCAGAGGAAAAAGCAACAACAUAAGACCUACAUUCAAGAAAUGGAAUAAGGUCUAAAAGUGCGGUAUCAUCAGUCUCGAGCUUAAAUGGCUUAAUAGGGACACAAUUUUCUGGUUUUAGGCUAGAAUCAAAUGCAUGAGCACUCACAUAUAAAAUCUUGGUUGGAUCCCUGUUUAGCUUUGAAAGAUCCUGCCAACAGGAACUAUUUGUUAACAAUAAGGCUUCUUUUUAAGUAGCAGCUUGUAAAGGCACUGCCUCAUAGAUUAAUACACGUAGUAUUGUAGAAACUAAGGAGGCGAAAACCAAAAGCAAAAUGUUUUGGAGGGAAGAGAUUGACUAUGACAUGGUAAAAGAAUCAUCGAGGCACCUGUGUUAGGAGUUAGAUUGCAUUUUGCCCCAUUUACUCAGAAACUGAAUAAAUUAGUCCCUGUAUGUUAGAUAAAAGAAAGAGUAAACUAGACUUUCUGUUAAAAACUUCAUCCAUUGCUACUAUUAAAAACUGGUGCAGUUGAUAAAAUAACCAAAUAGUUACACAUAAUGUGUCACGUGUACCUCAUGCUAAUGUACAGGGACCAAUUUUUAACAGUAAAAAUGGAUGGAACUUGUAACAGAAGGGCUAGCUUGCUUUUUCAUCUAAUGUACAAGGAUUAAUUUGCCCAUUUUUUUAGUAGAGGGGGUUAAAUGCAAUAUGACUCCUAGUACAAGGGCCUCCAUGGUACUUUUACCACUAUAACAUACUCCAUAAUGCUUGCCAUUCGGAUAUUUAGUAGCACCCCUUGAUAGCCUAGAUCGUAUACAAUGGUCAGUGUCCAACAUUUCACAAACAGAAUCAACAUACUGCAUAGCCAAGAAAAAACUAAUUAUGAACUUGCAGGCAACAUCAGUUAUGAUAUACUUGUGUAUCUAAAAUGGUAGCCACAAUGACAAUAUCAAAUUACCAUAUUCAUCUGGUCAGAAUAGACGACAAUUUCAUAGAACUUUGCUAGAUGUUCCAGAAAGGCAUCAACACCAGGUCUUUUGAAGGUACGCCAGCCUCUCUCUCGCUUUGUCAACCAAAAACGGAACGUGUUAGAUAUCGUAAAGGUGAAAUGGAAAAUAAUUUUAAGUCAAAUUCUUACCUUCCAGUCUGUAUAAAGUAAUGUCUCGUUCAGAUCUAGGACAAGAGUGAAAACAUGCUGUUCUAGAGGAUGCAAAUCAGGAAGAUGCUUAUCCGAAGUCGGUUCAUUAUAUUCCUGAAAGUACGAGAUAAAAUUAUGAGAACAAAACAAAAGAUAGGCCGACAAUAAUAGAAAACCGGAAACAAGAGAAAGAAGAACACUCCUCACCAGCAAAUGUUCUUCCACUAACCUCCUGAGAUCCAGAUAAGAUUCAAGUGCUUUAGCCGGAACUGAAAUGUUACAAGCAAAGAAACCAGGAAUAAAUUGGGUUCGAACCAGAGCAUGUAAACAAAUCAAUCAUUGACCAACAUGAUAGACAGCAACCAGCACCAACGGAAUUUUCUUUUCUGUCUCAACAAAUCCAUUUAUAAUAAAGCAGCCCAAAUUUUCAAAAGGAAUAUUUUGGUAAAAGUACCAUGGAGGCCACUAAGAGAUGAAUUGCAUUUUGACCCCUCUACUCAAAAAAUUGGCAAAUUAGUGCCUAUGUUAGAUCAAAAAGUAAAUUGGCCCUUUUAUUAAAAACUCUUCAGUUAUUCUGUCAACCAUGCUAGUUUUUAACAGUAGAAAAGAACGAAAUUUUUAACAGAAAGGACCAUUUUGCUCUUUGAUCUAAUGUACAAUGACUAAUUUGCCCAUUUUCUUAGUAGAGGAGGCAAAAUGCAAUCUGACACCUAAUACAGGGGCCUCCAUGGUAUUUUUACCUGAAUAUGUCCGGGUACUAGACAGUGCAAACUGAAUGCCCUGUUAUGCAAAUAUUGUGCUCGUAAUUAGGUUGACAUACAGAACAAAGACUUUAGAGAUAAUUGUAACCAUGAACAAACAAAGAAGCAAUAAGAGAGAGGAACACAAUAACGUCCUCACCUGUCAUUGCAGCGGAGUAAAGCAAGCCUCCAUAUUUCUGAAAAAGAUAUGGAAAAAAAAAAAACUGUUACUUUCAUAUCUAAUUUCUUCAUAGUAUUAGGAUAAACUAAACAAUGGGUAUAUCACAUUAUUAAGACUUAGCUAAGGUACCGCAGAUAUACAUUCAAAUGAUCAAUCAUAAAGGAUGAACUAGGAGGCCCAAUGAUCAAUCAAAAUUACACCUAAACCAGUUAGCUGUCUAAAGCCAAUUGCACAUUAUAUCAAUCAAACAACUAAAAUAAAUAGAGAAAAUCCUUUAAAAUAUUCAAUUUCUAAACAAAAUCAAACUCACAUCAAUAGCAGAUCUUGACAAAGAAACCCAAAAUCACAAAUGAUCCGAUCUUUUUAAAAGGGGAAAAAGAAAACUUACUAUAAGAGAGAUAACCAGCAUAGCCAGUAGUUCCAGUAACACCAGCAAUGAGUCCGUACUUGACAAAGCUCCAAAUUUUCCCUCCCAAAACCUGUGGGGCAACUUUUGGCGCCGGAGGAGGAGGUGUCGACUGAUCGGAGAGAAUGGAUUGUGAAGAAAAUAUUGUUCCUUUAGAAGGAUCCGAACAAGACAUAAUGAUUUAUUUGGCUUUUUUUAACUUUACAAACAAAAAUUCAUUUUAACUUUAGUUUUUUUUUUUAAUCUCUUUUACCCUUGAAACUUAUAUGGUUCGUUAAAUCACCCAUUGAUGACAUAUUAACCUUUGAGUUAAACUCAAUUUGCUCUUUCCUUUGUUAUAAAUUAAGAGUAUAACUAAUUUUGAUAAGAAUGGUUACUUUUCAUUAACUCAGAUUAAAGGACUAUAACGCGUAAAGUUUGGUCUAUUGCAGAAUUCACAUGCAAUGCGAGACAUUUACAUAUACAGAAUUCAACACAUAUAUGGGAAUUUUUGUAUUUCCACAAUCAUCAUCAACAACUACUUCCUCUUUACCAUAUAUUUUUCAUUCAUAAAAUUGAUUACUUUUUUUACCAAAGAAGUAAAAUAAUUAACAUUCAUGAGAUUACAAAGUCUUCUACCUUAUAACACGUCAAGUUUGGCCCCAAAUAAUUUUCCACACAAAAGAAUAAAGAGGAAGAAGAAUGCUACAAAUUUAACUCCACAAAAGGACUAAGGGCCAGUUCUUCAUUAUUUUUGAAAAGUACUUUUGAAAAGUGUUGUGGAAAAGUACUUUUGAGAAGUACUUUUAAAAAAUGUGAGUGUUUGGUAUUGCUGUCAAAAAGUGCUUUUGAAAAAUAAAAUGUUCAUUUUAGACAUGAUAUUAUAAAGUAACAAAUAUGUAUUUAAAUAAUGUUCAAAUUAGUUAAUAUUAUGAUAUUUUAGCAAAAAUAUAAAAAUAAUUUAUUAUAACUUAUUGUUAAUAUUUUAAUAUAUAAUAUUAAUUUUAAAUAUUUCUAAGUAAUUAAUAUUAAUUAUUUAUUAAAUUUAAUUAGAAUAUAUAAACUAUAUUUAAAUAUUUAAAUAUAAUAAUUAAAUAUUUGUAAUUAGAUAUUGACACAAUUGUAUUAUUAUAAAAAUUAUUUUUUAUUUUUAAUUAAUGUUUUUAACACAUUUGUAUUAUUUUAUUUUAAAAUGUAUUUGAAUAUAUAACUCAUAUUAGAUAUUAACAUAACAUAGAAAACAUAAACCUUACAAAUUAAAAUAUUACAUAUAUUUGGAUUAAAGUUUUAAAAAGGGAUAAUAUUUAUAUACCAAAUAUAAACACUAAAAAUUUUACAAUAGCAUUUACAAUUUAAAGUGAAUAUUCAUUAAAUUUUACAAUAGCAUUUACAAUAGCAUCUCUUGUUAAUUCUAUUUCAAAACCACUUGAAUUGUUUGAUUCACCGUCAUCAUCGUCGUCAUCAUCAUCACUUUCUCGACCAUGCGCAUUUUCUGAAUCAAUAAUAUUCUCAUAUGCCCAGUUAAUAUCUUCGUAUUCCAUAAAAUCUGCAUCAUUUCGACCGAAAUAUUUUGCGGAUAAAAUUGUGUAUCGUCAUUGUAGCAACAACGAUCAUGGUUUGCUUUUCAAAACUAUAACUUGGCAUAUCCCUUAAAAUGACCCUUUUUUUUCAAAACACCAAAAGUUCGUUCAAUCACACUACAUAAUGAUGAAUGUGAAUGAUUGAAUAUCUCUUUUAUACCAGAUAUCGGUCUACCUCUACGAAAGUUAGAUAAAUGAUAUCGCUGUUAUUUUAGUACGGCACUCUUUAAUAUGUACCAUUUGCAAUACAUUUAAGUAAAAAUAUUAUUAUAUAGAAAGUCCUAAGGCAGUCAUUAAGAAAACCCAUGUAGUUACUUCAAACAUGUGGUAUUAUUGAUUAUCAAAGUAAUGGCAUUAAAGGCAUGACUUCCCCACUCCACCGGUCCAGCUGCAACUGCAUUAAUGGAGGAAAAAAGACACAUACCUAGCUACAAAAUUAUGGCUUGUUUCCAAACCUUACCAAACCAUGAACUCGACAUGAUACUUCAAACAAUAGAAUCACCAAACUAAAAGAGAAAAAAAGAAUUUCAAAAACUAGAAUAAAUUGCUUGGAUGUUUAAGUUCACCUGGGAAUAUAUAUAUAGAAAGGCAAAAGCUGAAGUAAAAAGCCAGUGUAACCUCCAGAGAGAAGCUUAAAAGAAUGGAAAUGCUAGCAUUUACCAAUCAGAAUUAAUAUAUAGUAAAGUAAUUAAGUUGAAAAAAAGAACUUUGCAAAUGAAGAAGAGACAGAAAACAACACACAUAAAAAAUGGACAAAGACUGAUGAUGUUUUGAAACCAUGCAUCCAGAAAAUAGAAUAAGAAGAGAACAAAUCCAUCAACCACCUCUCUGAAAACUAUCCAUUUGCCAGCAGAGGAACAAAAAACCGGCACCAGCAGAGGAACAAAGAACCAGCGAUGAGAGCAAAGAACCAGCGUUGUGUGUGUGGCUAAAAAAAGUAAAAGACCAGCCCAAAAGCACUAAAGCUAAAAAAUUCUGCUUAAGACUAUCAAUUGUCUAUUGACUACACUUUAAGUCGACAAAAAAAGACUAAGACUAUUAAUUGUCCAUUGACUUCACACUUGCUGUUGCUUCCUCCUAUCUCUCUCACCCAAACUUAAUUUACAAGCGAUGUGGAAAUUUUGGACAUUUGCGCCACAACGUACAAUACUUCCACACCAUUUGCAGUAUUGACUACGUUUACUUGAAGGAAAACAAAGACAUGAAUGCUGGAAAUUUUAACUAGUUUGUUCCGUCAAUGAAGCUACGUACCUAAAAGCCAUUUAGGAUACCAAUUCCUGUAAUUGGAUUAAUCUCAUCGUUGCUGCAAUCUUUUGACAGUGUAAUCGAAUCAUAAAUAGGUUACUCUGCAAUGCUAUUGUAAAUAUGACUCUUAAAUUUGUCGAUAGAUAUAUAGGUUCGGCACAAAAUUAAGAAUACACAAAGGCAGGAUGAAUUAUUCCAUGUUUGAACAUCUGCAACAUAAAUGCAUAUGGCAAAAGGGCUCAAACCAUACCUUAUGUUCAUGAAUUCUCAUCAUCACGUGUUUAUCAAUGCAACUCAAAACUUCAAUAAUUGAAUCUUUUGUAAUUCUACAUGUAUUUUUUUAUGGUGAGCAGUAUAAUGUUUACUAAAAAUUGAAAUUCAAGAAAGAAGACAUACAUAGUUGCACCAUACAAGAUGUUACACUCGAACUAAACCCUUACAAAUAGUACAAAAUGCAAUGAAAUACAGAGGAAUUGGUACAAUCAUAAAGACAGACACAUACCAAUGCAACUUUUCGCCAUAGGAAAAACUUUCUGACAGACUACUAAACAAGAAAUUAUGAAGACACAGCAGAAAGGCUUUAACUUCAUUUGCACCAACUAGAUCCUUCUUCAUCCAUUGAUGCGAUUGCUAUAUUUUGGCUUUCUUCUUCGCCUCUUCUCAUGUUGGUCUUCAACCAAAUUCACGAACCUUUUCGCCUUACCGGUUUGGAAAACAACACAUCCCAUGGCCAUUCCAAACACUACUUUCCAACCAAAAGCAAUUUUUCCUAUUUUAUUUGCAGCGCUGCAUUUUGGUGGUCCAGGAAUAUUUCCUAUUUUAGUCCCCCAUGUUAUUCGCAAUUUGUAAUUUGGUCCUUUCCUUUUAUUAUUUUAGAUUUUUCCCCUGAAUUACUGUUUUAAUGCCAAUUUAGUUCUUUGUUUGUUAUUAUUGCUAUAGAAUUAUUUAGUUUAUUAUUAUUAUUGGUAUUACUAUUAUUAGUUUAUAUAUUUACUUAUUUUUAUGUAUGUACAUUAUUUCAUUUUAUUAUAUACUCUUAUUUUAAUUCUUUUUCUUAUCUAAUGCAUUAGUAUAUAUUUUUAUGUUAAUUCAAUAUUAUCUAUACAUUUUUAAUGAGUUUAUUUUUAUAAUACAUUUUUCUUAAAAUGUUUAUUUAUAUAUACUUUUGUGCUUUAAAUUUUAUAUAACACUAUUAUAUAUAUAUAUAUAUAUAUAAUUUGUAUUAAGUUUUUUUAUUAUUAUUAUACAUAUAUAUACCAAAUAUAUCAUCGAUUUCAUAUUUACGUAUUUUUUUUUACUUAUUUCAUAUAUAAUCUAUUUCAUUUAAAACUUUACUUUAUUAUAUACUUGAUUUAUAUCAACCUUUUAUAUAUAUUAUUAUACAUAUAUUAAUAUUAUUAUAAGAAAUUUUCCAACCCAUAUGUAAUAUUUAUUUAAAUUAAUAUGUAUAUAUUAUUUCAUGUAUUUCAAUUUUCUUCAUAUACAAUAUUCACUUUAAAAUUCAUUUUAAUAUUAUUUUUCUCAUAGUAUUUAUUUUUUAUCUUCAUUUUUGGCUUAUUUCAAACUCAUAUAUGUAUAUUGUUUAUUUUAAAAUUUUACACAUAUAACUCAUUUUUUGUAUUGAUAAUUUUAAAUUUCCUUUUGUGUAUGUUUUUAUUAUUUAUUCUAAAACUUUUUACAUUUUAUUUGAGUAAUUUUAAAUAUUAAUGUUGAUAUUUACGUGUGAUGUAAGAUUAUUGCCCUCAUGUGUAUUGUAUUGCUUAUUUGUAUUAAUUGAUUAUUUGUAUUCAUUAGUAUACAUUUUGGCUUACGAAUUAUCAUUGAUCUUCCUUAUAAUACGUAAAGAACGUGAGUGUCAUGUGUGACCUAUAUUCAUUUAUUUUAUUGCAUAAAAUUCAAGGCAUGUAUGUUGAAUAAUUUUAUCCAAGAAGCAUAUUUUCUACAAAACUUUAAUCGGUUGUCAUUAAAUAUGUCAUUUUCUAUUAACUGCAAGAAAACUAUUCCCUAAACUGCAUCUUCUUCUUUAGAUGAAAUUUUGUAAAAAAAAAAUGACAUUAUCAUUUAUAUGGUCCUUCAAUUUUAUUUAAAAAAAUGUCAUUUUAACUCUCCAUUUAAUUUUUCGCCUCUUUGAGCUUUUAAAUUUGCGUUAUUUAUCAAAUAAUCCCAAAUAGAUGAAAAAGUUAACAUUUGUUAACUGUAUUGACGAGACAUACGUAUCGAUAUCAUAUAAAUAAUUAAUUGAUUUUAAAAAUUUUAAAAACAAAACAUAUAUUGAGGAAAUUUGGAAGCAUUGCAGAAGAAUGUCCAAUAAUUCCACACAAAUUAACAACAAUAUAAACUCAACAUUUUAGUUAUUGUCUAUUGUCCAAUUCACUUUUUUUUCAUUUUCCCAAAACUUAUUUCACUCUUAGCUUUAUUUUUAAAAAAAAGUUAUUUUAGCCCUUAAUUUAAUUUUUUAUCUUUUUUAGCCCUUAAAUCUACAUUGUUUAUCAAAUAACCCUUAAACUUAUAUUGUUUAUCAGGUGAAAAAAUUAAUAUCUAUUAACUUUGCUAACUUGCAUACAUAUGCAACUUCAUUUAAAUCUAAAAAAAUAUAAAAAUAAUUAAAUAUGUAUAAAUCUAAAAAUAUCUUAAAAUUAAAACUAAAUUUUUUUAAACUAAUGCAAAUUUUUAUUAUUUAAAAAAUCUUAAAAUUUUUAAAUUAAAUUCCUUUUGUUUUCCACUGUUGAAGAACUCCUUCAAUCACAUCAACAACUUCCUGCUGUUUUGCAAAUUUAUCUUGUUUUAUUUAUUUCUAAACCCAUAUUUCUUUUCUAUAACUCCAAUUAUUAGAUUGUUUAGGGUUUUGAGUAAUUUUCGAUUUUGGAAUUUUAGAUUUUUUAAAUUUAAAUACGAAGUGCUCUUCUUCUCCAAACCCAUAAUUUUUUCUGUCAAAUUUCAACUCAAGGUUUUACUUUCAACUAUAAAUAAAACAUAUAUUAUAUUUAUAAUGAUCUAAGAGUAGUAGAGUCAAUGCCGAUCUACAUGAAAAGGAGGGAAAAAAACAUAUAUUAUAUUUAUAAUGAUCUAAGAAUAGUAGAAUUAAAGUGAAUGGGUUUUUAAUAUUUUUUUGUGAAAGUUCAAAGACUGAUUAUUUAUGAGUUUGGAUGUGUAAAUAUUAGUUGGAAAAUUUUUUUCUUGCGCCAGUUGAUUUUUUCUAUAAAAUUUGUAUUUAUUUUAAAGAUUUUUAAAUUUUGUUACAAUUAUUUUUAUGAAAAUUUGGAAAUAUAAAAAUACUUUUUGAACUAUAAUUCAAGGAUCAAAUUAGGUAUUAAUCAUUUUACAGAUCAUAGACUAAAUUGCUUUAUUAUUAUUAUUAUUAUUAUUAUUAUUAUUAUUAUUAUUAUUAACACCACUUCCUUUUUAUUAAUUAAGGAAUUUUAAUCAAACAAGGAUAUGAAUCAGAAUUAAUAUAAACUUACCAUUUCAACAUUUCAUAAGCAAAAGCUAAAAUAAUAUUUGUCACAUCCCAUAUGUUCAUAUAUAACCUAUAAGACAAAAGUUAAAACAGCCUUCAGUUCAUCUACAUUCCACGUCAAAUCUGCAAGCAUAAAUUGACAUAAAUUGAGACAUUUUAUUCUCCUUUCUCCUUUACUGAGCAGUAGCAAAGAUUAUCGAGACUAAAUUGAAAUCCAUGAAAGAAGACAUAAACAGCACCACCAUACAAAAUGUUACACUCAAACAAACCAUUACAGAUUGUACGAAAUGCAAUGAAAGACACAGGAAUUGGUACAAUAAUAAAGACAGACACAUACCAAUGCAACCCUUCACCAUAGGCAAAACGGUCUACAGAACAAUAAAUUAUGAAAAUACAACACUCAUUCUUGAACAUCAUUUGCAGUAAUUAGAUCCUUCUUUGUCUAGUGCUUCGAUUGCCUUUCUUUGACUUUCUUCUUCGCCUCUUCUCCUGCUGGUUUUCAACCAAAUUCACCAACCAUUUCGGCUUACCAGUUUGGAAAACAACAUAUCCCACGGACAUUCCAAACACCACUCCGCAUCCAUAACCUAUCAACACCACUUUCCAACCAAAAGCAAUGUUCGAUUUUGAGCCAUCUUUUUCAAGCACAUUUGGAGGUGCUGGCUCAAUGAUGUUGCAACCUUUCGAAACCGGAAACCCACAUAGUCCCUUAUUCCCUUCAUAUGAAUCAUUUCCAAAUGUGUUGAAUUGUUUUCCUUGAGGAAUCUGACCAUGGAGUUGAUUUUCAGAAACAUUGAAGGACGAAAGAAAUGGCAGAUCUGCCAAUCUAUUUGGAAUCGUCCCAGACAACCUGUUUGAAGAUAGGUCCAACCAUUCAAGACUUGUCAAAUUCCCUAUUGAGGUUGGGAUACAACCAUUAAGGUUAUUAUGAGAAAGGUUGAGCCCUUUCAGUAAGUUGAGCUUCCCAAAAACCUCUGGAAUACCCCCUUCAAACUGAUUGUUUGAUAGAUCAAUGAUCAUCCACAUGGUGAAAAUUUUCACCAAUUCCGUCUCUUGUCCUCUCAUAACAAUUCCAAUGGAAUAGGUAUAGAAGCCACUUGUAUGAUCUUCCACACCCAUGUAUGGCCUUGCACUAGCAUUUUUCUUGAGAUUUAUGAUAGCAUUGAAGCUGUUGAUGUAUCUCACUGGUAGGGGUCCAGAAAAAUAAUUGCUUGAGAGGUCAAAAAUUUGGAUUUUAGAGAAAAAAGGGCUAGACUUGGAGCUAUUGACACGCAAGGAACCAUGCAUAUGAUUUGACUUCAAUACAAGAACUUGUAGCUGUGGAAGACUUCCCAACCAAUGAGGAAAUGUAUCAUUGAUCUUGUUGUUACCAAGAUCUAGCACUUCCAGAUCAUUACAAUUAAGGAUGGAUGGUGUCAAAGGCCCUUCUAACAGAUUUCCAUUUAAGUUGAAAUUACUCAAUUGGCAUCCCUCUGCAAAUGUUGGAGGAAUCGUCCCAUAGAACUUGUUCUUCCUCAGAUUCAAGAAUUGAAGGCUGUUGCUCAAAUUUCCAAAACAUUGCGGAAUUGUUCCACUCAAGUAAUUGUGGGACAAAUCAAGAAUUUGAAGAGAACUGGCAUUGCAUAUUAAAGAAGAGACCUCUCCAUUGAAACUGUUAUUUGAGAUCAAAAAGACAUUGAUGGUCGAAGCUGGAGUCGGAAGAUUUCCACUGAUCAAAUUGGAGCUUAAGUCAAGAAAUUCAAUAUUCUUCCAUGGAAAGUGCUCAACUUCUGUCAAAGAGUUGUGAGAUACGUUUAAGUAAGUCAAAGAGUCAUUCCCCACCUCUUGCAUCCACUGUGGAAUCUUGCCUUCAAUUUUGUUGCAAGAGAGGUCUAACCUUUCCAAACUUUUAAGCCCUUUUAAAAACUGGGGGAAUUCACUAAGAUUGCAAGAUGACAAAUAUAAGUAUCUAAGAUUAACAGUAGAAGUAGUAUUAGAUGUUAAGGAUAGGCUGUUAUAUGAAAGGUUGAGAUAUUCGAGAUUUGGAAGGUUUGAGAACAUACGAAACUCUAUCACACCACUAAGAUUAUUUGAGGAUAAGCUGAGUUGGGUAAGACUGAGAAGUUGGAAUAUUGAAGAUGGAAGAGGACCUUGGAGUUUAUUAUUCUCUAAGCGUAUCAAUUCUAGUGAUUUGGAUUGGAAUUCUUUGAUAUGCCCACUGAAUUGAUUUUGAAAGAGAUAUAUAUACUUUAAGGAGGGAGCAGUAUACAACCAUGACGGAAGUGUUCCAUUGAGUAAAUUGUCAGAUAAGCCAAAAUAUAUUAGAUUAGGAAAAGCGGUUACCUCAUCUGGAAUGGAACCUUCUAAUGAAUUUUCAGAUAUUCUCAAGUCUUCCAACUGCGUUAGGUUUAGAAUUGACGAUGGAAUUUGUCCACUCAAUUGGUUCUGCGACAAGUCUAACUGAGUGAGUUGCAGCAGGUUCCCUAAUGAUCUUGGAAUUUUUCGACUCAAUUGGUUCUCCGACAAGUCUAAAUAAGUGAGUUGCAAGAGGUUCCCCAAUGAUCUUGGAAUUUGUCCACUCAAUUGGUUCAGCGACAAGCGUAAAUGAAUGAGUUGCAAGAGGUUCCCCAAUGAUCUUGGAAUUUGUCCACUCAAUUGGUUCUGCACCAAGUAUAAAUGAGUGAGUUGCAAGAGGUUUCCCAAUGAUCUUGGAAUUUGUCCACUCAAUUGGUUCCCUGACAAGUCUAAAUGAGUGACUUGCAAGAGGUUCCCCAAUGAUCUUGGAAUUUGUCCACUCAAUUGGUUCUCUGACAAGUCUAAAUGAGUGAGUUGCAAGAGGUUCCCCAAUGAUCUUGGAAUUUGUCCACUCAAUUGGUUCCACCUCAAGUCUAAAUGAGUGAGUUGCAAGAGGUUCCCCAGUGAUCUUGGAACCGUUCCUGAUAGGUUGGAAUCAGAGAGAUCUAAAAACUUCAAGGACACAAGAUUCCCCAUCGAGUCAGGCAAUACUCCAGAAACAUUUGCGCCUGAAAUUAUCAAUUGCUCCAAAGAUGAUAAAUUUGUGAUUGAGACAGACAAUCCUUGAAAGAAAGAAUUUCGUGAUAGAUCUAAGUACUUUAAGGCCUGUAGAUUAUCAACUGAAUCAAUGAAUUCUGUAGAGAAGGACAUGGACGACAGAUCCAAAUGUUCAAUAUUGCUGCUCCGAUUGAACUUCAAAGGAUCAAGAUUGAGGUUUUGGUUGCCUCCCAAGUUGAGGAGAUUGAGGUUUGGCAAAUCAAAUAUGUUAUUUGGGAAUUUUCCUUGCAAAUCACAACCAGCAAGACUGAGAGACCUUAGAGAAGAGGAUAGAUUCAUGAAGACAACAUGUUGACUCCAUCCAAAACUAGAUGUCUGACCUCGGUUAGGUUGUAAACAAGUCCCUCCAGAGCAUGUUUGUCUCCUACAAACCUUGUAUUGGAAAGGUUGAGGUAGAAUAGGCUUGUAAACCGACCAAACUCGGAUGGAAUUUUGGAAAGAUUAAAAUGAUUGUAGGCAAGGUUGAGUUUUUGAAGGUGAGGAAGAAGGAAGAGAGUGGUAUUGGAAGGGAAGUUGCCAUAUAGCCAACUGCAGCUCAAGUCAAGGGCAAUAACAUGAGCAUUUAGGUGGUUACAAGUGACCCCAUCCCAUGAGCAGCAAUCUGUACCAUCCUUCCAUGAAUUUGUCUUGGGAUAAGAUUUAAGGCCAGCAAUCUCAUCGCAAGACAAAUAAGCAGCCUUUGUCUGAUUGAUGGAAAAAGAGUUCUUGAACUGGAUUAGUGAAGAGCAGGAGUGAGAUCCUGAAGAAGAAAAAGAAGCAUAAAGAUGGGGAAAGAAGAGAAAUAGGCAGAGAAAGAGGUAGGAGGCCAUGUUAUGUUGGUAGAGGAAGAUGAAGGAUAGGAAUGGUAUUUAUAGGCAACAAAUAAUACCACAACAUUGGUGUUACAGUCUUUUUUUAUUUUACAUUGAAAAGCUAUGGAUAUUAGAUUUUUAAAAUUUUUGUAUUUUUCACAAUCAUCAACAACCACUUAGUCUCCUCUUUACCAUAUAUUUUUCAUUCUUAAAAUUGGAUGCUUUUCUUUUGGCAAAAUCUUGUAUUUCAUUUGAACUAAAAUAUAAGAUUAAGAUUAAUAAGAUUACAAAGUGAUUGACUUAGUCUUCUUCCCUAUAACACAUAAAAAAUAUGUGUCUCUAAUCACUUGUCUGUCAACCAAAGCAAAUUAAUGUGGAAAUACUUUUCCACACAAAAGAACAAAUUUGUGCUCUAUCCACUACGUUUGAGGAAGAAGACUGCUAGAAAUUUAAUCCACCAAUUCCAUAAAAACGUGUAUACAUAUAUAUAUAUUUAUAACCUCAUAAUUCAAAUCUAAAAUCUCAUUUGUUAUAAAUUCUGAUAAAUUUAUUUGGGAAUAGUUAUUUUUCAUUCGUUAAUUAUUUCUCUUUUAAUCAAGUAAAAAAAUUAAAAUUAAAAAGACAUAAUGAUUUAUUUGGCAUUUUUUAACUUUACAAACAAAAAGUCAUUUUAGUGAUCAACAAUUAUCAUGUUGUUAGUGAUCAACAACUACUUCCUUUUUACCAUAUAUUUUUCAUUCAUAAAAUUGAUUACUUCUUUUUACCAAAGAAGUAAAAUAAUUAACAUUCCUGAGAUUACAAAGUCUUCUUCCUUAUGACACGUCAAGUUUAGCCCCAAAUAAUUUUCCACACAAAAUAAUAAGACUAAGACUAAGACCAUCAAUUGUCUAUUGACUUCACACUAGCUGUUGCUUCCUCCUAUCUCUCUCACCCAAACUUAAUUUACAAGCAAUGUGGAAAUUUUGGACAUUUGGGCCACAAUGUACAAUACUUCCACACCAUUUGCAGUAUUGACUACGUUUACUUGAGGGAAAACAAAGACAUGAAUGCUGGAAAUUUUAACUAGUUUGUACCGUCAAUGGAGCUACGUACCUAAAAGCCAUUUAGGAUAUCAAUUCCUGUAAUUGGAUUAAUCUCGUCGUUGCUGCAAUCUUUUGAUAGUGUAAUCCAAUCUUAAAUAUGUUACUCUGCAAUGCUAUUGUAAAUAGUACUCUUAAAUUUGUCGAUAGAUAUAUAGGUUUGGCACAAAAUUAAGAAUACACAAAGGCAGGUUGAAUUAUUCCAUGUUUGAAUUGAACAUCUGCAACAUAAAUGCAUAUGGCAAAAGGGCUCAAACCAUACCUUAUGUUCAUGAAUUCUCAUCAUCACAUGUUUAUAAAUGCAACUCAAACUUGAAUAAUUGAAUCUUCUGUAAUUCUACAUGUAUUUUUUUUUAUGGUGAGCAGUAUAAUGUUUACUAAAAAUUGAAAUUCAAGAAAGAAGAUAUACAUAGUUGCACCAUACAAGAUGUUACACUCGAACUAAACCCUUACAAAUAGUACGAAAUGCAAUGAAAUACAGAGGAAUUGGUACAAUCAUAAAGACAGACACAUACCAAUGCAACUUUUCACUAUAGGAAAAACUUUCUGACAGACUACUAAACAAGAAAUUAUGAAGACACAGCACAAAUGCUUUAACUUCAUUUGCACCAACUAGAUCCUUCUUCAUCCAUUGAUGCGAUUGCUAAAUUUUGGCUUUCUUCUUCGCCUCCUCAUGUUGGUCUUCAACCAAAUUCACAAACCUUUUCACCUUACCGGUUUGGAAAACAACACAUCCCAUGGCCAUUCCAAACACCACCCCGCAUCCAUAACCUAUCAACACCACUUUCCAACCAAAAGCAAUGUUUGCUUUUGAGCCAUCCUUUUCCAGCACAUUUGGAGGUGGUGUCUCAUUGAUGCCUCUGUUUCCUUCAUAUGAAUUGUUUCCAAAUGUAUUGAAAAUCUGACCAUGGAGUUGAUUUUCAGAAACGUUUAAGAAGGAAAGAAAUGCCGGAUCUGCCAAUAUCUCUGGAAUUAACUCAGUUCAAAAGACUAUAUAACUCGUAAAGUUUGGUCGAAGACUGGCAGCGUCUAUUGACUUCAACUCUUGGUAUUACCUCAAGAAGAAAGACUGCUACAAUUCUAUCUUCUUUAAACCAGCUAUUUAAAAGCAAUAAGGACAUUAGAUCCACCAAUUUAUGUUUGAAUUCAUUCAUCGUGCAGCUCUGCUAUGUACUAUUAUUGGCAAAAAUCUUGAAAGGAGACAACCUCAAAUUUGAAGACAAGAAAUGAGCAAGAACAUGCACCAACAAAGAAUCGAUUAUUGUUUUGCAUUUGGUAAAUACAAUUUGAGUUAAAUAAUCAAGAAUGGUAGUGAAUAAAUAAGAAAAAACAAUGUAGAUUCAGAACCACAAUAAAUCAUAUUAAGCUCGUGAGUUUAAAAUACAUAUCUCUGAAGCUUGAUUGUCUUGUUAGUUAUAAACAUAACCUGUUAAUUCCAUCAUUAAUACCAUUAGAUAUAUUUUGAUCGGGGAGAUUUUUUAGUAGGAAAACAGUUGAAGCCAUUCAAGAAGACAUAAACAGCUGCAACCAUGCAAGAGUUUAACUUUGAGAAUAGAUCCUUACACGUUAUUGAAAUACCAUACUAAAGAUAAAGACAUAUAGCUAAAAGUUAGACACACCAUAAAAAUAUAUAUUUGAAAAUACAACAGAAAUUCUUGAACAUCAUUUGCUCUGCCUAAUCCUUCUUCCUCUAUUGCUGCGAUUCCCGGUCAUUGGCUCUCUUCUCUGCCUCUUCUGAAUAUGAUCUUCAACCAAACUCACAAUCCACUUUGGCUUACCAGUUUGAAAAACAACAUAUCCCACGCCCAAUCCUAACACCACUCCACAUCCAUAACCCAAUAACACUACUUUCCACCCAAAAUCAAUGUUUGAUUUUGAUCCACCUUCUUCAGAUAAGUUUGAAGGUGGUGGUAGCUCAUUAUUGUUGCAAUCACUUGACAAUGGAAAACCAUGUAAUCCUUUGUUGCCUUCAUAGGAAGCAUUUCCAAAGGUAUUGAAUUGUUUUCCUUGAGGGAUGCACCCAACCAAUUCAUUCAUUGAAAGGUUUAACAUAGAAAGAGCCAUCAAAUUUAGCAGUUCUCUUGGAAUCCUUCCGACCAGCUUGUUUGAAGAGAGGUCUAGCCAUUCAAGGUUGGUCAAACUCCCUAUUGAUGUGGGAAUGUUACCACUAAGGUUAUUAUGAGAAAGGUUUAGCCCUUUGAGUGAUCUAAGCUUUCCAAUAACCUAGGGAAUCUCCCCAUCAAACUUAUUAUUUGAGAGAUCAAUGAUCGCCCACAUGAAGGAAAUUUUAUUCAAUGGUAUAUCUUGUCCUUUUAUCACAAUUCCAAUGGAAUAGCUAUAAAUGCCACCACUACCAUUAACAUCCUGCACACCCAUGUAUGUCAUCGUACUUGCAUCUUUAGUGAGAUUUAUGAUAGCCUUGAAGCUGUUGAUGUAUCUCAGAGGUAGGGAUCCAGAAAAAUAAUUACUUGAAAGGUCAAAAUUUUGGAUUUUAGAUAAACAAGCAUUGGACUUGGAGCUAUGGUCAUGCAAGGAACCAUGCAUUUGAUUUGACUUUUAGUACAAGAACUUGUAGCCGUGGAAGACUUCCCUACCAAUGAGGAAAUGUAUCAUUGAUCUUGUUCCCAAGAUCUAGCACUUCCAAAGACCUACAAUUGAGGAUGGAUGGUGACAAAGGCCCUUCAAAUUGAUUUCCCUUUUGAGUUGAGAUUACUCAAUUGGCAUCCCUUUGCAAAUGUUGGAGGAACCAAUCCAUAAAACUUGUUCUUCUUUAGAUUCAAAAAUUCAAGGUUGUUGCUCAAAUUUCCAAAACAUUGUAGAAUAGUUCCACUCAAUUUAUUGUGGGACAAGUCAAGAAUUUGGAGAGCACUCACAUUGCCUAUCAAAGUGUUGACACCAUUUUUUAAUGAAAAACGGGGUCAACUUUGGUUUUGACGAAAACGAAAUCGAAUGUGGGAGUCGCCACCAACUCUUUUUGAUAAGGUGUGAUUGGGUCACCUUGAAAAGAUGGUUGUUUUUAAUAAACAAUUUAAUUUUAAUAAACAACGAGUUUGGUCCACGAAAUUCAGAGAACGGGUUCGGGAGUCGGUUACGUACGAGGAAGGAUUAGCACCCUCGUAACGCCCAAAAAUUGGUACCUAGUUGAUUAGCUAAUGUCUUGAUGUCGAAAAUUGAAAACUUGGAAGAAUUAAAAAAAUGCGAUCCUUCUUUUGAAAGAAAAUUUAUAAAAAUCGAGCUGCUCAUUAAGACUUUUUCAUUUCAGAAAGAGAAAAUGUCACACCCAAUGCGUUAGGGUACGAUAUCUUACCUCUUCAGAAAUGAGCAAGUCUAAACUUACAUAGAAAAAUUUAAAAGAGUGUUUGAUUGUUUAAGUCAUAUGAAAAAAUUGCAACCCAAUACGUUAGGGUACAAUUUCUUCAAAUGUUAAACAUUGAAUAUUGCAUUUAUUUUGAAAAAUCCUCGUCUCGAGAAAUCAACGUAUCAUGUCCAAUGCAUUAGGACACGACGUAUUAAAUUCUCGGUAAUGAGUUUUUAUUUAUGUCUUUUUUUAAAAAGAGUAACCUCAAUUAUUUAGAUUCAGCGAAGAAAAUCGAAACCCAAUACGUUAAGGCUCGAUUCUUUCGAGGAUCUCAAAUACCGAGUGUUACUUUUAUUUUGAAAUUUUCCAUUUUUUUUUGAUAAAUCCAAGUAAAAGUAAGUGUAAAAUAACAAUAAUGAUACAAUGUAAAUAAAAUGAAACAAAUAAACAAUAAACAAUAAACAAUAAAUAAAAUGAAAUGAAACAAAUAAACAAUAAACAAUAAAAAAUAAUCAUACGGGCAAAAUAACAAAUAAUAAGAAACUAAAGUAGGAAAAUAAACAAUAAUAGACAUGCAAAUAAAUAAAUGAACCAUAUUUAACAAAAAUCAUAUAAUUAUGGAAGAUAUAUAAACAUAUACACGUAUAAAAUGAUGAAACUACGAGAAACAUGUGCAUGUAUACAUCUUUUUUAAAACUACUAUGCAUGAAGAAUUAUAUAAGUGUAUGUACAUGCAUAUUUAUGUAGCAAACAUCAAAUAUAAAAAGCAUAUAUUGGUACGUAUACGAGUCAUAAAAUAAAGAGUAUAUACAAGAUAUGUAUUUUAAAAAUAUAAAGGGUAAGUAAAUAUAUAUAUAUAUAUGUAUGUAUAUUUAUGCAAAUGAAAUAUAUAUAUAUAUAUAAACGUGAAUGUAUGCAGGUAGGUAUAACUAUUAUAAAAAUAUGAAAAUAUAUGUGCACGUAUAAGAAAAACAUAUAUACGAAUUAUAUAAAAAAAAGUAAGAUAAAAAGAUAAUAUAUACACAUAAAAAUAUAUAUAUGAGUAUGUAUUUACACAUUUGUGAGAAAAAUAUAGAUAUAAGUGUAUAUAGGUAUGUAUAUAAAACAUGAGUAUUCACAUAUAUUAAAUAAAUUAAAAUAUAUAUAUAUGUAUAAACAAUUAUAUAAUAAUAAUAUAAUAAACACAUAUAUCUAGAAUCUAUAUAUGUAAAUAUAAGCGAAAACAUAACAAUAAUAACAAUAAUAUUAAUAAUAAUACUAACAAUAAUAGUGAGGAUAACAAUAAUAAUAAUAAUAAUGAAAGUAAUGUACGAAAUAAUAAAAUUACUAAAAAAGGGAUUGAAUCAAAAUAUAAACAAAAAUACAGGGCGAAUUCGGAAAAAAAAAGACUAAAUCACUACACGCGCUAAAAGAGGGGGGACCAAAAAAGAAAAUAAACUAUAGCCCCAAAACGCUACGCUGUAAUGGACCGAAUUGAGAGAAAAAUAAAACUUUUUGGCCAAAUUAAAAAAUAAAAGAAAAUAGCGAAAAGGGCAAAAUUGCGACGCGCUUCAAAGUUAGAGGGACUGCGCACUCAAAUAAUCUAUUCGAAGAAAACACGUGGAUCCUCCCCCUUGGGUCGGGUCACCGCGCGGGUCAGAGACCAAAACGACGUCGUUUUUGGUCUCUGAACCCUAAGCCCAAACGGCGCCAUUUUGAAAAUCUUAUUUAAAUUAAUUUUUCAACAAAAAAUUUCAUUUAACAGUAAAAAAUAAAAAAAUGGCCUUUCUCUGUUUUUUUUUUAAAAGACGAUGCUCCCCUCUCCCCCCUUUAGUGCAGCUCUAGCGAACCCCAAGGGGUUUUUACAGCCCUGGCGCACGGAGAGGCACAUUGACGGCGGCACGUCGCUAACAAAGGUAUCCUUUUUCACUCUUUUUUUGUUUUUAAUGAGAUAAAAUCUAAAUGAAUAAUAAAAAGAACUUGCAAAAAGAAAAAAAAAGAAACAGAAAAAUAGAAUGGCCAAAAUCACCUUGAAUCUGUUUAUUUUUGUUUUCUUUUUUGCUACUAUUUGUUUUUGUGUUACAUAAAUCGCUAGCUAAAGAAGAGAAAAGAGUUACAUAUUCGGCUUUUAUAACCGAUUUUUUUCUUUUUGUUUGUUGUUGUUGCUUCUUUUUCUUGCUUGUUUCUCUCUUUGCAGGUAACUGGCGGCGCAAGUGGUGGUGGUGACGUGACUGUGGCGGUGGCGACGUGACCAUGGCGGUGGCAGGGCUAGGGCGGCGCCUGUUGGUCAGAAGACCCUAGGUGCGACGCACCUAGGGUUUGUUUUUUUCUGAUUUGGGUUUUUGGGCCUGGGGUAUUAGGUUAGGUCUAGGUGGGAUUGGGUAGCUGGGUAAGGUUUGUAAUUGGGCCUUAGGUUUGGGUUUUGUUUUUGUUUGGGUUAAGGGUUAGUUGGGUCUUGGGUAGGUUUAGGUUGUUUUGGGUUCUUGGGCCCAGGUUUAAAAUUGGGCUUGUACAGCUGCCCCUUUUUGCUCGUUGUCGUGUAACGAUAACAGAGCAAAGACUAAGAAAGACCAAUUUUUUCCCGGUCUUAUCGAGGAAAUAAGAUUCGUCGUUGCGGCUUCAAUCUUUUAGUUGCAAUGUCAGAAAAGCAAGAUUUGCCAUCGUAGCUUCAAUCUGUUCCACUGUAUCGUCAGGGAGGUGAGAUUCACUGUUGUAGCUUCAAUCUAUUUGACUGCAAUGUCGGGGAAGGAAGAUUCGUCGUUGUAGCAUAAAUCUGUUCUGCUGCAUCGCCUGGGAAGUAAGAUUCGUCGUUGUGGCUUCAAUAUUUUAAAUUGCAAUGUUGGGGAAGCAAGAUUCGCCGUCGUAGCUUCAAUCUGUUCCGCUGCAUCGCCUGGAAAGUAAGAUUCACCGUUGUGGCUUCAAUCUUUUAAAUUGCAAUGUUGGGGAAGCAAGAUUCGUCGUCGUAGCUUCAACAUGUUCCGCUGCAUCGCCUGGGAAGUAAGAUUCGCCGUUGUGGCUUCAAUCUUUUAAAUUGCAAUGUUGGGGAAGCAAGAUUCGCCGUCGUAGCUUCAAUCUGUUCUGCUGCAUCGCCUGGGAAUUAAGAUUCGCCGUUGUGGCUUCAAUCUUUUAAAUUGCAAUGUCGGGUAAGCAAGAUUCACCGUCGUAGCUUCAAUCUGUUCCGCUGCAUCGCUUGAGAAGUAAGAUUCACCGUUGUGGCUUUAAUUUUUUAAAUUGCAAUGUAUAGUUUCUUCGAUCUGCUUCGCUGUCAACUCAGGAAGGCAAGACAUGCCAUCUUCAUUGAUCUGUUCUUUGGGGAACAUGACCUAUAUGAACCUAUUUAUGCCUAGUGAUCAUGAUCGAAAUGAAUAAAAAUAUCCUGGCUAAAUGUGUAUGCAUGAAUGCAAAAUGAAAAUGAUCUUUCAAUGUUUGAGUUGUUAUUGCCCAUUGCUCAGUAAGGCUUUAUUACCAAGGCGUCCGAAUGUUAUCUAGUUCGGUUGGUAAUGCUCAUCUCUUACUUGGUCGGAUUACCCCACUAUAAUCUUCAAAGUUCAACUCGGAUUACCCUUUUACCUACACCAUUUCCAGGGUGUCGCGCCAAAAUUUUACGCAUAAUUGCAAAAUUUUCUCUUCCGAGAAACCUCUUCUUAUCAUUCAUUGCUUGUUUGUUCAUUGAAGCUUUGUCACCAAUAUAACAUCUUGUCAUUUUGUUUGGACAACAAAGUUUGAAAGGAUAGUCCUAACUUAGACUUUUCCCUUUUAGACACUUUAAAUUUGGUGUGUUCUAAACAACGGUCCUGUUUCAGGUUCCUUAAUUAUUUAGAAAUUUCUAAAGUAAUAUACAAAACUCCUUUUGUUUGAACAUUCAGUCCAUUAAUUGUUAUUUCAAAUGUUUGAAAAAGAUUAUCACAAUGGACAAACAAAAUAUUAUUGAGAACAAAUCUCGAAAUGAAUAAGUUAAUCAAGAUAUUAAAUGUUGUUAAGAUAAAAUGAAAAAAGAUAAUAAACAAGAUGGAACUUUAUUGGGAGCAAAGCUUGAAACAAAUACAUUAAUCAAGACAACAAAUUUUGCCAAGAUUCAAAAUAGAUAAGAUGACGACAGGUGCCCCAGAUAUCGCAGUACGAGCUUCCCUGCAUAAGCUUUCUAAAGACCAUUCUGAAUAUAAUAUGCGUUUAGGGAAUCUACAGUACUUUGUUGAUGCCCCAAGAUGUUACCUACUCUUUCUUGUUGAUUCAGGUAUAGCGAGACCAUCACAUGCCCCAGAUCUUAAUCAAUGUUUGAACUAUUUUGUUCACUUCAUGCCUUUAUCAAAAUUUGAGCCACCUUUUUUAAGAUUUCAACUCAAAUCCCCUUUGGUCUCAAGGCGCCCUUUAUGGGUUUUCACAUUGGUCUCUCCCUUUUUUUUUCAACUUUAAAGUGCCAUUUACAGGUUUUCACUUUGACCCUCCUUCUUCAAGUGAAAUAUUUCUUGACUAAAUUUGAGUUUACAGGAUUUGGCAGGCUUUUACCAUCCAUCUCGCUCAAGAUUAAAGCUCCUCCAGAAAACACCUUCUUUACCACAUAAAGACCUUCCCAAUUUGGCAUCCAUUUUCCUCUAAAAUCCUUUUGUAGAUGAAGAAUCUUUUUCAAAACCAAGUCCCCCUCAUGAAAUUCUCUGGAACGAACUUUCUUGUUAUAGGCUCGCAUCAUUCGUUUCUGAUACAUCUGACCGUGACGAAUAACUUUUAACCUCUUUUCUUCUGUCAAGUUUAGAUUGAAUCCAUUCGGCCUCAUCUAACUUUAAUUCAGCUAAUACUCAGAGAGAAGGGAUUUCUACUUCUAUGGGUAAAACUACCUCCAUCCCAUAGACUAAGGAAAACGGUGUUGCCCCAGUCAAGGUUCUAACAGAAGUACGAUAUGCCAAGAGAGCGAAAGAUAAUUUCUCGUGCCAAUCUUUGUAGGUUUCAGUCAUUUUCCCUACAAUUUUCUUGAUAUUUUUGUUAGCUGCUUCCACAGCACCAUUCAUUUUUGCACGGUACGGUGACGAAUUAUGGUGUCUGAUCUUGAACUGACUACAAACUUCCGCUAUUAAGUUGUUGUUCAAGUUCAGCGCAUUAUAGGAUAUGAUUCUUUCAGGCAUCCCGUACCGACAUAUAAUCUCUUUUUCAGAAACCUGCUAACUGCUGAUUUCGUGACAUUAGCAUAUGAAGCAGCCUCCACCCAUUCAGUGAAGUAAUCAAUAACCACAAAGAUAAAACGAUGCCCAUUAGAAGCCUUUGGAGAUAUUGGUCCGAUGACAUCCAUUCCCUACUGCCAUGGAAAAACCAUAACGUAAAGGGGCGAAGGUGGCGCAUGCAUUUUGUCACCAUAAAUUUGGCAUUUAUGGCACCUUUUGGCGUAACUAAUGCAAUCCCCUUCCAUGGUGGACUAAUAAUACCCAAAUCUCAUAAUGUCUGGCCAUCGUCAAGCCGUUAGCAUGCGUUCCACAGAUACCUUCAUGGACUUCUUCCACAAUUUUCUUGGCCUCGACAGCAUCCACACAUCUCAACAAUUGAUCUUUUCCCUUUUUAUACAAAAUCUCUCCAUCUAGGACAUAAUCAAUAGCUAAUCUCCUUAAUGUCCUCUUAUCAUUUUCCGUCGCAUGGGCGAGGUACUCACGACUCUUUACAUAUCGCAAUAUGUCAUGAUACCAGGGGUGAUCAUCCUUUUCCUCUUCAUCGUCAAUGUUGUAACAAUAGGCUGGAGCCUCAUGAAUGUUGAUCUGAAUAGGCUUCAUAUCUUCUGGUUUGUUCACCUUGAUCAUAGACGCUAGAGUGGCCAAAGCAUCAGUCAUAUGGUUUUCGUCUCGUGGGAGAUAACAAAAGGUGACGCUAUCAAACUCCUCAAUCAAUUCUAGAACCAACUUCCAAUAUUGGACUACCUUUAGGUCUCUUGUUUCCCAUUCUCCUUUGAGCUAGUAUAUUACCAUACAGAGUCUCCGUAUAUCUCUAGCACCUUAAUUUUUCGCUCUAUGGCUGCCUGGAUGGCCAUAAUGCAAGCUUCAUACUCAUCCAUGUUAUUGGUGCAAUCAAAGUCCAAUUUGCUAGUGAAAGGAUAAUGAUCUCCACUAGAGGACACGAGGACUGCCCCAAUUCCAUUGCCUAUAGCAUUUGAAGCUCCGUCGAAGCUUAGCUUCCAAGGGUGAUUUUCGUGGGAAUCCUCUUCAGCGGUUGCAAAAUACAUCAAAUCUUCAUUCGGGAAAUCAAAAUUCAGAGGUUCAUAGUCUUCUAAAGCUCUGCUGGCCAAAAAUUUUGCUAUCGCGCUUCCUUUAACGGCCUUCUGAUUUACAUAGACUAUAUCAAAUUCGGAGAGUAGAAUCUGCCACCUAGUCAUCCUCUCAUUCAACGCAGUAGACUCCAUCAUAUACUUUAAAGGGUCUAACUUUGAAAUUAACCAAGUCGUAUGAUAGAGCAUGUAUUGUCUCAAUCUUCUUGUCGUCCAGACCAGAGCACAACAUAAUUUUUCAAUAGGUGAAUACCUCAUUUCACAUUCAGUAAAUUUCUUACUAAGAUACUAGAUUGCCUUCAAUUUCUUUCUCAUCUCAUCAUGUUGACCAAGCACACAUCCCAUGGAAUUGUCGAACACUGCUAAAUACAGGAUUAGUGGCUUAUCUGGCCUUGGUGGUGACAAUACUGAAGUGUUGGACAAGUACUGUUUUAUCUUGUCAAAAGCCUCCUAGCAUUUUUCAUUCCACACAUCUGGAUUGUGUUUUUUCAAAAGACAAAAUAUGGGGUCACAUUUUUCAGUCAAUUGGGAAAUAAAUCGAGCAAUAUAAUUCAAUCUUCCUAAGAAACCUCGAACUUCUUUCUGAGUACGUGGUGGAGGCAAAUCUCUAAUUGCCCUGACUUUGUCUGGGUCAAUUUCAAUCCCUUUUUCACUGGCUACAAACCUCAGAAGUUUUCUUGUCCUAGCUCCGAAGAUACAUUUGGCUGGAUUAAGUUUGAGUUGGAACUUUCUUAACCUUAAGAACAACUUUCUUAAUACUCGCACAUGUUCUAUUUCCGUCCGGGAUUUUGUGAUCCUGUCAUCAACAUAGACUUCUAACUCCUUAUGCAUCAUGUCAUGAAAUAAUGCUAUCAUGGUCCUCUGAUACGUUGCCCCUGCAUUUUUUAACCCAAAUGGCAUCACUUUAUAACAAAAGGUCCCUUAUAGGGUUAUGAAUGUAGUUUUCUUCAUAUCUUCAGGAUGCAUCUUAAUUUGUUUAUAUCCAGAGAAACCAUCCAUUAAAGAAAAUAGUGAAUGCCCUGCUGUGUUAUCUACUAGGGCGUCGAUCUGUGGCAAAAGAAAAUUAUCUUUUGGGCUAGCCUUAUUUAAAUCUCUAUAAUCUACACACAUUCGUACUUUCUCAUCUUUCUUAGGAACGGGUACGAUGUUGGCUACCCAUUCGAAGUAUUUAACUACUUGCACAAAUCCAACAUCGAAUUGUUUUUGCACCUCCUCUUUUAUUUUUAAUACAACAUCAGGCCUCAUUCUUCGGAGUUUUUGCUGAACGGGCUUGCAAUCUUCCUUUAUAGAAAGACGGUGAACUACGAUAUCAGUACUUAACCCAUGCAUAUCUUGGUAUGACCAUGCGAAGACAUCUUUGAACUCUCGAAGCAACUCAAUAAGAUCUUGUUUUACUUCUUCAGCUAUGCAUGUGCCAAUCUUCACCGCCUUUCCCUCUUCCAGGAUCACCGUCUCCACCAUCUCCUCGUGAGGUAUAAUUUGUUUCUUUUCCUGCUCUAUCAUCCUCAACAAGUCCGGAGAUAGGUUGCAAUCUAGGUUAUCAUCAAAAUCUUGAGAUUCCUCUAAACACAUAUCUCUUUCAAAAGGAUUUUCUAAGUCCAUAAUAGAGUCACUCAUGCCAUUGAUAUCUUGAGACCUAUUAUAGGUACCAAAGAAUAUACAAUGAACGUAUGAAUUUAAGAAUUCCUAUUUAUAGUAUGAUCAUGAAUUGAUGAAUGAAUAAUUUAGAAUAAAAGCAUCCAAAAUGACUAUUCGUAUGAAAGAAUGAAAAGAAUCUUAAAAGAAUAUAUGCUCAAAAAGAAAUUGGAAAGAUAUAUUUCAUUGAAGUCAAAAUGUUCAAAUAUAAGCCCAUUUCAUUUCACAAAAAGUUUCCAUUUUCUCUAGGCUUAAAAAAAUUAGUAUGUUUUGAAUAUUACUCUAGAAAAGGUCUAAAAACUUCAGGCAUUUCUUCAGCAGUCCAAUUAUUUAGAACACUCCUAGGUUCAAAGGGACAGAUGUCUGAUGUGCUUCCUUCUUCAGAUUCUUCUUCCAAUAUGGCAUUGAUGUUCAGUAUUCCUAACAUUUCCUCCGUGGUCUUCUUUCUUGGAGUCCUCAGUCCAGAAUACAUGGUUCCCCCUAAUACGAAGGUCCUGGAUAUGUGAGGGAAAGUCAUAGGUUCCCAAUCAACUUCUUCUCCAUUCAAACGCGCCUUCCUCCUCUCUUGUCUUUUCUCCGACUCUUUCCUUUUUUGCUUAGUAUUUGGCUUAAAUCCUAAACCACAGCGGUCUCGUUUAUCCUUCACUAUUGGUGCCUCUAUCCUUCCUUGAAUGCAUCUUCCCAGUCCUCUUCUAGGCAUAACUCCUUUCCCAACUGUCAUUUGCAGUCCCAUCCUCGUGGCUCUAGAUAUGCUGGGCGUCGGGAUCUUUUUUCCCUCAACGAUAAAGGUCACAUUUACGAAUUCUAAGGACCGAAAGGAACAUUCGAUUGCCUCAUUAUCCGUUUCCAAAAAUGGUGCGUUACUGGUUACGAUGCAAUGAUGUCUUCCUCAGCGUUAAUCGUAAUUAACCAGCCUUCUGUUACCAAUUUCAACUUCUGGUGCAGUGAUGAAGGCACCUCUCCUGCUGAAUAAAUCUAGGGUCUUCCCAACAAUCAAUUAUACGAAGGCAUGAUAUCCAUCACUAGAAAAUCCACCUCGUACGUAUUCGAGCCAAUCAAGAGAGGUACUUCUAUUCUCUCCAUCACCCUCCUUUCGGUGCCAUCAAAUGCUCUCACUAUAUUCUGACAUGAUUUCGUGUGAGAGCUAUCCACCGAUAACCUAUUUCAAGUGGAUAGGGGUAAAACAUUCAAGGCUGACCCAUUAUCAAUUAGCACACCCGGUAACGUAUAUUCCCCGCAGCGAAUAGUGAUAUGUAAGGCUUUAACGGCUCCUCUUCCCUCCGGCGGUAUUUUAUCAUCAUUAAAGAAAAUGAAAUUGUCGGUACUGAUAUUGUUAACAAAACGGUCCAACUUAUUCACUGAGAUAUCGUUAGCGACAUAAGUUUCAUAUACCGCCUUAAUCAACGCAUUACGAUGUAUCUCUGAACUUAGAAGCAACUCAAGUACCGAGAUACGAGCUGGUUGCUUAUGUAAUUGUUCUACCACGCUGUACUUGCUAUAUUUUAAGAAUUCCAGAAAUUCUCUAGCCUUAUUUUCAGUUACCGGCUGAUUGACAUGCGAUUCAAUUUUGUCUGUUUUUGCUUUUCCCAGCUCAACUGCUAAGGCUUUUCCUUUUCCAGAUUCCACUUUUGCAUUUGCCGGAUCAUAGCGUUUUCCACUUCGUGUAUAGAAUCAUUCAUUCUCUUUUGAAGCGUUUACCAAGCUCUUCUUUCCUGGGAUUGUCACAUUGUAGUUGUAAUUCCAAAGAACUUUUUUGCUAUCCUUAUAAAGAAAGGAUACAGGUUUUUGGAUUAUGACCUUUGGCGCUAUUUGUAUUCCAGAUUCUCUGCUUAUUGGCUUUGAAAUAAUCACCACUAGGUGAUUAGCCUUUUAGGAUUUCCCCGUAGAUCCUUCCUCUGAAGCAUAAACUUCUCCCUCUUCUAGUUCCUUGAUCUCUUCAUAAAACUCCAACUCUUUGUUAUCCAUUAAGUUUUGCACUAUGGUUCUGAACUCGGUGCAUUUUUAGAUGUCGUGGCCUUCUUCUACGUGGAACUUACAAAACUUCCUUGCUGCUUCAGGCCUUUCUAUUGAAUCUUGCUUGAUGAGACAUCCUUCCAUCAUUCGUUUCCAAACCCACUCGAUGGGGGUCUUUAUCUCUGCUACGUUGGCUUUAACUCUCCUUCCUUCAUUCUUAAUUAUCUCGUUCACUUCUUUAUCAUCAUGAUUGGGUAACGGAUUCCUUGCUACGUUCAAUCCUGAUGAGUCGCUAAUCUUUACGAUCCCCAAAUUGAUAAGUUUUUCAACUAACUUCUUGAAUGCAGUGCAGUUCUCAAUCGAGUGCCCCUUAGUCCCCACGUGAUACUCGCAUUGGGCAUUUGCGUCAUACCACUUAGAGUAUGGAGGUUGCAUAGGUUUUAGGUAAAAUGGAGAUACCACAUGUGCAUCGAAUAAGUUCUGGUACAAUUUCCUAUACAUCAUUGGGAUGGGUGUGAAUUGAUGUCUCUCUAUAUUUGGCCUUAGAUUGGAUUCCUAUUUCGAAGAACCUGCUGAUUAGCGGUUACUGCUCUUGGUUGUCCUACCGUGAUUGAUUUAAAAUGGUCUUUGUUAAACAUGAUUGUAUUGUUUGUCUCGUGCUCUUUUUUUGGUACUGUCCUUUUAGUGCUUUCUCCUGCUUCUAUCUUGCCACAUCUUAUGGCGUUCUCUAUCAUUUCUCCAGACAUCACUAUGUCUAAAAAGCUUUUAGUGGCAUUGCCCAACAUGUGAUUGAGAAAUGGAGCUUUCAAAGUAUUGAUAAAAAGCAUGGUUAUCUCUUUCUCUAAAAGUGGUGGUUGAACUUGCGCUGCCACCUCCCUCCAUCUCUAAGCAUACUGUCGGAAGCUCUCAUUAGGAUUCUUUUCCAUGUUUUGCAAUACAAUUCGAUCGGGUGCUAUAUCUAUCACAUUUCUGUACUAUUUUAUAAAGGCCUACGCUAAAUCUUUCCAUGAAUGGAUGUUAGCCCGACUCAAUUGAUUGUACCAUCUAGCCGCUGACCCGAUCAAACUGUCCUGAAAGCAUUGAAUCAAUAGUUGAUCAUUGUUGAUGUACCCGAUCAUUCUUCAGUAAAACAUAGUGAUAUGAGCUUCGGGGCAACUUGUCCAGUUAUACUUCUUAAACUCCGGUAUUUUAAAUUUGGGUGGGAAGACCAAAUCGGGUACCUCAAAUCCUUAGCGUCCAUUCCUCGAUGGUAAUCAGUAUUUUCCAUGGCUUUAAACUUCUCCUCUAGCCAUUUACACUGGUCCUCUAAUUGCUUUGACAGAUCCACUUCGCUUUCUCUACUUCUGCCACGUCAUCGAGAUCAGGAACUAUAAAAUUGAUAGGAUUCUCUCCGGGAUUAGUACUUAUUUCGAUUUGAAAGUUUAUUGGCACUAAAGGACUCGUUUGAGACUGCUGGGGUCUGAUUGUAACAGAGGAUUUAUGUGGGUACAGCUCAGCUUGAGUAUGCGCGUGCGGAGGGGUAAAGCCUGGAGGGUAAAGGGGUUCAUCAUUAUUUCCCUUUUCAACAUUAACCACAGGGUCCAUUCCCAUGUCAUUUCCUCCUUUCAACAACUGUGUUAACCGUGCCAUCGUGUAAUUCUAGGACUCCCGCAUCUUUUCUGUCAUCUCUAACUGAAUUUUUUCCAGCCGCUCUUGUAUUUGAUCUUGCAUAUCCUUUUGGAGUUGUUCAAGUUUUUUUAAUCUUUGAUCCAUGUUCUUUGACUUCGCUCGAGUUUCGUAGGGGUGUCGAUUUUUCAGGUUAAUUGAAAUAGUUUUAUUUAAUUAGGGUCCUUUAAUGGUCGUUAAUGCAUAUAAUGUGAUGCAAUGCAUGAAAUAAAUGUAAAAAGGCGUUAAUUCUAAUUCAAUUUCAUUUUGAAAACUUUACUAGAGAACACACUUCUUUACAUAAAGUGGAUUACAGAUAUGACUUAGCCCUAAUACUCAAAACUCUAAUCUUCCUAAGUACCGAGGCUAACUCCUGUCCUCGACUUGACUCUAAUUCGUACUUCACGCUCAACACAUCAGCUUGUACUGCUAACGUUUGCAGAUGAUCAGCUACCUCCCAGAUUUGAACCACGGCUUCUCCCAUAAUAUGAUCUCUAUCUCUAACUUGGUUCUGAAGGUAGUGCAACUGCUCGGUUUGACGAUCUUCAUUAGCAUCCAAGUACUCAAUCCGAAUCUCGUAACUUCGCAAUGCUGCUUCUAACUCUUCAAUUCUUUCUUUUAUUUCUUCAAUUUUAUUUAAGCUUGCCUUCAAUUCCAUUAUAGAAUUCCGAUUUCGAUGUCGAUGGAGAGAUCCUUCUAAUUCAGUCACUCUGUUUUCUAGUUCCCCUUUUUCCUUUUGGUUCUCUGAUAAACUUUUCUUUAGAGUCUCAUUAUGUGCUUGAACUUAUUGAAACCUCCUUUCCCAUCUAUCAGCCUUGUUUUUUUCUUCUUGAAUCUCCUCGCGCCACUGCUCUGAAGUCUUUCCCAACCCGGCAGUCCUUAUGGAUAAUCGUAACUUCUUGUAAUCUAUUUUUAAACUAUCUAGAUCUUUUUCAACUCUAGCUUUCCCUUUUCUUAAUCGCUCCGCCUCGAGCUUCUGAACAUCUGGAUCUAAUCUUAAGUUCAUCUUUUCUUCCUCCAUUUGCUCUAUCUGCUUUUCCAACUCUACAUUUCUCCUUUCAAAAUCUUGCUUUAAAUUUUCUAGUUCAUAAGGGACGACCCGUAAAUGCUCCUCUAUCGACUGACUGCCUUCGUGCCUUGAUUUGGGGAUAUUAUCAUUGACUCUUCUGACCCUCCAUUCAUCAUACUCAGGAGUCGUCAUUGGUCCUACAGUCAAUUUUUUCAUCCAACAAGUUUGCUUCCAAGCAUUGGUCAUCUCUCGAAUUUUCUUCUUGUAACCAUCUUCCCCGUACGAAAAUUCACACUCAGCUAGUCCCUCGGUUGCGGGUACAAACUGCAUUGACCUAUACUGUCUGAGCACUAACAACGGGGCAUAACCAAUAGCUCCCCAGAUUCUAAAUAGAGAGACCCAAUCAAAAUCACUACAUCGGUACAAAAUUUCAUCCGAAAGUAACCACGGAGCUUUCCACUCAAUGUCAUCCAUUUUUCGCAGACUCUGGAGAAUUGCCAUCCAUUUUUCCAUCGAAAUGUCAUCCCUUCUCGGUGUAACUACUACUUCUUUUAGUGGUGAAUAAUUUUCAGAGAAGACCCGAUAUGAAACCUUAUCAACUUUCCAAAAAUGACUAUGGAACCACACGAGCAAUAGCUGUGCACAUCCAAUGAAUUUACCUUCACUCGCUCUUCGACAGGCAUUUAGAGAUCUGAACGUUUCUGCUAAAAUUGCUGGAACCGGAGUAACUCUCUUAUCAAGACGGUCGAACAAAUCAGUGACUGCUUUAUCAACGUGUCCCAAAGCUCUGGGGAAGAUAACUAAGCCAUAUAUGCUCAAAGAGAAGACAUCUACCAUCUUUUUCACAUCUGAAUGCAUUAGGACCACAUCUUUCAAAUUCCUCCAAGAAAUGUACUUGUUAUCCCCUUUUUGUUUGAUUCAGGCUGUAACCCACUGCUCACUCAUACCUGUUAUGUUCAUCAACUUUUUCAGAAAGGUGGGUGGAUUUACAGCUCUCGAGUAAACUUUGUCGACUUGCAUCUUUGCACACCGAAGUAAAGCCAUAUAUUCUUCUACAAUAGGUACUAAGUCGACUAUUCCGAAUGUAAAACAACUGUAGGAGGGGUUCUAAAAUUGUGCGAGAGCCCGGAACAGGUACUUGUCUACCUUCAUAUCUAGCAAGUACAGCAAAUCCCCAUAAUUAGAAUAGAAAAGGUGUCUGACCUCCUCAUCCCAUUGGUCUCAAAUCUCCUUCAACUCUUGCAAACUGUUCUAGGUUACACUGAUACGGGUGAAGUCCCAUAACUUUGAUAUAUAUCAUUCAGCCAAACUAUCCCCUUUCUCCCGCUGCGUCAUUUUUGACCAAAUUCAGACCGCUAUAUUAUCUUCCACCUUAUCAAGAAACCCCCUUUUCAUGAUAAGCUUUCUUUCUAGAAACUGAAUAUAAACCAACGCCUUGAAAUAAUGAAAUGUCAUGCAGUUGAAAUGUCAUGCAUCCAAAGUAAAAUAGUAAAGAUCAGUAUCAGGUAUAAACAUACAAUCCAAGACAAUUCUGAAAGAAUAAAAGCACAUAUCAUGGUAUCUACUAGGGUUUGGUGUAGUUCUACCUAGGGUAAGUCCCUAAAGUUCAUUACAUGAGGUUUGGCUCUAAAGUAAAGGUACCCAAAGCAGCAGAUCCCUCGAUCUUCACCUAUUGUAGGCUCAUAUAGACCGAGUUCGGUACAGGGGAAUACAUUUUCCUAUGGCAGCACGGAGAUGAAAAUCUCACGAAGACAUAGGUACAAAUGUAUUCCAGAAGCGAUCCACUAUCCUGCACGGAGGUGAAAACCUCACGAAGGAGUAGUUUCACACUCCCACCUAGAAGGGCAUGACCAAAGGUCAUGCAAUGCAAUAUGCAGCAAGAUACCAAAAUUUAAGUCACCACAACAAUUACAACGAUGAGAAUUUUGAUAAAAUGAAUAAAAUGCAAUGAAAGGAUCGUAUAUUUAAAUCAAGUUUUCAAUUUUCAACAAAAAGACAAAAGGUAAUCAACUCGUGGCUUGACUCACUUAUUUUGGAAAAAUCAUACGUCCCCAGUGGAGUCGUCAAGCUGUUGAAACUAUUUUUUGAUGAAAAACGGGGUCAAUUUUGGUUUUAACGAAAACGAAAUUGAAUGUGGGAGUCGCCACCAACCCUUUUUGAUAAGGUGUGAUUGGGUCACCUUUAAAAGAUGGUUGUUUUUAAUAAAAAAUUUAAUUUUAUUAAAGCAACGAGUUUGGUCCACAAAAUUUAAAGAACGGGUUCAGGAGUCAGUUACGUACGAGGAAGGAUUAGCACCCUCAUAACGCCCAAAAAUUGGUACCUAGUUGAUUAGCUAAUGUCUUGAUGUCAAAAAUUGAAAACUUGAAAGAAUUAAAAAAAUACAAUCCUUCUUUUGAAAGAAAAUUUAUAAAAAUCGAGCUGCUCAUUAAGACUUUUUCAUUUCAGAAAGAGAAAAUGUCACACCCAAUGCGUUAGGGUACGAUAUAUUACCUCUUCAGAAAUGAGCAAGUCUAAACUUACAUAGAAAAAUUUAAAAGAGUGUUUGAUUGUUUAAGUCAUAUGAAAAAAUUACAACCCAAUACGUUAGGGUACAAUUUCUUCAAAUGUUAAACAUUGAAUAUUACAUUUAUUUUGAAAAAUCCUCGUCUCGAGAAAUCAACGUAUCAUGUCCAAGUUAGAGAUAGAGAUCAUAUUAUGGGAGAAGCCGUGGUUCAAAUCUGGGAGGUAGCUGAUCAUCUGCAAACAUUAGCAGUACAGGCCAAUGUGUUGAGUGUGAAGUACGAAUUAGAGUCAAGUUAAGGACAGGAGUUAGCCUCGUUACUUAGGAAGAUUAGAGUUUUGAGUAUUAAGGCUAAGUCGUAUCUGUAAUCCACCUUAUGUAAAGAAGUUUAUUUUCUAGUAAAGUUUUCAAAAUGAAAUUGAAUUAGAAUUAAUGCCUUUUUGCAUUCAUUUCAUGCAUUGCAUCACAUUAUAUACAUUAACGACCAUUAAAGGACCCUAAUUAAAUAAAAUUAUUUCAGUUAACCUGGAAAACCGACACCUCUACGGAACUCGAGCGAAAUCAAAGAACAUGGAUCAAAUAUUAGAAAAACUUGAACAGCUCAAAAAGGAUAUGCAAGAUCAAAUACAAUAGCGGCUGGAAAGAAUUCAGCAAGAGAUGAUAGAAAAGAUGCGGGAGUCCCAGAAUUACAUGAUGGCACGGUUAACACAACUGUUGAAAGGAGGAAAUGACAAGGGAAAGGACCCUGUGAUUAAUGAUUAACCCAUUUACCCUCCAAGCUUUACCCCUCCGCACGCACAUACUCAAGCUGAACUUUACCCACACAAAUCUUCUAUUACAAUCAGACCCCAGCAGUCUCAGACGGGUCCUUCAGUGCCAAUGAACUUUCAAAUCGGAGUAGGUACUAAUCCCGGAGAGAAUCCUACCAAUUUCAUGGUUCCUAAUCUCGAUGACGUGGCAAAAGUGGAGAAAGCGAAAGUGGAUCUGUCAAAGCAAUUAGAGGACCGGUGUAAAUGGCUAGAGGAGAAGUUUAAAGUCAUGGAAAAUGCUGAUUACCACCGAGGAAUGGACGCUAAGGAUUUGAGCUUGGUACCCGAUUUGGUCCUCCUUCUCAAAUUUAAAAUACCGGAGUUUGAAAAGUAUAAUGGGACAAGUUUUCCCGAACCUCAUAUCACUAUGUUUUGCCGAAGGAUGACCGGAUACAUCAACAAUGAUCAACUGUUGAUUCAUUACUUUCAAGACAGUUUGAUCGGGUCAGCGACUAGAUGGUACAAUCAAUUGAGUCGAGCCAACAUCUAUUAAUGGAAAGAUUUGGCGCAGGUUUUUAUAAAGCAGUACAGACAUGUGAUGAAUAUACCACCCGAUCGAAUUGUAUUGCAAAACAUAGAAAAGAAGCCUAAUGAGAGCUUCCGACAGUAUGCUCAGAGAUGGAAGGAGGUGGUAGCGCAAGUUCAACCACCACUUUUAGAGAAAAAGAUAAUCAUGCUUUUUAUCAAUACUUUGAAAGCUUCAUUCCUCAAUCACAUGUUGGGUAGUGGCACUAAAAGCUUUUCAGACAUAGUGAUGUCUGGAGAAAUGAUAGAGAACGCCAUAAGAUGUGGCAAGAUAGAAGCAGGAGAAAGCACUAAAAGGUCAGUACCAAGAAAGAAGGAGCACAAGAUAAACAAUGCAAGCAUAUUUAACAAAGACCAUUCUAAAUCAAUCACGGUGGGACAAGCAAGAGCAGUAACCGCUAAUCAGCAAGUUUCUUCGAAACAGGAAUCCAAUCCAAUGCCAAAUAUAGAGAGACCUCAAUUCACACCCAUCCCAAUGGCAUAUAGAGAAUUGUACCAGAACUUAUUCGAUGCAAAUAUGGUAUUUUCAUUUUACCUAAAACCUAUGCAACCUCCAUACCCUAAGUGGCAUGACGCAAACGCCCAAUGCGAGUAUCACGCGGGGACUAAGGGGCACUCGAUUGAGAACUGCACUGCAUUCAAGAAGUUAGUUGAAAAACUUAUCAAUUUGGAGAUCGUAAAGAUUAGCGACUCAUGAGGACCGAACGUAGCAGGGAAUCCGUUAUCCAAUCAUGAUAAUAAAGAGGUGAACGCGAUAAUUGAGAAUGGAGGAAGGAGAGUCAAAACCAACGUACCAGAGAUAAAGACCCCCUCGAGUGGGUUUGAAAACGAAUGAUGGAAGGAGGUCUCAUCAAGCAAGAUUCAAUAGAAAGGCCUGAAAGAGCAAGGAAGUUUUGUAAGUUCCACGUAGAAGAAGGCCACGACAUCCAAAAAUGCACCGAGUUCAGAACUAUAGUGCAAAACUUAAUGGAUAACAAAGAGUUGGAGUUUUAUGAAGAGAUUAAGGGACUAGAAGAGGGAGAAGUUUAUGCUUCAGAGGAAAGAUCUACGGGGAAAACCCAAAAGGCUAAUCACCCAGUGGUGAUUAUUUCAAAGCCAAUGAGCAGAGAAUCUGGAAUAUAAAUAGCGCCAAAGGUCAUAAUCCAAAAACCUUUAUCCUUUCCUUAUAAGGAUAGUAAAAAAGUUCCUUGGAAUUACAACUACAAUGUGACAAUCCCAGGAAAGGAGAGCUUGGUAAACACUUCAAAAGAGAAUGAAAGAUUCUAUACACGAAGUGGAAAACACUAUGAUCCGGCGAAUGCAAGAGUGGAAUUUGGAAAAGGAAAAGCCUUAACAGUUGAGCUGGGAAAAGUAAAAACAGACAAAAUUAAAUCGUAUGUCAAUCAGCCGGUAACUGAAAAUGAGGCUAGAGAAUUUUUGAAAUUCUUAAAAUAUAGCGAGUACAGCGUGGUAAAACAAUUACAUAAGCAAUCGGCUCGUAUCUCGGUACUUGAGUUACUUUUAAGUUCAGAGAUACAUCGUAAUGCGUUGAUUAAGGCGCUAAAUGAAAUUUAUGUCGCUAACGAUAUCUCAGUGAAUAAGUUGGACCGUUUGGUUAACAAUAUCAGUGCUAACAAUUUUAUUUUCUUUAAUGAUGAUGAAAUACCGCCGGGGAGAAGAAGAGCCACCAAAGCCUUACAUAUCAUUACUCGCUGCGGGGAAUAUAUGUUACCAGGUGUGCUAAUUGAUAAUAGAUUAACCUUGAAUGUUUUAUCCCUAUCCACCUUAAAUAGGUUACCAGUGGAUAGCACUCGCAUGAAAUCAUGCCAGAAUAUAGUGAGAGCAUUUGAUGGUACCGAAAGAAGGGUGAUGGGGAGAAUAGAAGUACCCCUCUUGGUUGGCUCGAAUACGUAUGAGGUGUAUUUCCUAGUGAUGGAUAUCAAGCCUUCGUAUAAUUGCUUGUUGGGAAGACCCUGGAUUUAUUCAGCAGGAGAGGUGCCUUCACCACUGCACCAAAAGUUGAAAUUGGUAACAGAAGGCCGGUUAAUUACGAUUAACGCUGAGAAAGACAUCAUUGCAUCGGUAACCAGCAACGCACCAUAUUUGGGAAUGGAUGAUGAGGCAAUCGAAUAUUUCUUUCGGUCCUUAGAAUUCGUAUAUACGACUUUUGUCGUUGAGGGAAAAAAGAUCCCGAUGCCCAGCAUAUCUAGAGCCACGAGGAUGGGACUGCAAAUGACAGUUGGGAAAGGAGUUGUGCCUGAAAGAGGAUUGGGAAGAUGCCUUCAAGGAAGGAUGGAGGCACCAAUGGUGAAGGAUAAACGAGACCGCUUUGGUUUAAGAUUUAAGCCAAAUGUUAAGCAAAGAAAAAAAGAGUCAGAGAAAAGAUAAGAGAGGAGGAAGGCGCGUUUGAAUAGAGAAGAAGUUGAUUAGGAACCUAUGACUUUCCCCACAUAUCCAGGGCCUUCGUAUCAGGGGGAACCAUGUAUUCUGGACUGAAGACUCCAAGAAAGAAUACCACGAAGGAAAUGUUAGGAACACUGAACAUCAAUGCCAUAUUGGAAGAAGAAUCUGAAGAAGGAAGCACAUCAGGCAUCUGUCACUUUGAACCUGGGAGUGUUCUAAAUAAUUGAACUGCUGAAGAAAUGCCUGAAGUUUUUAGAGCUUUAACAGAGUAAUAUUCAAAACAUACUAAUUGUUUUAAGCCUAGAGAAAAUGGAAACUUUUUGUGAAAUGAAAUGGGCUUAUAUUUGAACAUUUUGACUUUAAUGAAAUAUAUCUUUGCAAUUUCUUUUUGAGUAUAUAUUCUUUUAAUAUUCUUUUCAUUCUUUCAUACGAAUAGUCAUUUUGGAUGCUUUUAUUCCAAAUUAUUCAUUCAUCAAUUCAUGAUCAUACUAUAAAUAGGAAUUCUUAAAUUCAUACAUUCUUUUUAUAUUCUUUGGUACCUAUAACAGGAUCUACGGGGAAAUCCUAAAAAGCUAAUCACCUAGUGGUGAUUAUUUCAAAGCCAAUAAGCAGAGAAUCUAGAAUACAAAUAGCGUCAAAGGUCAUAAUCCAAAAACCUGUAUCCUUUCUUUAUAAGGAUAGCAAAAAGGUUCUUUGGAAUUACAACUACAAUGUGACAAUCCCAAGAAAGGAGAGCUUGGUAAACGCUUCAAAAGAGAAUGAAGGAUUCUAUACACGAAGUGGAAAACGCUAUGAUCCGGCAAAUGCAAAAGUGGAAUCUGGAAAAGGAAAAGCCUUAGCAGUCGAGCUGGGAAAAGCAAAAACAGACAAUUGAAUCGCAUGUCAAUCAGCCGGUAACUGAAAAUGAGGCUAGAGAAUUUCUGAUAUUCUUAAAACAUAGCAAGUACAGCGUGGUAGAACAAUUACAUAAGCAACCAGCUCGUAUCUCGGUACUUGAGUUGCUUCUAAGUUCAGAGAUACAUCGUAAUGCGUUGAUUAAGGCGGUAUAUGAAACUUAUGUCGCUAACGAUAUCUCAGUGAAUAAGUUGGACCGUUUUGUUAACAAUAUCAGUGCCGACAAUUUCAUUUUCUUUAAUGAUGAUAAAAUACCAUCGGGGGGAAGAGGAGUCGUCAAAGCCUUACAUAUCACUAUUCGCUGCGGGGAAUAUACGUUACCGGGUGUGCUAAUUGAUAAUGGGUCAGCCUUGAAUGUUUUACCCCUAUCCACCUGAAAUAGGUUAUCGGUGGAUAGCUCUCACACGAAAUCAUGCCAGAAUAUAGUGAGAGCAUUUGAUGGCACCGAAAGGAGGGUGAUUGAGAGAAUAAAAGUACCUCUCUUGAUUGGCUCGAAUACGUACGAGGUGGAUUUCCUAGUGAUGGAUAUCAUGCCUUCGUAUAAUUGCUUGUUGGGAAGACCCUAGAUUUAUUCAGCAGGAGAGGUGCCUUCAUCACUGCACCAGAAGUUGAAAUUGGUAACAGAAGGCUAGUUAAUUACGAUUAACGCUGAGGAAAACAUCAUUGCAUCGGUAACCAGUAACGCACCAUAUUUGGGAACGGAUAAUGAGGCAAUCGAAUGUUCCUUUCGGUCCUUAGAAUUCGUAAAUGUAACCUUUAUCGUUGAGGGAAAAACGAUCCCGACGCCCAGCAUAUCUAGAGCCACGAGGAUGGGACUGCAAAUGACAGUUGGGAAAGGAGCUGUGCCUAGAAGAGGACUGGGAAGAUGCCUUCAAGGAAGGAUAGAGGCACCAAUGGUGAAGGAUAAACGAGACCGCUGUGGUUUAGGAUUUAAGCCAAAUACUAAGCAAAAAAGGAAAGAGUCGGAGAAAAGACAAGAGAGGAGGAAGGCGCGUUUGAAUGGAGAAGAAGUUGAUUGGGAACCUAUGACUUUCCCUCACAUAUACAGGACCUUCGUAUUAGGGGGAACCAUGUAUUCUGGACUGAGGACUCCAAGAAAGAAGACCACGGAGGAAAUGUUAGGAAUACUGAACAUCAAUGCCAUAUUGGAAGAAGAAUCUGAAGAAGGAAGCACAUCAGACAUCUGUCCCUUUGAACCUGGGAGUGUUCUAAAUAAUUGGACUGCUGAAGAAAUGCCUGAAGUUUUUAGACCUUUUCCAGAGUAAUAUUCAAAACAUACUAAUUUUUUUAAGCUUAGAGAAAAUGGAAACUUUUUGUGAAAUGAAAUGGGCUUAUAUUUGAACAUUUUGACUUCAAUGAAAUAUAUCUUUCCAAUUUCUUUUUCAGCAUAUAUUCUUUUAAGAUUCUUUUCAUUCUUUCAUACGAAUAGUCAUUUUGGAUGCUUUUAUUCUAAAUUAUUCAUUCAUCAAUUCAUGAUCAUACUAUAAAUAGGAAUUCUUAAAUUCAUACGUUCAUUGUAUAUUCUUUGGUACCUAUAACAGGUCUCAAGAUAUCAAUGGCAUGAGUGACUCUAUUAUGGACUUAGAAAAUCCUUUUGAAAGAGAUAUGUGUUUAGAGGAAUCUCAAGAUUUUGAAGAUAACCUAGAUUGCAACCUAUCUCCGGACUUGUUGAGGAUGAUAGAGCAGGAAAAGAAACAAAUCAUACCUCACGAGGAGACGGUGGAGACGGUGAUCCUAGAAGAGGGAAAGGCGGUGAAGAUUGGCAAAUGCAUAGCUGAAGAAGUAAAACAAGAUCUUAUUGAGUUGCUUCGAGAGUUCAAAGAUGUCUUCGCAUGGUCAUAACAAGAUAUGUCUGGUUAAGUUCUGAUAUCGUAGUUCACCAUCUUCCUAUAAAGGAAGAUUGCAAGCCCGUUCAGCAAAAACUCCGAAGAAUGAGGCCUGAUGUUGUAUUCAAAAUAAAAGAGGAGGUACAAAAGCAAUUCGAUGUUGGAUUCCUGCAAGUAGUUAAAUACUCCGAAUGGGUAGCCAACAUCGUACCCGUCCCUAAGAAAGAUGGGAAAGUACGAAUGUGUAUAGAUUAUAAAGAUUUAAAUAAGGCUAGCCCAAAAGAUAAUUUUCCUUUGCCACACAUUGACGCCCUGGUAGAUGACACAGCAGGGCAUUUACUAUUUUCUUUUAUUGAUGGUUUCUCUGGAUAUAACCAAAUUAAGAUGCAUCCUGAAGAUAUGAAGAAAACUACAUUCAUAACCCUAUGAGGGACCUUUUAUUAUAAAGUGAUGCCAUUUGUGUUGAAAAAUGCAGGGCAACGUAUCAGAGGGCCAUGGUAACAUUGUUUCAUGACAUGAUGCAUAAGGAGUUAGAAGUCUAUGUUAAUAACACGACCGUAAAAUCCCGGACGGAAAUAGAACAUGUGCGAGUAUUAAGAAAGUUGUUCUUAAGGUUAAGAAAGUUUCAACUCAAACUUAAUCUAGCCAAAUGUAUCUUUGGAGCUAGGACAGGAAAUCUUCUGGGGUUUGUAAUCAGUGAAAAAGGGAUUGAAAUUGAUCCAGACAAAGUCAGGGCAAUUAGAGAUUUGCCUCCACCACGUACUCAGAAAGAAGUUCGAGGUUUCUUAGGAAGGCUGAAUUAUAUUGCUCGAUUUAUUUCCCAAUUGACUGAAAAAUGCGACCCCAUAUUUUGUCUUUUGAAAAAACACAAUCCAGAUGUGUGGAAUGAAGAAUGCCAGGAAGCUUUUGACAAGAUAAAACAGUACUUGUCCAAUACUCCAAUAUUGUCACCACCAAGGCCAAAUAAGUCAUUAAUCAUGUAUUUAGCAGUGUUCGAUAAUUCCAUGGGAUGUGUGCUUAGUCGACAUGAUUAGACGGGAAAGAAAGAGAAGGCGAUAUAUUAUCUUAGUAAAAAAUUUACUGACUGUGAAAUGAGGUAUUCGCCUAUUGAAAAAUUAUGUUGUGCUCUGGUCUGGACGACACGAAGAUUGAGACAAUACAUGCUCUAUCAUACGACUUGGUUAAUUUUAAAGUUAGACCCUUAAAGUAUAUGAUAGAGUUGACUGCGUUGAAUGGGAGGAUGGCUAGGUGGCAGACUCUACUCUCUGAAUUUGAUAUAGUCUAUGUAAAUCAGAAGGCCGUUAAAAGAAACGCGAUAGUAGAAUUUUUGGCCAGCAGAGCUUUAGAAGACUAUAAACAUCUGAAUUUUGAUUUCCCGAAUGAAAAUUUGAUGUAUGUUGCAAUUGCUGAAGAGGAUUCCCACGAAAAUCACCCUUGGAAGCUAAGCUUCGACGGAGCUUCAAAUGCUAUAGGCAAUGGAAUUGGGGCAGUCCUCGUGUCCCCUAGUGGAGAUCAUUAUCCUUUCACUAGCAAAUUGGACUUUGAUUGCACCAAUAACAUGGCUGAGUAUAAAGCUUGCAUUAUGGCCAUUCGGGCAGCCAUAAAGCGAGAAAUUAAUGUGCUAGAGAUAUACGGAGACUCUACAUUAGUAAUAUACCAGCUCAAAGGAGAAUGGAAAACAAGAUACCCAAAGUUAGUUCAAUAUCGGAAGUUGAUUCUAGAAUUGAUUGAGGUUAGUUCAAUAUCGGAAGUUGAUUCUAGAAUUGAUUGAGGAGUUUGAUAGCAUCACCUUUUGUUAUCUCCCACGAGACGAAAACCAGAUGGCAGAUGCUUUGGCCACUCUAGCCUCUAUGAUCAAGGUGAACAAAUCAGAAGAUAUGAAGCCUAUUCAGAUCAGUAUUUAUGAUGCUCCAGCCCAUUGUUACAACAUUGACGAUGAAGAGGAAAAGGAUGAUCACCCCUGGUAUCAUUACAUAUUGCGAUAUGUAAAGAGUCGUGAGUACUCCGCCCAUGCGACGGAAAAUGAUAAGAGAACAUUAAGGAGAUUAGCCAUUGAUUAUGUCCUAAAUUGGGAGAUUUUGUAUAAAAAGGGAAAAGAUCAAGUAUUGUUGAGAUAUGUGGAUGCUGUCGAGGCUAAGAAAAUUUUGGAAGAAAUGCAUGAAGGUAUCUGUAGAACGCAUGCCAACGACUUCACGAUAGCCAGACAAAUUUUGAGAUUUGGGUACUAUUGGUCCACAAUGGAAGGGGAUUGCAUUAGUUACGCCAAAAGGUGCCAUAAAUGCCAAAUUUAUGGUGACAAAAUGCAUACGCCACCUUCACCCCUUCACGUUAUGGUUUCUUCAUGGUCGUUCUCCAUGUGGAGAAUGGAUGCUAUCGGGCCAAUAUCUCCAAAGGCUUCUAAUAGGCAUCAUUUUAUCUUUGUGGUUAUUGAUUACUUCACUAAAUAAGUGGAAGUUGCUUCAUAUGCUAAUGUCACGAAGUCAGCAGCUAGCAGGUUUCUGAAAAAAAGAUUAUAUGUCGGUACGGGAUGCCUGAAAGGAUAAUAUCCGAAAAUGCACUGAACUCGAACAAAACUUAAUAACAGAAGUUUAUAGUCAGUUUAAGAUCAGAUACCAUAAUUCGUCACCGUACCGUCCAAAUAUGAAUGGUGCCGUGAAAGCAGCUAACAAAAAUAUUAAGAAAAUUGUAGGGAAAAUAACUGAAACCUACAAAGAUUGGCAUGAGAAAUUACCUUUCGCUCUCCUAGCAUAUCGUACCUCUGUUAGAACCUCUAAUGGGGCAACACCGUUUUCCUUAGUCUAUGGGAUGUAGGCAGUUUUACCCAUAGAAGUGGAAAUCUCUUCUCUCCGAGUAUUAGCUGAAUUAAAGUUAGAUAAGACCGAAUGGAUUCAAUCUCGAUAUGAUCAACUAAACUUGAUAGAAAAAAAUAGGUUAAAAGCUAUUCGUCACAAUCAAAUGUAUUUGAAACGAAUGAUGCGAGCCUAUAACAAGAAAGUUCGUCCUAGAGAAUUUCACGAGGGGGACCUAAUUUUGAAAAAGAUUCUUCUUCUACAAAAGGAUUUUAAAGGAAAAUAGAUGCCAAAUUGGGAAGGUCCUUAUGUGGUAAAGAAAGCGUUUUCUGGAAGAGUUUUAUUCUUGAGCGAGAUGGAUGGUAAAAGCCUGCCAAAUCCUGUAAAUUCAGAUUCAGUUAAGAAAUAUUUCACUUGAAGAAAGAGGAUCAAAGUGAAAACCUGUAAAUGGCACUAACAGUCAAAUAGAUUGAAGCUACAAUAGUGAAUCUCACCUCCCUGGCGAUACAGUGGAACAGAUUGAAGCUACGAUGGCGAAUCUUGCUUUUCCGACAUUGCAACUAAAAAAUUGAAGCCGCAACGGCGAAUCUUAUUUCCUCGAUGAAACUAGGCAAAAAUUGGUCUUUCUUAGUCUUUGCUCUGUUAUCGUUACACGACAACGAGCAAAAAGAGGCAGCUGUACAAGCCUAAUUUUAAACCCAAGCCCAAGAACCCAAAACAACCUAAACCUACCCAAGACCCAACUAACCCUUAACCCAAACAAAAACAAAACCCAAACCCAAGGCCCAAUUACAAACUCUACCCAGCUACUCAAACUCACCUAGACCUUAAGUCAAGAAUAUUAAUAUUCUUCCAUGGGAGUUUGCUCAACUUCUGUCAAUGAAUUGUGAGAUAAAUUUAAGUAACUCAAAGUGUCACACGUCACUUCUUACAGCCAUUGUGGAAUCUUCCCUUCAAUUCUAUUGUUAGAAAGGUCCAAAGUUUUCAACUUUUUUAACCCUUUCAAAAAUGGGGGAAUUGGCUGACAUUAUUUGAGCUUAAGGAUAGGCUGUUUAGUGAAAGGUCAAGAUAUUCGAGAUUUGGGAGAUUUGAGAACAUUCCAAACUCUAUAACACCACUGAGAUUAUUUGAGUAUAAAAAGAGCCAGGUAAGGUUGAGAAAUUGGAACAUUGAAGAUGGAAGAUGACCUUGGAGUUUAUUAUUCCCUAACACUAUCAUUCUAGUGAUUUAGAUUGGAAUUCUUUGAUGUGGUCACUGAAUUGAUUUUGAGAGAGAUAUACUUCCAUUAAGGAGGAAGCAUUAUACAACCAUGACAGAAGUUUUUCAUUGGGUAAAAUGUUAGAUAAGUCUAAAGAUAUUAGAUUAGGGAAAGCAGCUACCUCAUCUGGAAUGGGACCUUCUAAAGAAUUUUCAGCUAUUCUCAAGUGUUCAAGUUGUGUUAGGUUUACAAUUGACAAUGAAACUUGUCCACUCAAUUGGUUCCAUGACAAGUCUAAAUAUAUGAGCCACAAAAGGUUCCCCAAUGAUCUCGAAAUUGAUCCCUGUAAAUUGGAAUUAGAGAGACAAAUAUUUCAAAACAUGCAGGUUGUCAAUCAAAUCAAUCAAUUUCGUAAAGAAGGACAUCCAUGACAGAUCCAAAUGUUCAAGAUUACUGCUCUGAUAGAACUUCAGAAGAUCAAGACUAAGGUUUCGGUUGUAUCCUAAGUUGAGCAAAUUGAGGUUUGGUGAAUGAAGAAUAUUUCUUGAGAAUUUUCCUUGUAAAUCACAACCACCAAGACUAAGAGACUUUAUAGAAGAGGAUAGAUUCAUGAAAACAUUAGGAUUAAUAGAAGGCAUGAUAAUUCUAUCAAGAAAAAGAUGCCUCACCUCAGUUAGAUUGUGAACAAGUCCCUCAAAAGUAUUUUUGUCAGGUGUUAAUUGGUCAGAAAAAACAUUAUGAGAGAGAUCAAGUGAAACCAAUUUCAAAAUCCAUGCCGUCAUUCUUUUUCUUAGUUGUCAAUGCUUACUGCUACUGUGGUCCCAUUGAGGCAAAAUUCUGGGAAAUGUUUGAGCCUUUUACCACAUGUCCAUGCAGUGCCUACUCACACAAGAUCUGAACUUUGUUCAGACAAGUUCCUCAAAAGAUAGCCCUGUAAUAUGCAACAUAUGAAUCAGUGUCAGAAAAGGCCAAAGAAAGAGUACGGAACUGAACUAGUAGAAAAUCAAGAUAAUAUACCAUAUUAUCCAGUGCUGGGGCUUUCAGAGCACUAAUCUCACUCAUUGCACAAUCAGGAAACACAAAGCUAGCAGCAUGCCAUGUUUCAAUGACUCUGUCACUGAGUUUUAUUAAAAAAAUGUAAAUUUCAGAGAUAUUUUACAUGGUCUUUAUUUUCCAAGGAAACAUGAAUUCCAAAGAUCAACGACUCCACUGAGUUUGUCGCUUCAAUAAAAAAUGGUAAGAACAACAAGACCAGUUAACAAUAAUCAAUAAUAACAUUUUCUACAACACUAAAAAUGACUCAUAGGGAUUAUAAAUUUGAGGGGGAAAUGUAUGAACAAUGGGAUCAAUUACAACUUACAAGCAUGUGAUAACUAGCAGACAUAACUCAUACAAGACCUAGAUGUAUUAUUGAACUCUUAUAUAAAAGACAACUGAAGAUGCAAAGCUUAAUUGUUAAGCUUUUCUGAUGCUUGAUAAGUAUAGUUUUAGUUCAGUUCCGAGAUCAAUGCAUGCUAUUGCGAUUUAUUAUCUUUGAUGCCAAGGAAAUGACAGAAUUCAAAGACCAAAAGGUUCGAUUACAUACUAGAUCAUGGAUGUAAACCAAUCUACAACCUCUCUCCUCGACCUCCAUUUGAAACCAGCAUGAUUUGAAUUCUUAGCCGCAUAUACCCUCACAAACUCCUCAGCAACAACAUAAAACAUCUGCCUAAUACUCCUUUGAGAACCGAUAACUGCACAGACAGAUUCACUGGUGGAAUCCUUCAAGAAAUAUUGAACCACACAAUUACCACACUCCUGUGAAAUAAACUCCUCCUGCCACUCGAAACAAUGACCAUUUCCAGACAUUUUGAUAGACAAUACACAAUUUGCUUCACUACUUACUCACAUAGCUAAAAGAUGUCUAAUGAAACUGGCAAAGUGUUCUUCCAAAAUGGUACAUUAACUGCCAAAAAGACAACCACCAUACAUUCAUUCAUUCAGUAAACAGCUUCAAUAUGGCAAUAAGCUAUUAUCUUAAAAAUGUUUUUUCUACCACAGAAGAAUAAGAACUAGGCAUCACAGAAAAUUUGCUAAAUUAAUGACUUUGCUUCCUUCAAAAUAAACAAACGAUUAACUGCAUUAACCCCAAAGAGGUCACCAUCAACCUCCAGUUAAACUUUCAAGGAAUAAUAAUAAACAAUAGAAGGAAACAAGGGGGAAAAAAACUAACCAGAACUCGGUAAAAACUGAGCCUUGAAGAUCUGCAGGUAGUAAGAGAAAAACCCCAUGACGACUAAAGUCCAAGCUUGAAAGAACCAAAAGGGAGCAAACAUAUGGCUAUGACUCACUGGACCAAGAGAAUCACCAAUGAAUAAAGGAAAAUGGGUACUUUCCUUUAUACCUAAACAUGCAAUAUUUAGCUUUAAGAAAGAGGGUGAAAGUUAAAGAACUUGUCUUUGUUUUGAUGUGUGGAACACGAGAUAGUGAAGGAAAAUAGAGGCGAGGAAAUAAGAUGGAGUAAGUGGGGAAAAAGGAGAGCCUAAAAGAGACAUUUUUGAAGGGGAGUUUAGAAGCUGCAGAGGCUUUGGCAUACGGCAGCUAAUAAUGAGAGAAGACAAACCAGAAACGCAAGUACGACGACGACAAAAAUAAAGUUAAAAAAAUUUUAAGAGUUGAUGAAAUAACAUUUUGUAGCUUAGCUAAUUGGGACGGAGUCCACCAGUCUGAUGCCCAUAGAUCCAUACCUGGGAUUUUCUAUUUGGGCUAACUUUCUAACUUCUCCCACUAGUCUUGAAACUUUGCAGAUUUUUUCAAUUUGAUCUGUGUUAUGAGCAGAAAAGUUAGCAGGAGAUAUUUGUGAAGAUUAAGUGAAACGGGGAGUUUUGGGAAGGGGGUCUGUUAGUUUAAUUGAAACGGGGAGUUCAGAAGAUUAGUUAUACGGUGCGUUUAAUCACAACAGAAAUUGUCCACGUCACUUUGUUAGUUUUCCUUUAGAACUGCAUGUAAUGCAUGAGGUAUUCUUCAUGAAUGAAAACAGAAGAAAAUCCAGUAUUCUCAAUCUUCUCUCUAUUUUUCUUUCUCUCUUCCCCGAUUACUCUCUUUUCUACUUUCAAAUUCUGGUUCGUACCAAAGGUAUCAGAGCUAUCACGAUCCCUUUCGAUGGCUGGCGAAGGCGUAUCGACGAGGUUGCAAAAAGAGGUGAGCAAUAUGUAGCAGGAAAUCUCCAAAUUCCAAGAGAAAUUCGUGCAUCUGGAGGUCAAGAUGGAAUCCCGUCUAAAGGAGCUUCGAACGGAGUUACGAGGUGAUUUCCAGUCGUUGUUCGUUCAGUAUUUCGGGCCACCGCCAACUGGUUUAUCGGUAACUGCUGCAGCUGAUAAGGAUAAGGGGGUUUUGGGGGCUCCUCCUGGGUUCCUACCAAAAGAUUCUGAUCCACCUCAGGCGCAGAUGGAUCCAUCCAUUGCUGCAGGGGGCAGUGUGCAUUUGAGAGAGCAACCAAUUAUUUUGGGAGCUUCGGGGAAAGGCGCUUUAAACACGAGCAUUGGUGCAACAGCGAUCGUUUCAAGUGGAACGAGGUGUCUGGAUAUAGGGCAGUUCAUGUACCAGAAGGGCGCAACAUUCGAUGCCAAGGCAGAUGUAUUUCACAUGCUAUCUGGUAUGUGGAAAACACCUACAGAGAGGUGCUUUAUGUGGUUAGCAGGAUCUCGUUCAUCUGAACUUAUGAAACAGCAAGUUCAGGAUGGGGCUAGAGGUCAGAAACGUGAACCUUUUAACCGAGGGAAGAAAAAUAAGCAUUCUGGUCUCCAAAAUUUUGGGAAUUAUACUGGUACUGGUUGGGGGAAUCAAAGUAAUGGAGGUGGCCAAAAUAAUUGGGGAUCUAGGAGAACAACUUGGUUGAUGCUUAUUGACAAGCUUUCAAAGAAGUCACUAUUACAUGCAGUUUUAUUAGAUUUCUCAAAGAAUCAAUGUGAUAAAUCUGCUGACAAACGUCGAUCGGAGAGGAGUUUUCAAGUUGGGGGAUCUCCUAUGUACAGGAUAGAAAGAAAGCUUGGUAAAGGUGGAUUUGGUCAGGUGUUUGUUGGAAGACGUGUUAGUGAUGGAAAUGAACGUGCAACUGGUUCUACAGCCAUGGAGGUAGCUCUGAAAUUUAAGCAUAGAAACAGCAAAGGUUGUAGUUAUGGUCCUCCUUACGAAUGGCAAGUUUACAAUGCUCUAGAUGGUAGUCACGGAGUUCCAAAAGUGCACUACAAAGGAAAACAAUGAGACUAUUAUGUGAGGGUUAUGGACAUAUUAGGGCCCAGUUUAUGGGAUGUUUGGAAUCCUUCAGGUCAAACGAUGUCUGCAGAAAUGGUAGCUUGUAUAGCUGUUGAGUCACUAUCUUUACUAGAGAAGAUGCACUCCAAAGGUUAUGUGCAUGGGGAUGUUAAACCUGAGAACUUUUUACUUGGUCAACCAUCCACGCCACAAGAGAAGAAGUUGUUUCUUGUUGACCGUGGAUUAGCAACAAAAUGGAAAGAUAGCAGCAGUGAACUGCAUGUUGAUUAUGAUCAACGACCUGAUAUGUUUAGAGGAACUGUUCGAUAUGCAAGUGUCCAUGCGCAUUUGGGAAGCACUGUUAGCAGAAGAGAUGAUCCUGAGUCUCUUGCUUAUACGCUCAUAUUUUUACAUCAAGGGCCGGGCUACCAUGGUAGAAACAUGCAUUCCAAGUCAAAUUUCCUCAUUUUCAGCCUUGAGGACAAGGCUGUUUUCUGGGAAAGGAAUAUUGUUAUGAGCAGAAAAGUUAGCAGGAGAUAUUUGUGAAGAUUAAGUGAAACGGGGAGUUUUGGGAAGGGGGUCUGUUAGUUUAAUUGAAACGGGGAGUUUAGAAGAUUAGUUAUAUGGUGCGUUUAAUCACAACAGAAAUUGUCCACGUCACUUUGUUAGUUUUCCUUUAAAACUGCAUGUAAUGCAUGAGGUAUUCUUCAUGAAUGAAAACAGAAGAAAAUCCAGUAUUCUCAAUCUUCUCUCUAUUUUUCUCUCUCUUCUCCGAUUACUCUCUUUUCUACUUUCAAAUUCUGGUUCGUACCAAUCUGAAUUGUAUGAUAACAUAUAACUUUGAGAUUGGGAAAAAUAAUUUUUUUUUAAAUUAAAGAAAAAAAUAAAGAAACUAAAUUUCAAGCAUGAAAAGUACAAAAGAAAGAACUGUAUUUAUAAAAGAUGAGUUACUUCACUCAGAUUGGAGUACCCUUAAACAAGUUUAUGCUUGUAAAGAAAGAAACUGAAUUUUGAUUUCAUUUGCUGUGGCAAAAUUUUUAAUUUCAAAAACAGUAUAACAUAUUGAAAGCCUGCCUACAUCUCGGCAGAAAAAUUUACAAAUUCUUUCAUCAGACAAUUUAAAUGAUGCAAUGCAAAGAUUCAUCAAUGUAUGAUCUUUUUAUCAUAAAAUGGCUGUUUUACUGGAAAACUUGAUAUGUAUUGUCUUUCACAUUCUUCUGUGCUGAAUGGUCUCCGAAAACUGCAAUAAUCAACUAUAGAUAACCCUUUCCUCAGCGCCGCCAGAGCCGACCUUGUUGUUUCUGUUCUUGAACUCGCCUGUGUCAUCAAAGGCAGUAAGCGUUUAUCAAUGUUAUAAAAAUGGCAUAUCGAAGUCAGAUUUUACUUGACAAUACACAAAUAUAAGAAGAUAAUUCACCUUUGAUACUCUUUAGAACGCUCGAGAAACUCUUUCGCGAUAUCUUUUCUUUCAUAUGAUUGCAAUACUUGUCUGAUAUCAGCCGGACUAUUGCGGGCUACAUCUGUGAACAAAUCAAAACAAAUGGUACUAUAAUCAACAAAUGAAUAUAGGAAACAUAAAAUUUGAACAAAGGCGAUGUGCAGAGGAAAAAGCAACAACAUAAGACUUACAUUCAAGAAAUGGAAUAAGGUCUAAAAGUGCGGUAUCAUCAGUCUCGAGUUUAUAUGGCUUAAUAGGGACACAAUUUUCUGGUUGAAGGCUAGAAUCAAAUGCAUGAGCACUCACAUAUAAAAUCUUGGUUGGAUCCCUGUUUAGCUUUGAAAGAUCCUGCCAACAGGAACUAUUUGUUAACAAUAAGGCUUCUUUUUAAGUAGCAGCUUGUAAAGGCACUGUCUCAUAGAUCAAUACGCAUAGUAUUGUAGAAACUAAGGAGGCGAAAACCAAAAGCAAAAUGUUUUGAAGGGAAGAGAUUGACUAUGACAUGGUAAAAGUAUUAUGGAGGCCCCUGUGUUAGGAGUUAGAUUGCAUUUUGCCCCCUUUACUCAAAAACUGGAUAAAUUAAUCCCUGUAUGUUAGAUUAAAGAGUAAACUAAACUUUCUGUUAAAAACUUCAUCCAUUGCUAUUGUUAAAAACUGGUGCAGUUGAUAAAAUAACCAAACAGUUACACCUAAUCUGUCACGUGUACCUCAUGCUAAUGUACAAGGACCAAUUUUUAACAGUAGAAAUGGAUGGAACUUGCAACAGAAAGGCUGGUUUGCUUUUUAAUCUAAUGUACAGGGAUUAAUUUGCCCAUUUUUUUAGUAGAGGGGGUGAAAUGCAAUACGACUCCUAGUAUAAGGGCCUCCAUGGUACUUUUACCACUAUAACAUACUCUAUAAUGCUUGCCAUCCUGAUAUUUAGUAGCACCCCUUGAUAGCCUAUAUCGUAUACAAUGGUUAGUGUCCAACCUUUCACAAACAGGAUCAACAUACUGCAUAGCCAAAAACAAACUAAUUAUGAACUUGCAGGCAACAUCAGUUAUGAUAUACUUGUGUAUUUAAAAUGGUAGCCACAAUGAAAAAUAUCAAAUUACCAUAUUCAUCUGGUCAGAAUAGACAACAAUUUCAUAGAACUUUGCUAGAUGUUCCAGAAAGGCAUCAACACCAGGUCUUUUGAAGGUACGCCAGCCUCUCUCUCGCUUUGCCAACCAAAGAGGGAACGUGUUAGAUACCGUAAACGUGAAAUGGAAAAUAAUUUUAAGUCAAAUUCUUACCUUCCAGUCUGUAUAAAGUAAUGUCUCGUUCAGAUCUAGGACAAGAGUGAAAACAUGCUGUUCUAGAGGAUGCAAAUCAGGAAGAAGCUUAUCCGAAGUCGGUUCAGUAUAUUCCUGAAAAUACGAGAUAAAAUUAUGAGAACAAAACAAAAGAUAGGCCGACAAUAAUAGAAAACCGGAAACAAGAGAAAGAAGAACACUCCUCACCAGCAAAUGUUCUUCCACUAACCUCCUGAGAUCCAGAUAAGAUUCAAGUGCUUUAGCCGGAACUGAAAUGUUACAAGCAAAGAAACCAGGAAUAAAUUGAGUUCGAACCAGAGCAUGUAAACAAAUCAAUCAUUGACCAACAUGAUAGACAGCAACCAGCACCAACGGAAUUUUCUUUUCUGUCUCACCAAAUCCAUUUAUAAUAAAGCAGCCCGAAUUUCUAAAGGAAUAUUUUGGUAAAAGUACCAUGGAGGCCUCUAAGAGAUGAAUUGCAUUUUGACCCCUCUACUCAAAAAAUUGGCAAAUUAGUCCCUAUAUGUUGGAUCAAAAAGUAAAUUGGUCCUUCUAUUAAAAACUCUUCGGUUAUUCUGUCAACCAUGCUAGUUUUUAUCAGUAGAAAAAAAUAAUUUUUAACAGAAAGGACAAUUUUGCUCUUUGAUCUAAUGUACAAUGACUAAUUUGCCCAUUUUCUUAGUAGAGGGGGCAAAAUGCAAUCUAACACCUAAUACAGCAGCUUCCAAGGUAUUUUUACCGAAAUAUCUCCGGGCACUAGACAAUGCAAACUGAAUGCCCUGUUAUGCAAAUAUUGUGCUAGUAAUUAGGUUGACAUACAGAACAAAGACUUUAGAGAUAAUUGUAACCAUGAACAAACAAAGAAGCAAUAAGAGAGAGAAACACAAUAAGGUCCUCACCUGUCAUUGCAGCAGAGUAAAGCAAGCCUCCAUAUUUCUGAAAAAGAUAUGGGGAAAAAAAAAAAGAACUGUUACUUUCAUAUCUAAUUUCUUCAUAGUAUUAGGACAAACUAAACAAUGGAUAUAUCACAUUAUUAAGACUUAGCUAAGGUACCGCAGAUAUACAUUCAAAUGAUCAAUCAUAAAGAAUGAACUAGGAGGCCCAAUGAUCAAUCAAAAUUACACCUAAACCAGUUAUAUGUCUAAAGCCAAUUGCACAUUAUAUCAAUCAAACAACUAAAAUAAAUAGAGAAAAUCCUUUAAAAUAAUCAAUUUCUAAACAAAAUCAAACUCACAUCAAUAGCAGAAGCAUCUUCACUAGGAGCAUAACUCGCUGCAGCCCGCAAUGCCUUUGCUUUAUGAUCUACUUCCUCACAUGAACACUCUGCAAAUCAUAUUAAAUUCUUUUUUUUAAAACCACUUUUAAUCAUAUAAAAAAAAAACCAAAAUCACAAAUGAUCCGAUCUUUUUAAAAGGGGAAAAAGAAAACUUACUAUAAGAGAGAUAACCAGCAUAGCCAGUAGUUCCAGUAACACCUGCAAUGAGUCCGUACUUGACAAAGCUCCAAAUUUUCCCUCCCGAAACCUGUGGGGCAACUUUCGGCGCCGGAGGAGGAGGUGUCGACUGAUCGGAGAGAAUGGAUUGUGAAGAAGUUAUUGUUCCUUUAGAAGGAUCCGAAGAAGAAGAAACCACUCCUGAACAUAAACCCCUUUGAGAAAUACUCUUUGAACUGAAAUUAUUUGAAAUUGUUCGCGAUCUAAGAACAAUGGAAGACAUUUUUAUUAGAGUUUCUGAUUUGGCUUCUUUUUUUUUUAUUGAUGGAGAUUUUAAAUUAAUUAGGGUUUAGGGUUUUAGAAAUCGAAAGUGAGCGAUGAAAUCAAAAUGUUGAAUUUAAGGGGAGUGUUUGGAAGUUGGUGUUGAACUAUUCUAUUAGAGUCCAGAAUGGGGAUUGUGGAAUUCGUUCUUUGGUAUUUGACUUUGUUUUUCUUUUGGGUAAACUACAGAUUUAGUCACUUACAUGUAGUUAAAUUAUAGUUUGGUCACUAACUUUUAAAAGGUUUGAUAUGGUCACUAUAGUUAUCGAUUUGUUAUAUUUUGAUCAUUAAGCCAUUAACAGUGUAGUAAUAAGUUGACUUGGCACGUUAUAUCAUCAUUUCAAACAAAAAUUUUAAGUCAAAUUGCACAUAAGUAAUCCCUAUAUAUUUUAUUGUUGAACAUUUUAAUUUUUUUUCUUCUUUCUUUUAUUUCUUUAUUUCUUUUGUUACCUUGUUCUUCACUUCCAAAAUUAUUAGAGGAAACAUCAUAAAAGUAUGUUUGUGUGAACUUCUCAACUUCCUUUUACUAAAUUAUUACAAUACCUUAGUGUUUUAUAUUUAUGCCAUAUCUGAAGCUUCUUUUGGGAUCAUGAUAUCUUCCUUGUCCUAGCAAAGAAGAUACCGGAGGAAAGGAUACUCACUUCAUAUGUGCAUAUGAACAAGAAAUAGGUGUAGCAAAUAGAGUUGGUGGCUAGUUACUAUUAUUAGAAACUGAUGUCUAACUUUACAUUUGCUAUCCUAGAGGAGCUAAUCGACCCAACCACAUUCACAUAAAAAGCAACAAAUAUAAUCAAUAAUACCAACAGUACAAGCAUGGUGUUAUUGCAAGCAUAACGGUGUCAAAUUAUAACAUAGUAGUUUACAAUAAAACAUUUUAGCAAGUAUUCCAAGGAUCGUUCUUCCAUAAGGAUUCAUUAGGGAAAGCAUUAAUCGAUUACCUCAUGUAUAAGGUAAUUUACUAAUCUAAUUUACUCAAGUAUUAUUAGUGCAAGUCGAAUGAAAAGCAUAAAGAAAGUACACUAACUUAGCAAUCAAACAAAUUAACCUAAUUUCCUUUUUUCUUGUCUUAGACUAUGCAAAUAAUCAAGGUGAUGGUCGAUUAGUCAACUAACUACUUAUGAAGCUAAUGUGCAUAUCCUGGUUACAUUUAUUGUCACUCUUAAAUAGGAAUCUUCUCUCAGUCUCACCCUAACAUAAGAAUUACCUCCUAGGAUCUCCUCUCAGUCUCGCCUAGGUAACAGAUCACCUCUCGGUCUCAUCAUUUGGCGCAAUUGUAUCAAAAUUCUACAUGAUAUAAUCUCCUCUUGAUCUCAUCUAUCUAGAUCCUCCACUAGAGACGUUAAUUCUAAUGUACUAAACAAUUCGAUACAAUUGAACAAGCAAAUAAUCGAGAUCAACCAUAUCAACUUAGAUUAGCAAUUAGUAUCACAAUCAACCAUCAAGAAGGUUUAGAACAACAUAAAUUUCAAAAUGCAAGCAACCAUUCUAACAUUCAAUCGAUAAAAGAUGAAUAAGAACAAAAGAUAGAAAUGCUCAUUCAUGGAGAAGAAUCCAAUUCAGAGCUGAAACUUUCUUGAUCUCUAUUUACAUAGCCUUCAACAAGAAAAAAUGAAAAAGCUACAACAAAACUAACUCUCUCUAUUCUAUUCUCACAUAAUUUUAAUGUAACAUAAAAUGUGUAUUGCAUGAUGUGUGAAAAUAUGAUAGAGAAAUGGUUUAUAUAGUAAUGAACCAAAAGAUCUUUGUACCCUUACUAAAAAUCCACUUAAUAAAGGCUAAAAACACAAAAAUGCCAUUAGUAAUCGUUUCAAAUCUGGAUCUACAUAGCCAACGUCGUGACCUCCACUUUCACAAUGUUACGGCAUUGACAAACGUCUUCUCCCCAAGAAUGGCUCCAACGUCAUAAUCUCAUCACAAGUACGUUGUGACUUAGCAAACCGAUGUUACAACUUUGAGUCCUCUCUUCUGACAUGAUUAACUAUCGAGUCCUUCUCCCACGUUCAUGUUGCAUGAUAUCAUGACCCUAGAAAGCUCAAUCUCACGACGUGAUUCACUAUUCAGCCACUUCAAUCAUUUAAAAUUGAUUAAGCGUCAUUUGCUACUAAAACCCAAAAUGACAUGAGAACACUAGAUUAAGCACGAAAAUAUGAUAAAAUUUAAAUUCGAUGCACAAAGUAUUAAGUACAUAAAAAGACUCGAAAACACACUAUAUGAAACAAUCAUAUUGACAUACAUCAAAUUAUAACUCGACAUAAGCCUAAAGGUUUAAUUAACCCUACAAGAGUCUUUGAAAAAGUUCGCUCUAACACAAAGCCUAAAGGUUCCUCAAUAGCAUGCAUCAUAGCACUCAUAGACUAGGUAAGCCUUUUCUGGGCUUUUGUUUAUCAUGCUAAGUUUCACAGUCCAAUAUGGGUUGCUUUUUCCUACAAUAAUUAUUUGAACUUAAACCUACUCAUUUGUCACAUUUUUUUAAAGUUACUCUACCUUACUCUAUAGAAAAACUUUACCCUCUUUCCAAUAUUUUUUCCUUGGACUGCUCCACCUCUAGACUAAGGGUGGGUUUGGAUGAGCGAUUGAGUGCGGUGCAGUGUGUUUAGCUUACUUUUUGUCUCACGCUACAGUAUCGCUACGGUAUCUAAUCUCACCGCCACCGUUGUUUUUACACUAACCGCAGGUAAACGCACUGCCCAUCCAAACUCACUCUAAGAUUCACACCAUCCACCACCUUGGCCAUUUUCCAUAUUUCUUCAUUAACUUAUCAUUGGACUCUCUAACUUUUUUUUAAGAUUCCUCGAGGGGUUUAGCUUUUUUUUCUUCGAGUCUUUUAGUACAAUUAUAUACUAUUUGCCUACAACUAAAUGUUGUAGCUAAAAGGGCCAUUGCAAGCAACAUUUGAAGGGAUAUACUAAUUUCACUCGAAUAGCAAUUUCUCCAUUUCAAUCACUUUCUUACCCACAUUAAAUAAGGGUCCUUCAGUGUAAUAUGUCUAAAUUUUUCCGAUCCUGUAAAUCGCGUAAUUUUAGAAAAAUAUAAAAAAAAUUCUAAGAAUUUGUAUCGAGUUAAUUGUAUGAUAUUGUUGGAAUAAAAUAGAUAUAAAAAAAUUAAUAGUAAAGUUUAGCAUGAAAUGUUAAGAAUAGAGUAAGGACUAAAUUGCUAAGAAUUAAAAAAUUGAGGGACUAAAGUAUAAUUAUAGUAUUUAUAAAAAAUUAUUAGACCAUGAUUACAGUAUAAAAAAAGUGAUGAAUAUGUAGGACAAGUGGUCGAGUUUGGUUAUUGAGUUAACGAUUUCAAAGGGAAAAGAAAUGGAAAGGAAAUUUGGCCUUUCCAUGAGACAAACGGCUAAGUAGAAAGGAAAAGAAAAAACAAAAAGUUUCCUAAGAAAAUUUCACAUCUCUCGAGUUUAGAUUCCAAUCUUAACUUUGUAUUUGAUCUUUUUAAAUUUUAUAUGAACUUAUUUAACAUUAAUUUAUUAUAUUUAUACAUGUAAUUAGGAUUAUAUGAAAAUUAUUAUAAUUGAUUAUCGAAUUAUUUGAUAUCAUAAAAUGAAAUAAUCUACAUUACUCCAAUAAUAUAAUGUAAUGUUACGUAUUCGAAUUUAAUGACUAAAUUUUAGUAAAUAAUGAAAAAUAAAAAACAUUUGAGUAAAAUUAUAGAUUUAAAAAUGAGUUUAAAUAAAAGAUAAAGUCUAUUUUUUAAAUAGAUCGUGUUUCAUGUAUGAUUUUUUUUUAGUGAGGCCUGAUCUUAAUCUAUUUAAAUUUUUUCUCUCCUAUUGUUUAUUGUUGUUUUGUUGUUGUUUAGCUAUUAUUUUAUUAUUAUAUUGUUACUAUUUUAGAGACAUUUAUUUGUUAAGUUGUAACUAUUUUAAUGUUAUUUAAAUAUAAAAACUUUUUUUAAUGUAUUUUCAAUCUGUUGAGAAACAUUUGUUUUAAUAUUUUUAAUAUAUUUGAUGUGGGUCGAACUCAAUUUUAGUUUUUUUAUCUGGAACAAAAUUUUACACUCACUUUUUAAAAUUAAAUCAGACCCAAACUUAAAAAAUAAACCUAAAAUUUUAUACUAUCCCAACCCAUUAUAAUGCCUAAUAAAAAAAAUUUACUAAGCAUCACAAACUAUGCCAACACAUUAUGUCCCUCUCUUUAGACUAAAAGUUUACCUCCCAAAUUAAGAGUUCACCCUGGCUACAACACAUUGUCUUAAUCUGUCCUUGGGCUAAGGGAUAAUUAUUAUAUGCAUCCUUUAUCAACACCUCUCUCUUCUAAGCUUAGCAUAUGAAUCAUGGCUAAAUCACAUCAAGAUUUGUCACUAGGGCUCUAUAGCUAGGAUCACAAGUCCUUCAAUCUUAGCCAAUACACAUGCAGAUAGUUUAUCAUGAUUCAACCAUCAAUUUCCUUGGUAAAACAUCUAUUUAGGAGACUUGCAUCUGACUACAUACUUCUCCACCGUUGAACCACACCUCUUUUAGAACCUUUCAUUUCCUCUCCAAGCUCAUUAAAACCACCACAAGUGGCUUUAAAAUAGAGAUGGACUUAAAAAGGGAAGUCAAAAAAAAUUUAUUUAAGAAAUCAGAAUUAAAUUGUAUAUUUUUACGACGGUAAAAAUGUAAAUUUAUCAUCUUAAUAGUCUAUAUCUUUAUAACUUUUAAAGGAUUAAUUCAAAUUUUUAUCAUUUUUAGAAGAACCAAAAUGUGAUUUUAUUAUGAUCAUCUAUUUCUUUUCCUCAUAAUACACUUCAGCAUACUCAAAUCCACGUCUUUCUUUAUUAUCAAUAAUGUCCAUAUUAAUCCAAUCGGGACUAAUCCUCGAUAAAAAUCAAAAUUUUAAAUUUUUAAAUGUUGGAGGGAGGGUUUUAAAUUUUGUCCUUGAUCCAAUAUUGAUGAAGAUGAAAUGGAUGGGGAUGACUUAAUAAAUGUGUGUUUCAACCUCAUUCAUGAAUAAGAAUCAUAGCCACAAACUUUUUUCAAAGCAUUGAAUGCAGACCCAUCGAAUGUGGUGUUCAUGAUUCAUCCAUGCAACGCUUUAGAUGGUGACACGUCUUAUUUUAAUAUAAUUGUAAUAACUAAAUUUAUUUUUAUUGAUUAAGAAUUUUAACUAAAAAUAUUUUUUAAAAAUUAAAUUAAAUGAUAAAUGAUUGUGUGAAGUACAUCUUGUUUAAGGUUAAAUUGUAGUUACAAUACUUCUAUUAUGUUUAAAUUUUAGAGUAUAUAUACUUUAAUUUGACAUGAUUCGGUUCCUCUAAUCAGUGGCGAAGCUAAGGUCUGGCAGCCUCAAAUGAAAAAUUUUCCAUUUAAGCUUAUUUUUAAUUUAUAAAUUAGUAAUGGUAAAAUUACACUUUGACUCUCUAAUUGAUAAAAAUUUGAUUUAAUCCUUUAAAAAUUAUAAAGAUAUAAGGUAUUAAAAUGGUGAAAUUAAAUUUUUAGUAUACAAUUUAAUUCCGCCCCUACCUCUACUUUUAUAACAUCAUUAGUUAGGCCAAUAGUUGACACCCUUAAUUAUUUCGGUAUGCUUAAGCUAGACUUUUUCUUAAAAAUAUUACAACUUAUCAUGUCAAGUGUGUGUGUUAGAAAUGUGAUUUAAAUCAAAUUUCGCAUUAGCAUGUCAAUUAAAAUGGUUAGGGAUGUUAACUGUUUGGACUAACUAGUGUCAUUGUAAAAGUAGAAGACCAAAUUAUGUCAAAUUAAGACAUAAAAGACUAAAUCCCAAAUGUGAGCAUAAUAAGAUAUCAAAAUUAUAAUCUAUCCAUUAUCUUAUAAUGACCAAAAGAAAGGGAAAAAAAAGAUGGGUAUGUUCAUGAAGAGGUAAAAGUACUAUAGCAAUCAUUGUACUAUACCCCGGUUUGCAUUUUGUUUCUACUGAAAAUUUGGCAAAUUAGUCCUUAUAUGUAAAACAUCAAAAUAACCAUUUAUUGAUAAAAUUUUAAUAGAGAGACUAUUUUACUCAUUCAUCUAAUGUAUAAGAACCAAUUUGUCCAUUUUUUAGUAGAGUGAUCAAACCCAAUAUGAAGUACAGUACAAGGACUGCUAUGAUACUUCUACCGUCAUGAAUCUCUUUUAUAAUGAUUAAUCUAUACUAUUAUUUAAAGCUUCGACUUAACUAAGCUGAUGUCACCCUCAAUUGGUUUCCAACUCAAUUAUGAAAUUAAUAAAAACUCGAUAUUUUUAUAAAGCAACAAAUAAUUUAAGAGUAUUUUGUCUUUUUAGAUAAAGAUAAAUCUCAAAACUAUAUAUAAAGUAUGGUUUAAUGUGCAAUUGUAUACAUUAAAUUUUGAUUUGAUCCAGUUCUUGUAAAUUAUUAAUACAAUUAUUGAUAUAAACAUAAUUUUAUGUUUAUAUAUUGCAUACGUAAAUAAUUAUCUUUAUCCAAUAUAAAAAUAAAUUGAUGUGUUUAUUUCUUUAAAUGUAUAUGAUUAAAUUAAAAUUAAAGUUUCAAAUAUACAUUUGAACUACAAUUAGACUUUCACGUGUAUAAUUAUAUCAAAUUAAAAUUUAUGUAUAUAAUUACACAUUAAAUCAAAGUUCAUGUAUAAUUUUAAAAUUUAUCCCUUUUAAACACAAUUUAGAAAAACACAUUCACAUGACAGAAUUUAAACUAAAAACCUCAAAAUCUUUCUUACUCCAGUUUUACCAUUUCAACAUUAAAAGUUAUAAUUAAUUUUCAUAUAAAUUAUUUCUAUAAAUUUCCUAUAUAAUUUCUUUUACCCACGUCGUGAAUUUCGCAUAAUAUAAUAUACAUGGUAGGUACCUUUUAUGACAUUUAUUAGCAAUCUUUUUUUCUUUUUUAAUUUGUCAAGGUUAGAGGCGAGUAUUUAAUCGAGUUAAGUCGAAUCAAAUCGAGUAAAAAAAUUUUGAGUUAAUCGAGGUCUCGAGUCCUAUUUUAUCAUCCUAACUCAAUUUGAAUUUAUUUUUGAAUCAAGUCAAGUGAAAUGAAAUUCGAAUCGAAUCAUGUGAAAUUAUUCGAGUUAAAUUAAAAAAUUUAAACAUGUCAAAAAAUAUAUUAUUACAGUAUAAAUAAUUCCAUGUUAGAGCACAUAAAUUUGAAACCAUAUAUAUUUAAUUUUUUUUCGACAAAUAAAUUUGAAUCAUUAAUUAGAUCCCAAAAUUAUUAUUUUAGAAAAUUUUUAAAAUUUUAGAUUUUUUAUUUUUUUAGAAAAUUUUAAAAUUUUAAAAUAUAAAUUUUGACAUUUUUAUAAAUAUUUUAAAAUUUAAAAAUUAUUGUAAUUUUUAAAAAAUAUUUUGAAUUUUUUUUUGUUGAGCCAAUUUGCUUAUUUUCGAAGUUGGUAGGGACAAAAAGGGUAUUUGAAUUUUAAAAUUCGAAUAACUCAAAUAAUUUGCAUAACUGAAUAAUUCGAUUCGGUUAACUCGAAAUUCAAAAUUAUUUUCAAUUUUUUCGAAUCGAAUCGAGUUUUGCUCACCCCUACUCAAGGUAUUUAUUAAAGGGAACCCAGUAACUAAUCUUCAACAUUAUGUAGACCCAUUAAGGUUUAAAUGGUGACCACGAGUUUUAAAGCUGCUUCAUACCCAAUGUGAGGACCGAACUCUCAAUCACUGGUUAAAGUAGCAGAAACCCUUGCCAUCCAACCUAACUCUCGUGAUUGUUUAUUAGCAAUCCAUAAAUCUUAAAAUCAAAAUAAUAAUAAAAAACCCACUAAACCCUUUAAUUUAUCACAUAAAUUAUCAAUUAUUCAUUUAUUAAGUUUUAAUUUUCCAUUUAUAUAUUGAAGAAAUUAUAAUUACUCAUAUCUAAUUAUACUUUGAUACACUUAAUCUUACGCAAUUACUUUAUAAAGACAAAACCCUGAAUAGCAUUGAUUACUUAAAAUGCUAAAAUAAGGUGCACAUUUUUAAAGAUCAAAAGCGACAUAAAACUACCACAUUAAUGCAAACCAUGGACGUGGCCUUCAUAUCAGCCAAUACAUACAAUUUAUUAAGUUUUAAUUUUCCAUUUAUCACAUAUAUAUCUCUGCAGCUUGAUUGUCUUGUUAGCUAUAAACUUAACCUGUUAAUUAAACUUUAAUUCAUUUUUUUUUAAUUCCAUCAUUACUACCAUUAGAUAUAAUUUCAUGAAGGAGAUUUGCUUUUUCUUGAUUGCUUUAGGAGAGUUGUAAUAUGGAUUUUUUUGUAGGAAAACAAUUGAAGUCAUUCAAGAAGACAUAAACAGCUGCUACUGUGUAAGAGUUUAACAUUGAGAAUAGAUCCUUACACGUUAUUGAAAUACCAUACUAAAGAUAAAGACAUAUAGCUAAACAUUAGACACGCCAUAAAUAUAUAUAUAUAUAUAUAUAUAUAUAUAUAUGAAAAUACAACAGAAAUGCUUGAAAAUACAACAGAAAUGCUUGAACAUCAUUUGCUCUGCCUAGAUCCUUCUUCCCCCAUUGCUGCGAUUCCCUGUCAUUGGCUUUCUUCUCCGCCUCUUCUCAAUAUGAUCUUCAACCAAACUCACAAUCCACUUUGGCUUACCAGUUUGGAAAACAACAUAUCCCACGCCCAAUCCUAACACCACUCCACAUCCAUAACCCAACAACACUACUUUCCACCCAAAAUCAAUGUUUGAUUUUAAUCCACCUUCUUCUGAUAAGUUUGAAGGUGGUGGUUGCUCAUUAUUGUUGCAAUCACUUGACAAUGGAAAACCAUGUAAUCCUUUGUUCCCUUCAUAGGAAGUAUUUCCAAAGGUAUUGAAUUGUUUUCCUUGAGGGAUGCACCCAACCAAUUCAUUCAUUGAAAGGUUUAACAUAGAAAGAGCCGUUAAAUUUAGCAGUUCUCUUGGAAUCCAUCCAACCAGUUUGUUUGAAGAGAGGUCUAGCCAUUCAAGGUUGGUCAAACUCCCUAUUGAUGUGGGAAUGUAACCAUUAAGGUUAUUAUGAGAAAGGUUUAGCCCUUUGAGUGAUCUAAGCUUUCCAAUAACCUUGGGAAUCUCUCCAUCGAACUUAUUAUUUGAGAGAUCAAUGAUUGCCCACAUGACGAAAAUUUUAUUCAAUGCUAUAUCUUGUCCUUUCAUCACAAUUCCAAUGGAAUAGCUAUAAAAGCCACCACUACCAUUAACAUCUUGCACACCCAUGUAUGUCAUCGUACUUGCAUCCUUAGUGAGAUUUAUGAUAGCCUUGAAGCUGUUGAUGUAUCUCCCAGGUAGGGGUCCAGAAAAAUAAUUACUUGAAAGGUCAAAAAUUUGGAUUUUAGAGAAACAAGGGCUAGACUUGGAGCUAUGGUCAUGCAAGGAACCAUGCAUUUGAUUUGACUUUAGUACAAGAACUUGUAGCCGUGGAAGACUUCCCAACCAAUGAGGAAAUGUAUCAUUGAUCUUGUUGUUCCCAAGAUCUAGCACUUCCAAAGACCUACAAUUGAGGAUGGAUGGUGACAAAGGCCCUUCAAAUUGAUUUCCAUUUAAGUUGAGAUAACUCAAUUGACAUCCCUUUGCAAAUGUUGGAAGAAUCAUUCCAUAAAACUUGUUCUUCUUUAGAUUCAAAAAUUCAAGGGUGUUGCUCAAAUUUCCAAAACAUUGUGGAAUAGUUCCAAUCAAUUUAUUGUGGGACAAGUCAAGAACUUGGAGAGCACUCACAUUGCAUAUCAAAGAAGAUAUCUCUCCACCUAAACUAUUGUUUGAGAUCAAGAACACAUUGAUUGUCGAAGAUGGAAUUGGAAGAUUUCCAUGGAUCAAAUUGGAGCUUAAGUCAAGAAUAUUAAUAUUCUUCCAUGGCAGUUGCUCAACUUCUGUCAAUGAGUUGUGAGAUAAAUUUAAGUAACUCAAAGAGUCACAAGUCACCUCUUGCAGCCAUUGUGGAAUCUUUCCUUCAAUUCUAUUGUUAGAAAGGUCUAAAGCUUUCAACUUUUUUGACCCUUUCAAAAAUGGGGGGAAUUGGCUGACAUUAUUUGAGCUUAAGGAUAGGCUGUUUUGUGAAAGGUCAAGAUAUUCAAGAUUUGGGAGAUUUGAGAACAUGCUAAACUCUAUAACACCACUGAGAUUAUUUGAGUAUAAAAGGAGCCAGGUAAGAUUGAGAGAUUGGAAUAUUGAAGAUGGAAGAGGACCUUGGAGUUUAUUAUUCCCUAACACUAUCAUUUCUAGUGAUUUGGAUUGGAAUUCUUUGAUGUGUCCACUGAAUUGAUUUUGAGAGAGAUAUAUUUCCAUUAAGGAGGAAGCAGUAUACAACCAUGACGGAAGUUUUCCAUUUAGUAAAUUGUUAGAUAAGUCUAAAGAUAUUAGAUUAGGGAAAGCAGCUACCUCAUCUGGAAUGGGACCUUCUAAAGAAUUUUCAGCUAUUCUCAAGUGUUGAAGCUGUGUCAGGUUUAGAAUUGACAAUGGAACUUGUCCACUCAAUUGGUUCCAUGACAAGUCUAAAUAAGUGAGUUGCAAGAGGUUCCCCAAUGA